AAGCAGGUACCUUCUCGAUAUGGUUACAAAGAAUUUUCCGAAUAGAAAACAAUUCUGAACUUUAAGUAGUGAAUUUAGGAGCUGUAGCUUUGGUUCAACGUAGUUCUUUAACAUUUCUUAGGCAUCAUCAGUUUACAUGAUUGCUUUUAGUGAUUCAGAUUGGUAGAAACCUUUCAAGAUUGUAUUGCGGCUAUAAUUCUGCAUAUUCUUGAUCUUUGGCAUUAACAUUUUAGUGCAUGUUUACUGCUUCAGAAUUCUUAGUUUGAUACAUCGAGCUUAUCUAUGGUGACAUUUGCAAGUUGUCACCAUUCAGUCUUUUGUUUACAUUGCUGAUGAAUUAACAUAAAGAGAAUCUUCAAGAUAUAUGAUUCCUGUUUCAAAUUUAAGUAUACUCGUGUAAGAUAUAUAUCCCAAUUUGACACACUAGCAGGCAAGUUUAUACUUACUGUUUAUGGUUGCUAAGGUGAAUAUAGUAUGCGUAGUUAAAUUGCAUAAAUUUGCUAUGCCAAUAUGGAGGUUGAUAGUUUAUACUAAGAUCAACCAUAUAUAGUCAUGCAUAUUCAUGAUAUCUAAACACGAUUAAGAGGAUAUGAUGGUAUUGGCAACUUCCAUAUACAUGCAAAAAAAUUGACAAAAAGAUGUAUGUUUUUGUUGUAUACUUAUAUCUCACACUCACAACGUGUAAGCAUGAUAUCCGAAGAUGGAUAUGUGAAUUUAAAAGGAACCUUUUGAAUACAUGCAAAAUUUUAGAAAAAAAAAAACAUAAUUUUGUGUCGGAUGCAUAUUUGUAUUAUCCAACAUUCACGUUCGAGUUUUUUGUGAGAGUAAUUUUUUUGUCUGGCACUAGGGUGCAUUUAGAGGUAUAAUCUUGAUACUUUCAAGUUUGAUUUUGAGUUUAGUUUGAAAUUCGAAGCUUGUUACUUGGUUGAGCUCGAUUAAAUAUUUAUCUUUAAGUUCGAGUUUAACUUGGAAUAGAGUUAUUUAAGCUCAAGUUUAAUUAAACUCGUUUAUCAAUUUUAUAAUAAAUUUGAACUCGAUUAAAUUUGUAUAUAUUCAAGCUCAGACUAAUGAUUAAGGUUAAGAUUAAUAAUAUACGCAAUAAUAUAAUUAUAUAUAUAAAUGAAAAGAUUGAUAAAAUUCAUAAGUUCAAAUUUUAGUCGAAAAGUUUUUCACGAGUUGUUGCAGCGUCGGUAUCUCCUCGAAAGUAGCGUAAAUAAAAAAGGUAGAAAUUUCAGAAGUUGACAGGGUCUCGGCCAAAAUACAUCCAGAAGUUCGUUACUGAAAACAUUAUUAAACAGGGAAGAUGAGAAAAAAGAUGUACAGCAUGAGAGAGAAAUAUAUGAGCUCAGCUCCGCUUGACAGGAUCGAAGUUGGACACACCAAUUACGGCUCCAACAAUGGCGACCAGAACCACACCCCCGGCCGCUAUACUGAGCAAGAAGUUCUUGAGAGAUGGGCUGACUCCAUCAGCCGCUUGAGCCACCUCUGGCAUCAUCAUCGAUGUCGUCAGUGCUGCCGCUGUCAACCCCGUCACCGCCUUUUCCUUGAACGAAGAAGCACCAGCCUUGACUUGGAGCCUUCCGUUGGGUCUUUUAACACCGCCCAUUGCCCUCCAUGGCUUCACCGGAAGUGGCUUAAAGAAUGCCUCAGAGCUUGGCACCCUGUUUUGGGUAGCUACAGCUAAGGGCAGAGCCAUUGAAGCAGCUGAAGUGGAUGCCAUUGAUUCUUUCGUUUUUGCUUGCUCUCUUCACCCUGCAAGUCUAAAAACCAAAAAAGAAAUUGUCCUCUUUUUGUUUGGUCGCAAUUGUGUGUUUUUGAGAGGUGGGGGGUAUGGGGAGAAGAAAUGAGAGGUGGGAAAUUGAGAUUUUCAGAUGCCACGUGGCGUCCACAAAUCUAUCUAUGUCCUACGUGGCAGACUCUCAAGUUGGAAUUGGUGGAUAAGGUUAUCUCCCAGUGAGGUUGAAAUUUGGGUGAGAGAACUUUUUUUUAUUAGCCGAAACUCUGAUUUCUUUGUGACUUAAGUGGUUCUUAAGCUAUUUGGGCUGAUUUUGGACCCAUUAGAUUGGCGAAUGGCAGCUUUAUUGGGCUAAUGAUAGACUUUAAAACAUUAGAAUCAGAUUCACUUCUACAAAAAUAGUCAAUUUAAAAUGAAGUUUAUUGUUUUAAGCAUUUAUAAUUUUGCAAAUAAAAUAUUUUGUUUAGAGUUAAAAUGUGAAUAAAAGUUAUUUUUUAUAUAAUUUUUACUCACACGUUACUGAAAUUUAUUUUCCACACACAAUACCACUAACACACGGUCCCCUGCCUCUCAAUCUCAUGAUGUUGGUGUGGGGUGAUCAUCUUUGACUAAUAGGUCAAAGUGUUGGAGUUCAACUAAAUUAAUUCAUUUAAUAGUAAAUGGAUUAAUUCCUGUAAUAAAGGGACUUGCUAAUUACAAUAGAUACAUUAGAGAUCUAAUUUUGGCAAUAAUUUUAACAGGGAUCCCCAUUUGUUUUUGUUGAGUGUUUCUGAUGUGUUCUCUUAGUGGGGAGAAUUGGGUUAUUUAUAUGAUAUGUUUACUGUUCAUAAAAUUGACGUUCUAGGUAGACUCCAUGCAUGUCGACACAUAAGCUAUCCUAGACUUAACACAUGUUUGUUGGUCCGGGUGCUUGUCGGUUCAUUCGUUUGGCUUUGUACCAUGUGCUUACGAACACCUAGGGAUGUGCGAACUGAGCUCGCAAGCUCUCCCCACGAGCCCCUCAACGACUCCACCUGGUGAGGUCCAAACUCGGGUCGCAAUCAAUAGUCUGAGUUAUGUUCAGGUUUCGAGUUGACGAUUGGAUAUUUCAUAACAAUUUUAUGUGUAAACUUUUAGUCCUCCAAGUUGAUCUUAUUCAACAUUGAAAGAACUCUUGUCCCUAUGAACUCUCAUUCCCCAAGAUUAGUUGCCUUGAAGAAUUCUUGGAUACUGAUGAACAAGUAUAAAUCCAGUUGGUUAUGAUGAACAAGAUUUCGAUAAUUUCAGUCCAAUACCAAAGUUUUAUGCCAUAGAUUUUUAUAUAGUUUCAAUUGGUUAUGAUAAAUUAAGUUCUUGUGUUACAAGAUGUUAAUUUUGAAGAACCUGUUCUUGAUGCCCCCCCCAAAAUAAGAUCUCUCAGUCCCAAUUCCAUUCUGCAAUUCCCUGGCAAUUCUUCUUAUGGUUCAGAUAAAGUCCUGCUGAUUUCGAAGAGAAUCAAAUCAAUGGCUUUCCAUUAGUUGCAAAUGGCACUUCCGAAAGCCAGAUUACCAGAUGAUUAAAAAGAGAAGAUAAAGGCCUUAUUCUUCUGCCACAAAACGAAGCCUUGCCUUUGAAUAGUGUAUAUGGUCAUGGAUAUGUUUAAAGUAGCUCUUUUGAAAUGGAAAUUAUUGAUGUAGACAUUGCCAUCUCUAUUGGGGGGUGGUUAAAUUCUACUGACAAUGCUUCUGUACUUCCUCUAACUUCUUCAAAAGGCAAAGAAAUUGUCCAAGUUGAUGCGUUAGGCCUAGAACUGAUGAUGUCUGAUUCGGUUCGAUACAAAAUUUUAGAUUCAUUUUUUAGGCUUGAGUUGGCCCAAAAAAUUGAGCUUAAAUUUUGUUUAAACCCGACCCAAGUUAAAAAUAUUAAAUCUGAGCUUGACUCUGUAUUAAUUUUUUUAGAUUAUUAUUUUUAUAUAAAAACAAAUUUAAAAAAUAUAAUAUAUUAAAUACACUAAAAAGAAUUUUAAAUAAAUGUUUCUCAACAAAUUGAAACUACAUUUAAAAAAAAAGAGUUAAUCUAAACAAUAAAAAUAAAAUAGUAGCAAUAUAAUAGAAAAUAGCAACAAAACAAUAACAAUACAACUAAUUCGGAUUGGGCCGGGCCAAACUCGGGCAAAUAUUCUUACCCGAAGCUUGAUCCGUUUUUCAAGUCUAUAUUUUUGCUCAAGCCCUCCCACUCUUCGGACGGGCCUUCGAGCUUAAACGGGUGAUCCGACACAUGAUUAAGUCUAAUUUGGCUCUAUAAUAGAUCUCCAUUAAUUACAAUCAACUCAUGGUAAAAGAACUAAACCAAAAUGCUAGCACCCUGGGACUAGAUCUAGGAUUCGACAUAUCUCCUUAACUUAAUAAUACAUGUAUUAAAUUUGAUGAAAUUUAUUACUAUAUAAAUCACAACUAAGGUUGGAUUUUAUGAAAAAAUUUAAAAUUUUAUAGUACAAUUUUUUUUCAAUUAAUGGUAUCAGUCAGAAUGUGCUACACUGUUCAUAUAAAUUGAUUUUCAAAAUUGUUUUCUCUCUCGUGUAAUUCAAUUGAUAGAAAAUAACAUUAUUAAUCGUAUGCAUGUUUUUGGUAUAGUUUUCGACAUCAUAAAAAGAUUAGAUUUUAAGAAACACUAUAUAAUAAUAAUAAUAAUAAACCAGACAAAACCGCAGGAGCAUGAAAAUAGAAGUCAGGGCGUUUCGGAGUAGAGGCAGCAGGCCACAAUGCGGGUUUCAUCGCCCAGUAGCGCCGUGGCGUGCGAGCUGUGCGCUGCACUACUCCAGGAUCCAAUGUAUAUUCAAGAUAUCUAAACACAAAAGAUAAGGAUACGAUGCGACCAAUGACCUCCUAUAUACAUGCAAAAAAAUUGAAAUAAAACAUAUCUUCAAUGUAUAACUAUGUCUCCAUUAUAUCCAAAAAUGGAUACAAGAAUAUGACAGCAACCUUUACCUUGGAAUACAGGCAAAAGCUCGAUAAAAACAAAUACAAAUAUUUGUAUCUGAUGCAUUCCUGUAUUAUCCUACACUUGAAAACAAAGUGUUGGGCAAUUUUACAGUUACUGAAUAAAAAAGAUUGAAAUUUCACAAGUUGACAGGGUCUCAGCCGAAGUACAGCUACGGUAGUUUAUAGCUGCAAAAACAUUAUUAAACAGAUAACAUAAGAAAAAAGAUGUACAGCAUCUGAGAGAACAAUAUGAGCUCAGCUCAGGUCCGCUUGACAGGGUCGAAGUUGGACACGCCAAUCACAGCUCCAACAAUGGCGACCAGAACCACACCCCCAGCCGCUAUGCUGAGCAAGAAGUUCUUGAGAGAUGGGGUAACUCCAUCAGCCGCUUGAGCCACCUCUGGAAUCAUCAUCGAUGUCGUCAGCGCUGCUGCUGUCAACCCCGUCACCGCCUUUUCCUUGAACGAAGAAGCACCAGCCUUGACUUGGAGCUUUCCGUUGGGUCUUUUAACACCGCCCAUUGCCCUCCAUGGCUUCACCGGAAGUGGCUUAAAGACUGCCUCAGAGCUUGGCAUCCUGUUUUGGGUAGCUCCAGCUAAGGGCAGAGCCAUUGAAGCAGCUGAAGUGGAAGCCAUUGGUUCCUUUUUUCUUUUUUCCUUGCUCUCUUCAGUCUUCACACCGUAAGUCUAAACCCCCCAAAAAAAUCUUCCUCCUUUUGUUUUUGCUGCAAAUGUGUGUGUUUUUUAGAGGAGGGAUAAGGGAAGAAGAAAUGAGAGGUGGGAAAUUGAGAUUUUCUGGUGCCACGUGGCAUUCACAAAUCUAUCUGUCUUACGUGGCAGCUUCUCAAGUUAGAAUUGGUGGAUAAGGUUAUCUUCCAUUGAGGUUGAAAUUUGGGUGGGAUAAUUGAUUGGCUAAUGGCCAUUGAGUGGCACCCUAAAUUGCCAAAACACUGAUUUCUUCUUGACUUGUGUGGUUCUUAAGCUAUUUGGGUUCAUUUUGGACCCAAUAGCAACUUUAUCAAAUACUAUUUUAUUAGGCUAAUGUUAGACUUUAAAACAUUAAUAUGAGAAAACGACAUGUUAUGCUAAUAUCUACAUGUUGAUAUUUUUCGGAAAUAAUCUGAGUUCGAAUCAUUAUUGUACUAAAGAAAAUUAGAAGACGAAAUGAGGUUUUUGGAUAAGUUUAAAUUAGUUUUCUCCUCUAUUUAAUAAAGUUAACAUUUAUUAUUUAACAAAGUAAAUAUCUUUAAAGCAUUUAUGAUUCUGCAAAUAAAAUGUUUUUUUGGAGUUGAACUGCAAAUGGAAAAAUGAUUUUCAUGUAAUUCUUUAAACAAUAAAUGUUAACUUUAUUUAAAUCUAACUUUUUUUAUCAAAACAUUAUUUAAAUUUUUUCGAUUAAUAGUAGAAGGACCAAUUUGAAUCGAUCCCUAUAGUAAAAGGGCUUACUUGUUAUUUUCACCAAAUCUAAUCAAAUCCUACUAUUCAUUUUCUUAAAAUAUUAUAUUAACAUUUGCACUUUACCAAAUUAUGUACCAUGCAAUAACCAUGAGGUGUGGUGUGGUGAUUGCUCACCACAUCCUUUAAUCAUGUGGUGGGGGUUCAAUCCUUGUUCAUAGUAAUAGAUCAUAUUUUAUGACCAGCUAUUUCUCUCUUUAGAGAGCACAUACAUCAAGGAGAUUAAUCACUUCUGUCAAUGGUGAAUACCCUAAUUACAACCUAAAAAAAUUUACCAUGGAGAUCCAAUUUUGACAAUGGAUUUAAUAGGGAUUUUUUUUAUUCUGUGAACUUUUAGUUCUCCAAAUUGCUUUUGAUUCAAUAAUGAAAGAAAUGUGUUGUCCAUAUGAAUUCUCAUUCCCUAAGUUUGGUUUGGUUACCUUGCAGAAUAUGUGGGUACUAAUGAACAUGUACAAAUCCAGUUGGUUAUGAUAAAUAAGAUUUUGAUAGUUUCGGUUUAAGGUUUAAGUUUUUUUGUCAUAGAUUUGUAUAUAUAAUUUUGGCAUGUUUAGCCAUGUGUGUUCCAUAAGUAUCUAAUAAAACUUUUUAAUACGCGCGACAAACAAAACACAAUAAGUCAAUUGAAGAAUGAUGAAUAAAUGAUAACUCUCAUAUUUAGAGUUAUUUUAAUAUAGUUUUCAUAGUAUUUUAGGAGGUAAUUUUAGCAUUUAUGUUAGUUUACAUUAUAUUUUAUUUGAAUUUUGUUCAAUUUUGAUCAUUUUUAAAGGUGGUUUGAGUUUACUUGCUAUUUUUUUUCUCAAUUAUAGGCAUCAAAUGAAGAAGUGAAGACUUGGAGCAUAGAGAAAAAAGUGGUAAAGAGAAGUCUUCUGCUCUACCAUAUUUAAUUCAGUGCAGUGGAGUAAGCUCUUCAAUUUAGAAAUUUUGAUAGCAAGUAGUUCGCUCCACCGCAACUUCUGCCUGCAAUGGAGUGAUGCGAGCAUGACACCUAAAAAUAGAGAUUAUAAAAUUUAAGAAGAACGAAAGAGGAGGAAAAGAGGAAUAAAUCACAUGGGAGCUAAAGAAAUGCUCUCUCACAUCAAGGGAAAUUUCAAACUUGCAUUGAUAAGAAAAAAACAAUCCAAAGAGCUCAGCAUAAAUUUUUUAACCAUUUUUUCUCUAGAUUAUUUUCUUUUUACUUUUUAUUAGGGUCAAAGCCAUGAAAUUUUGGUUCGGCAAGCAAGGAUAAAAAUAUAAAUUGUUGAGGGCCAAACUUAAAGUUUUUAUACAAAAAAAAUUAAUUUGUAAUACUAAAUAGUAAGUGAACUUAAACUGCAAUAUGUCCAUUUUAUCCAAGGGGGCCCAAGGCCCUUACUUAUCCCCACUAUUUUUUUAUUGAUCUAAGUUCGUCGUGGAUAUCUUUUUGUUAUUUUCUCAACUCAAUAUGAUGGAUCCUAUUUCUUAGUUAACUAAUUUAUUUUCACUUCAAUGUUUGGAUCCUUGAACUAUAUUUAUUCAACCUUGUGCUUAUUUAAUCUGCUUGCCCAAUCAACAAGUUGUAUUAAUUUUGAUAACCUUGAUUUAUUUUUAAAGAAAAAGUUAGAGUUGAGAUCUAAUCUGAAUAGAUUAGGAUUAACUUAAGUAAUACCGACGAACAAGUUAAUUUGCAAUUUGGGUAGGAAUAUACCUAAUGCCCUAAUCAAUACAGCUAGUGGGGAAGAGUGUUUAACUUAGCUAGAUACUAGAAAAGUUUAGUUAUUGUCAUUGAAUCCUAGAUUAGUAAUUACAUAGUUUAAACAAUUGAAGAAGGGAUAAUUGAUUAACCGGAUUAGGUGAAGUUAAAGUUCCAAGUCCAUAAAAUUUGUUGAGAAACUUCGAAAGUUUUCAUUGCUUUAGUUUAGUAAAAUCUUUAUAGUUUGCUUAGUUUAAUUUUAGUAGAAACGAUAAUUUGUUUUUAUUUAUAUGGAUUAGAUAAAACCCAUUUGUUAGUACUCCACAACUUAAAAUUUGACCUUCGUGAGAAUGAUAUCUUUUUUAUCACUUUAUUACUUGAUCAACACAUUCACUUAUGUUACGAAUUUCGGUCAUCAAUAAAAUAUAUAAUUAUAUCAAAAUUAUGCAUUUUUAAUGAAUUAGAUGAUAGUAUUGUUAUAAAAAUGUAUUAAAAAGCAUAAACUUGAAAUUUGAGUAGUGAUGCUUAUUUUAAUUCUUAUAUUGCAACAUUUAUUAAGCCACAAUUAAUCUAAAAUAAUACAUGUUAUUAAUAAAUAAUUAAUAUUUUUAAUUAUAUAGUUAAAACGAAUAAAAAAUUACUAUACAAAAAUAUGAUUAAUAUGAUUUUAUUUGUUAUUAAUAAUUAAAUAAUAUUACUUAUUCUUAAUCUACUGGAUCCAAUUUCAACUCAAUUAUAUGUUUUAAACGAAUAAAUACUCUAUUUUAAAAAUUAAUUUUAAUUUUUAAUAUAGUAUAAUGAAAAAUAAAAUAUAAUCAUACCAAAACUUUAUUCUCAUUCGAAUGAGUAUUAGAAAACCGCAUAGCCCUCUAACUUUAUAAAAAUAAUUAAAUUUUUCAUUUAAUUUUUCAUCUCCUUUAAUUAACUUUGUUAAUUAACUUUGUUGAUAUGUUAUUUUAGUGACAAUUUACGUAGAUACCACGUCAAUAAUUAAUUAAUUUUUAAAAUUUUAAAAAUUUAAAAAAAAUUGUAAAAAUUAUUAAAAAGUACAAAUUUAAAAGUAUGUUUUUUAAUAUUUGUUAAUUUUAAAAAUUAUUUAUUUACUAAUAUGGAAUAGGCUAAAUAAGUAAAAUAUCGAAAUGCUAAAAACCGAAAAUUAAAAUAAUUUUUUAUAUAAAAUUGAAAAGUAAAAUAGAUUAUUAUGCCUUAAUCACGAUGGAACGUAAAUAGGAAGAUAUGAUCCCAGGUUACACUCUCAAAUUGUUCCAAUCAUAUAUUAAACUCGAUAGUGAUUCGAUAAUAUGGAACUAGAUUCGAGUUUUUUUAAAUCCAACUUGAGUAGGAUUUAAUUAAGUUUCUCAUUUACCCCCCCCCCCCAAGGUCCAAAUUAGCGUAAAUUAGAAAGAAAUUUCAGAAGCUGAAAGGAUCUCAACCAAAAUACAGCUACGGCAGUUUAUAACUGGAAAACAUUCUUAAACAGAUAACAUUCAAAGAAAAAAUGUACAGCAUGAGAGAGACUUAUAAGAGCUCAGCUCAGGUCCGCUUGACAGGGUCGAAGUUGGACACACCAAUUACAGCUCCAACAAUGGCGACCAGAACCACACCACCAGCCGCUAUGCUGAGCAAGAAGUUCUUGAGAGAUGGGGUGACUCCAUCAGCCGCUUGAGCCACCUCUGGGAUCAUCAUCGAUGUCGUCAGCGCCGCUGCUGUCAACCCUGUCACCGCCUUUUCCUUGAACGAAGAAGAAGCAGCCUUGACUUGGAGCCUUCCGUUGGGUCUUUUAACAGUGCCCAUUGAUCUCCAUGGCUUCACCGGGAGCGGCUUAAAGAAUGCCUCAGAACUUGGCAUCCUGUUUUGAGUAGUUCCAGCUAAGGGCAGAGCCAUUGAAGCAGCUGAACUGGAAGCCAUUGAUUCUUUUUUUCUGCUCUCUUCACCCUACAACUCUAAACCCCCCUCUCCUUUUCUUGGCAAAUGUGUGUUUUAGAGAGGAGGGGUGGGAAAUUGAGAUUUUUAUGUGCCACGUGGCAUUCACAGCUCUAUCUAUGUCUUACGUGGCAGCUUCUCAAGUUGGAAUGGGUGGAUAAGGUUAUCUUAUUGGUCCAAUCCCCAUUAAGGUUAAAAUUUUGGGUGACAACUUCUAUGAUUGGCUAAUGGCCUAAACCCUCAUUUCCUUUCGACAUGAUUGCUUCUUAAGCUAUUUGGGCUGAUUUUGGGCCCAUUAGAUGAGCCCAAAACAUUAAAAUCCAAUUAGUGAAAGUACAUGGUAAUUGGUAUGUACCUCUACUAUAGGAACAUGUUUAAAUUAGUUAAAUAUUUUUAAAUUGCAAAUAAAAUAAUUUGUUUGGAGUUUAACUAUAAAUGAAAAAUUAAUAAUUUUCAUAUAACUUUAUAAACAAUAUAUUCAUCUGUAACACAUACUGAGAUCUUAUAUACCCAUCCAAAUGAGUAACAAAAAUAAAUAAAUAACAUUCUUACAUUGACAUUGGAUGUCUUUUACCAUCAUCCAAACACAUAUAGUAGGUGCCCUUUAUCCACCAAGACAUGUUAAUACAACCCCCCCCCCACCACCAUCAUUACUUCUAAGCUACAAUGAAGAGAGAAAGAAAUUAAAAAAAACUUAGUUGCCCUAAUAGGAACCAACCAGUGCCCAAAACACAGCAUCCCCCUGCUUAUAUAUCUGAGUAGAAAGGGAUUCAACAAGUAUGGCAGAAGUAGAAAAUGCGAGGAACAAAAAGUUACACACACCCCACAAUUUUAGACAAACAAACAAAAAAAAGCUAGUCGCUGGUGUGGCUAACCUCAUUUGAUUUGGUCAAAUUACAAGUAUUGUUCAUGUAUCCUGGUUCGGUUCUCUUCCCACCACAGUCUAGCAUGCAUUUCCCCAAAUAUUUCUCGGCUGCACAACCCCGAAAGUAUUAGUUUUUAUGAACCGUAGAAUAGACAUGAAGAAUAUUUUGAUUUUACCCAAAAAAGAAACUUUCUCGGCUGCAUGAUUAGAGGUUGUAAAAGUGAGGGAUCAAGCUAUUAUUAUGAGAUAAAUUUUUAUGGAAAUUAAAGUUGAUUUGUUGCCUUGGCAUGGGAAUGGAAUAGUUGGUCAAAUAAGAAAGCGAUUCACAGUGAUGAUGCUGUCAACAAAAAAAUUAAAAACAAAUGAUGUAUGGCUAAUGAAGCUGUUUAUGAUGGUUGGUAAUUCUAAUGAUAAUUGUUUCUAAGGUGGACCUUAAUUUUAGCAUUGACUUGGAUGUAUCAGCCUAAAAAUGAAGUCAAAUCUAGGAGACAAUUGGCUUUUCGGAGCAUUCGUAGUGAGCCUUUAAUGUUUAUGUAUCCUAAAUUUUAUCUUUCUUUAGAUCAGGUGUCCAAUAGUCACAAUGAGUCUCGGCUAAAUUUAGAGUCGAGCUGAGUCGGACCUCGAUGGGAGGAAGUUCUUUCAUUGUUGGUUCUCUGUCCAUAAGAUUUGAACAUUAGACUUUGCAUAAAGAACAUCAAACUCCUUACUAUUCAACCUAACAGAAACCGGUAAUUAAGUACCUGUAUACUAUAUGCCUAGAUAUGAUUAUGAAGAUAUACCUUCAAAUGUAUAAAUUUUUUUUAAAAAUAGAAUGUAUCCGAUAUGGGGAAUAUUGAACUCAUCAAAACAAGAAAAGAUUUCUAAUAUAAUUCAACCAAAGCAUAAAGACACUGCCCAUGAUGACGAUGCAUAAAAUAGAACACUAUAAUUAGCAUCAAUAGAUAGCUGAUUUAAGGCCUUAUAAUUUGAUAUGAAACAAUCAUUACAGCAGUGCUAAUGAAAACUAUAGACUGUAUGCUAGGCACUGAAAAGGAGAGGGCAAGUUAAAACCUGGAUUUCAGCUAACAAUGAUUGCUAUUGAACCUAGGGGUGACAAGUUUGAGGCAUAUGAACUAAUCUAAAUUUAAUUUUAGAUAGUUGCAGCUUGUAAGAUGCAUUUGCAGCGACUGCAAGGAUUUAUCUACAACAUGAUACUUCUCCCUAUGUUACUUGACAUUUUUAGAUGUAUAUGGUGGGUCAUAUUCCUAUAUCCAUGUCCGGAUGUGCAUUAAACAUGAGUGUUGAAUUACAAAUACGAAGAGUGCGAAACAGUGUACUUCUACCACUUUGAGAUAUUGCAAGUUUCCUAAGAUUAGGUGCAAAGAACACAUUUCUCGAUCAGUAAUAAUGGUCUGGUAUAUAUUAAUUGUUUUUUGGCAAACAAACUGAAGUUAAAGGUUUGUUCAUUAAACCAUACCUGAAUCUAACUCGCCUAAGCUCCCUUUUGCCUCCUGGCAAGGCUCUGAUUGUAAUGUAAACGCCUGGUUCAUCUUGUUCAACCCACUCAGUCUCGAGAUCACUGGCGUUACUGAUAGAUAGCUCCCCGGACUGAUCAGCCUCUCUCGAUGAGCUACUCCUCAUAGAGGCAUCCAUUGAUGAUAUCUCUGUCUUGGCACCACUAAUGCUAGAAACUUUUGGGGUUGAAGUAAGACCAGGGUCACAAUAAUGCCUGGCCUGCAUUGGGUGCUGAUCAAGUGAAUCUGAGGAUGAGUAGCCCAUCCCCAUCCCUGCUGGACGAUAUAAAUUACGAGGUAAGCGUUCUUUGGUCAAUGGUGGUGUUACAGGGCUUUCUUCUGCCGAUUCCAUUUUCGAGCUCUGUAAGGAAUUGAAAAAACACAAUACCCGUCAAUGCUGGAUACAACACAAUUAUAUGACAUGGCUAGGUGUCUUAAACAUGAUUAUGGCAUGGAAAAACAUAAGAACAGGACUGUAAUACAUGAAUUACCAGACGUCUUGAGAUACACGCAACAUACUAACUUCAGUUCAUGACAGUAUUAGCGAAGGGCAUGAAGUACUAUGAAGUAGAUGCAGUUCAUUAUGUUUAAGCUGGUAACAGGCUAAAAACUUGCCUCAUCUUCAGACCUUGGGGGUGUUGGUAGUGGAAAUGCCUGGCGGUGAAGCCUCUGAACAUUGUAAAGUUCCAUGACCCUGUCAUAGUUCUCAGCCCACCAUCUUUGAGCUUGCCAUUUGUUAAACAUUUCCCGACUAGUCAAAGAAAAUAAACUAUAUUUCAGCACACUCCUGAUGUUCUCGAGAUUAGAAUACCAGAAAUCAGAAAUUAGUGGUUCACGUUCUGUGCUAAAAGCGUGAGUGUGAGUGUCAGAUCCGGAUGCAAGUCUGACAUGAGUAGGUUCAAUUUUUUCAAGAAGGUUCACAUAUUUAGACAGUCUUUUGAAGAAUCAUAUACCUUUCAAAUAUAUGUCGAACACGAAUACUUCAUAAAAGAUAAAGAACCAAAAAAACAUAGAUCAAAACUAUAAAAAAUAAUAAUAAUAAUUCAUGUCCUUGGAAAUGAAGUCCUAAUUUGACAAUGAUAAUACUAUGUUUAAUGAUUUGAAAACCUAACAAUGAGCAAUAUAAUAAACAUUGCAAUCAUCAAAUGAUUACAGGGAAUGUGUUAUAACCCAAAUUAUUAAUAUAUUAAAAUUUAUAUAUGCAAUAUUUUAAAUCAUAUAUAAAAAGGUCCCAAAAAGAUCAUAUGUAAAAAUAUAAAUAAAUAUCUUUUUAAAUUUCCCUAAUUAAUUAAAGAAAAAGAAAAUGACAAAACAUGGGUCGGGAGAAGACAAGGCGACGGAGAAUCAGGCGUAAAUGGGAAUUUUCUUUUUCCUGGUUUUGUUUGAAAUGAAAAGAAAGGGCAGAGGCAGAGACAGAGGCAGAGGCUUAUCCGACACGAAGACAAAGCCUCAGUGAAAAAGCUUUGAACACAAUCAAUCAUGUCCCACAAUGAGUUAUUCUUUUGGACUUUUUCUGUAUUGCUUUUCAUUAGGCGUGAAGCCAACCUACCUACUGUUACACAAGAGGGGCCCUCACCUAAAAUUUUCUUUCAUUUUCUAUACAAAAUGCUGCUUAAGGCUAUGUUUGGCUCAAUGACACAUUACAAGAAAAAUGGCAGAUAAAGGUCAGGGAAAAUAAAAUAAGAGUAAUUAUUUCAUAAGUUUAUUUUUUAGAUUUCAUUGAAAAUAUAAUAAAUAUUAUUCAAAUUAUUAUAUAAAUUAAUUUAAAAUCUAAGACUAAAUUUACAUGAAAAUUCCUAACUGAAACUUACAAUGAAUUAGUAUCCAGAUUUUACUUUACCCUAAUUUCUAUAAAUAUCAUGACUAAAAAAAUCAUGUAUAAAUUUGUCUUACAAAAAUGGUAAUUAAUUUUAUAAAUUUUUAGCGAUAAAAUUUAAUUUUUUAUUUAAAUUGGCUGCCAAUGAUCAAGCAAAUAAAAAUUUCUCUUUACAAAAGAAAAGUUUUUUUUUCUUUUCCUUUUAAAAAAUCGAUCACUUUAUAAAAGAUUGUGUCAAUUAACUCUAAUAAAAUAAAACAGUAGGCAUCCAAAAUUGACUUCCAAACAACCUCUAAGUCAUACUUCUAUCGCCUCAAUUAAUAAUAUAAAAUGGUUGGAAAAAAUUAAUAAAUAAAACAAAAGAAUUUUUCUUUGAAAAAUAAUAAUAAUAAUAAACAUAUAAACCUGACUGAUGACGUGCCCAUCCAUUCUCUAAAGUGAUUUUCCAAACAGUAUAUGAAAUUUCUAAAAUAACUAUAACCGUACGCCUAAAAAUCCUGCUAUAGAAAAGAAAUAAUGUCAAAUAAAAAGAUUUAAUUACAAAAUUGACCUCUAAUUUUUAUGUUUUUAUUUAAAUAUUUAUAAUUUUAUUUAAAUUACUAAUUUCAUCUCUUUCUUUUUUUUUUUGACAACUUCUAAAUAAACGUGCUACGUAUCACGUUUUCAUUGACUCUUAUUUUAGAAUAAAAUGCGAUGAAAUUAACAUUUUAGGUAAACCAACAUUUGAAUUUAUUUUUUUAUAAGCGAUAUUCAAAUUUAUUAAAUAUUAAAUAUUAAAAUUUAUAAUUUGAAUUUGAGAUUUUAUAUUCAAAAUUAUUAUUUAUAAAAGGGAUAAUAUCAAAUUUAACACUUAACGUUUACAUUUUUAAUUAAUUUGAUCCUUUUUUAGUUAAAUUUGACCAUCAAUAUUUUGAAAAAGAGUCCAUAUGAUUUUUUUUAAUGAGAAUACUAACUAAAAUGUUAAAAUUUUAAACACAAUAGCCCGCAUGACAAUUCACAUAUACUCCACGCUAAUUUUUUUAAAAAAAUUAUGAACUUUUUAUAUUUCUUAAUUUUAACUUUGAUUUAUUUUGAUUUUUUAUCUCUAUAAUUUUUGAAUUAUUUGUUGACAUGCAGGAGCGAAGGCAGAACAAUUUUUUAGGGGACCGAAUGAAAUUUUAAUUUUUUAUAGUCUAUAUUUUUAUAAUUUUUAAAGGAUUAAAUCAAAUUUUUAUAAUUUUAGGGGGCUAAAGUAUAAUUUUACCUUUACUAAUUUAAAAUUUAAAAAAAAUUAGAAAACCUAAAUGACAAUUUUUUAUUUUAGGAGGGCCAGAGCUCAUGCCAACCCCUAGAAUUGCCUCUGUUGACAUAAUAAUGUUAUGUUAACAUAAUGCAUAUAUAUAAACUGUCAUACGAGUUGUCACGUCAAUAGCACGCUAAAAAUUAAUAUUUUAGUAAUUAUUUUUGCUAAAAAACAAUUUCACUUUUUUUAUAAGUUAAAAUUAAUAUUUAAUUUUAAAAAAUUAAAGAUUAAAACAUUCAGCUAAAUUUGUCAUUAUAAAAAUAAAACAAAUUUAGAUUAAUGAAUAUAACAAAUUUGAAUAAUAAAUAUCUAAAAUUAAUAUUCACGUACUUUCCAAAUUUAUAAUAAUUAAAUUUUUUAAAUUCAAAUAUUUUUGCUAGUCUCCGAAAAUGGAAGUCGAAUUCUGCAAAAACAGAAAGAAAAGAUGAAGUAGGGAGCGCACCUGAACCGUAUCCGCUUGAGAUCGUUGCCGCCGUGAGGGAGCGAAACGAAGGUAAUAAGCACGCCGGGCUCCACCUGAGCCUCCCAUUCUUUAGGCUCACUUUCUUCGACGAACACGACCGAUUGGAUUCGGCGUCCACUCGCCGAUUUCGGCGUCGCUUCUUCGCUCGAACUCGAUAUAGAUAUCCCUUUCAACCUUGCUUCCAUCUCCUUUCCCCACGCCCUCGGCGUCGUCGAGCUCCAACUCCCCGUCCUGCGAUACGACCACUUGGACCUGUCCGACUCAGCGUCUGAUUCGCCGGAGUUUCUCAACCGGCUCUGUGCCGUGCAAGGGUUGCAAUGCCUAUACACCCCCGACGCCUUUAGCGCCAUGUCCUUCAACUAAAUCACACACACACACACACACACACAAAAAAAACUAUCGUUAAAAGGAAAACACAGAUCAAGGAAUUCAAAAUCAUUGACUUCGUAAACUUCACAGAGUUAAAUUACCUGAGAAGUGAGGGACUUGAUGGCCUGGUUCUGCUUAGCGCUAGAAGUAGCGGAAGAGUCAGUUUCCUCGAGUUGACUCGGUGAGUCAUCACCGGGUUGUUUAGAACGAGCUAUACACGUCAGCAUUAUUCUUCUGGAAUUCAGUUUUCUUUUGCAGUUUCAACGAAUCGUUCAAGAAUUCUUCAAUCCUACCAUUAAAAUCAAAAUGAUCAGAGGUUCUUUACAACAAACAAAAUAAAAACAUAUUUAUAAAAAAGUAUCACCUCUCUGUUCUCUCUUCGGAGGAGAUUAGAGACAGUAAGAAGCUGCAUUUGCUUCUUUUUUUUUUCUUUUUGCUUGAGAGCGAAUCGCUGUAAUGAGAGAGUUCUGAUUGCUGUUUGGGGAAUGGUGAUGUGUGAAAAGCUUUUUAAACCUUUUUGCUUUAUUUUUGUUAUUAACCUGCAACCGGAUGGAUUUACCGGCAUUUUUUUGCACGGACAUGGAAUUAGCGGGUUUACUUAUUGCAGUGCUGUAAGAUGUUACAUACCGUAGUGCUGCUGAUGCCAUUGGUAUUAAAUAAUACACUGCGAAUCCCAUGAGCAUUACGUAAUAUCACAAAAUAAUACCACCUUUGUUAUUUAUAAGGUUUACUUUCAUGCCUCAGGUUUCAAAACUCGUUUAAAAUUUAAGAGAAUUUAAAUAAAAAUAUUAAGCUUAAAAAUUAGGUCUGAACAAAAAAAUUAAGUCUAUUUAAUAUAUGAGUCAGGCUCGAGUUUAAACAUUUAAUGUCCUGAUCCGACCCAUUUUUAAGUUUAUAAUACUUUAUAUUAUGUUAUCUUUAUAUAUUAUGUAAUUUAGAACACAUUAAAAAAUAAAUAUAUCCUAAAUAUAUAAUACUAUUCUAAUGUAAAAAUUAAAAUAAUGUUAAGAUGACUAUAUAAAAAAAUUCAAUUAAUAAAUAAAAGGUAUAAAAUUAUUUAAUAUUAAAAUAAAAUAAUAAAAAUAUCUUUUUUAAAAAUUAAAAUAUAAUAUGGGCGGAUCUAAAAUGGGUUUAGGUUAAUUUUUUAUAAAUAUGAGCGAGUUUGGAUAAAUUUUUAGGCCCGUAUUUUAAGUCGAGCUAAAUUUGGACAAACAUAAAAUAUAUUAAUAUCAUACUUAAAUCCGGUCAUGAUGAACAUGUCAUGAAUAAUUUAUAUAAAUAAAAUAUGAAUUUUAUGGCUCUCUCUAUAAAUCAAUCUCUCUAUAAUCGCUUCUUCUCUCUCUUUUCAUGUAUUUUCAUUAGUAACUAAAGUUUGCAUUUUGGGCUGAUUUACCAAUAAAACCUUAAUUUUUUAUAAAUUUACAUAAAUGAGCCCGGCAUUUUAUUAUUUACCGGAAUGAGCUAUAGAGGUGCUCAUGGGCCGGGCCGGGUUCGGGUUGGGCCCAUAAAAAAUUUCGGCCCCGGCCCGACCCGGCCGAAAUAUGGGCCUAGAAUUUUUCCCAAGCCCGGCCCGGGAAAACAUUCAUAAGCCCGGGCCCGGCCCGGCCCGUUUUUUAAAUAAAUACCAAAAAUUUAUUUUAAAAAUUAAAACAAAAAUUAAAAAAAGUAUUUUAAAAUUAAAAAAAUUAAAAAAGUAUUUUAAAAAAAUUUAAAAUUUAAAAAAUUUAAAAAAAGUAUUUUAAAAGUAUUUUAAAAUUAAAAAAAAUAAUAAAUAAUAAAAAUAUUUAUUAUAUUCGGGCCGGGCUGGGCCCGGGCCAAAAAAGUUGUGCCCGAGGCCCGGCCCGUUUUUUAAUUGGGCCUCGUUUUUUUGCCCAAGCCCAUAUUUCGGGCCUAUAUUUUUACCCAAACCCUCCCAUAUUUCGGGCGGGCCGUCAGGCCGGGCCGGGCCGCCCGGCCCAUGAGCACCUCUAGUGAGCUAUUUUUCGGCAAAUCGCGUCCACGNNNNNNNNNNNNNNNNNNNNNNNNNNNNNNNNNNNNNNNNNNNNNNNNNNNNNNNNNNNNNNNNNNNNNNNNNNNNNNNNNNNNNNNNNNNNNNNNNNNNNNNNNNNNNNNNNNNNNNNNNNNNNNNNNNNNNNNNNNNNNNNNNNNNNNNNNNNNNNNNNNNNNNNNNNNNNNNNNNNNNNNNNNNNCGCGGCCACGUCAGAGCGCUUUGCUGAUGUGGCAACAAAUCGCCCUCUCGUGGAUGCGAUUUGUUGCCACGUCAGCAAAGUGCGCUGACGUGGCCGCGAUUUCCUGACUUGUAGGUUUUUGGAUUUUAGGGUUUAGGGUUUUAGGGUUUUUAAGAUUUUUAGGGUUUUGGAGAAAAAAAGUAAACAGAUAAGUCGCGCCCACGUGUACGCGCUUCUUUAUGGAAACAUCUGCCCUUAAAUCUACAAAUGUUGAGUAUGCAUUCACUGAAGUACUAACUCAAAUACAUCAUGUGAUCAGUCGAAAAGCACUCGAAGGAGGGAAUGAUUAAACAACAUUGCCCAAGGGACAAACCAUCAAUGUCGGCUCUCGGGAUGAUGUUUCAGCUGUGAAGAAAGACGGCUGCUGUUCUGCAUAAUUGUUAGAUGAUUCCGAGUGUCCAAUUUUGCUUCCUCAUUAAGCACAAGCUUUCCUCACCGUGAUCUUUGUCGAGAUCUUUCGUUGAAGACGAAGAAAUCACAGCAUUCCAGGGAUUUUCUUAUAGUUUGUUCAGACAGAUCUAGUUUUAGUAUUUUAAAUGAUUUUCAUUAGUUGUGGAGAAUAAAUUUUAAAUUAGCUAUCAUAAUGUUUUGUAUUUUCAAAGGAGUAUUUUAUGUAAUAUAGCAAAUAAAUAGGGAUAAUUUAGGUAUUAUAAAUAAUUUAAAUAAUUUAGUGCAACUAUAUACAUGAAUUUUCAUUAGUUGCACUGUUCACGCGUUGGGCAAGUUGCGGCACGUCAGCAAAGCGCGCUGACGUGGACGCGAUUUGCCGGAAAAGGCCCAUUUCGGUAAAUAAUAAAAUACCGGGCCCAUUUCGAUAAUUAAAAAAAAUAGGCUUUUUUUAGUAAAUUGCCCUGCAUUUUGGUCUGGCAAAAAAAAAAUAUGCAUUUUGGUUCUAAAAAGUUUAUUGUUUCAAUUUUCUUUUUCUUUUAUGCAUUUUCUCUUUUUAGCUUAGUUCAGCUUUCAUUUUAUUUUUAUUGAAAUAAUGUAAUCAAUUCCUUCCAUGAAUUUGAUCAUAUAAUCUGAAAAUAAAUAAAUUAAAGCCCAUCAUUAGUGAUAAAGGGCAAGACCAACCGAUACUACAAAGACUUCAACCUCAUCAAUAAUAAAACAUUACAUCUUAUUGAUAAUCGAUUUUGUUACGACUAAAGCAUUACUUAUAUGGGGUGAUUGCAAAUAGCUUAUCAUGAUAGGGGAACUAGUCCCAAAAGGUCAAAAGCAAUAGAAAUAAUCAACAAAAGAAUCAAGCAUCGAUCAAACUGGAGAGGAGGGCAGUAAAUACAUUCCUAAAAGCACUUGCAAAAACAUGACUACAAGACAAAAAAACCUUUAACCAUUUUCCUAAAAAAAGGAAGACUUAUUAAACAAUGUGAAACAAAUAAAAAAACACAUAAAACUUAAAUAACAGAGGUCCAAACGACUCAUUAAAUUAUUUAUUAUUUCGAAAAACUCUAAAAAAAACAUAUCAAGAAGCCAAUGAUAAGUCACCAUUCAAGUAUCUAUAAUCAAUCCACUUUUCAAGAUAAAUUGUUGGUGGCUGAUGAAGGUUUAAUGAUCUAGACGCCAACAUCUAUUCAUUACAGCCUAUAAAAAUAAUAAAGAUGCCUAUAAAAUAGAUAUACAAACUAAAAAGAGAAAAAAAUGCAUUGAGGGAAUAACAAGAAAAAGAAAAAGUUGGUGGGAAUGAAAAAAAAGCGGGUUAACACUUCAUUUAUAUGAAACUUACCAAACUUAUCAAACUUACACUUCAUUCAUGUAAUUUUUUAAAUUCGAUAAUAAUAUCUACACUAUACUUAAAACCUUCAAUAAAAUUAAUAUCAUAAAUCAAUAGUUGAAAAAAACUAAAAAUAUAUAUUUUUAUUAAGUAAUUUAUAACAGUAUGAGGGUAUUUUUAUUUUUAUUUUAUAUUUUUAUAAAUUAAUAAAAAAUUAUAGAUGGAAAAAUUAUAUUUUAAAUUAUAUAUUUGUUGCAUAAAUAUUAAAUUGUCAAUUUUACUAUUUCGAUCCCUAUUUCAUUUAAUGUUUAAUAAAUAUAUUUUAUAUAUAAAAUUUUCACUCGUAAUCUAAUAAAAACUAGAUUAUGGCACAUCUAUUGUUGUGUGAAUAAAAAUAAAGAUCUUCAGAAUCCGGUAGUUGAACCAGUCAAGUCAUCAAUUCGUCAAUCUAAUUGGUUCAACCGAUCCAUCCAAUUCGAUUAAAAAAUAUUAAAAAUUUAGUUCACCCAAUCUAUAUUGCUUCCCAAGUCAAUUGUUUCAAUGCCCUUUUUUGGAAUAGUACCUCGGCUAGAGUGGUCGGUCCAGUUCAAUUAAAAAAAUAUUAAAAAUUUAGUUCACCCAAUCUAUAUUGUUUCCCAAGUCAAUUGUUUCAAUGUCCUUUUCUGGAACGAUACCUUGGAUCGAGCGGUCGGUCCAGUUCAAACAACCUUGAUGAAAAUAAUUAUAUAAUUUAAAAUUAACAUAAAAAUUAAACAUGAUUUUGGUUGAAACGGUAACAUUGAGAAAAUGAAUAUUAAGGUGUUUUGAAUUCAAAUCUCAACAUAUGCAUAUAAUUUUUUUUAUGAAAAUAUAAAAAGAAAUAAAUUACCAUCGAAAUAAUAUUUAUUGCUUUAUAAAAUAAAUGGGUUUUGGGUAAAUUUACAACAGAAUUAAAAUACUAAGUGAUAUAAACUUAAUUAAAAGUAUUAUACAUAAUAUAGAUAUAAAUAGAUAUAGACAAAUUAUUAUAUUAAUAUAUUUUCUUUCCUUUUUGGGGCUUUGGGUUAUUUGAGAUGGCCUAUUGGAGCAAAUUGAUGGGUCGCUUGGAGGCUCAAUAUAGCAGAAAAAUGGGCUUAACUAAAUCUCUUUUCUAGGGUUAUAAUGAAUUUCAUGCUUAUUGAAUGUUAUCUCUUUUUAUUGUUGAUAAGGUUUAUUGAAUGUUAUCUCUUUUUAUUGUUGAUAAGGUUUGAAUUUUUUAUUUAUUCUUGUUAUACUUUCAUAAUAGUCUGGCCACCUAUUAGUUUGACAAAACAUAAAGAAAUCAGAAGAUGAUUUUUCGUUUUAGGUCUAAAAUAAGUAACUCUUGAUAUUAAUAAGAUAAGUCAAUCUAUGAUUCGUAAUUAAUAUAGGAAUAUACUUGAUUAACUUGGAAAGCCAUAAAUAUCAGGGCAGUUAUUAAUCAACUUAGUUUACAUUAUUGGCAUAGGAAUUAAGGGGAUUUUAGUUCCUCAGAUUAAUAAUCAACUCUAUUAAGAUAAACUGAGUGGAGACGGAUCGAUUGGCUAAUGCAUUAGAUGAAAUUGUAAUCCUAGGGUUUUACUGUUGACUGUUUAUUUGAUUUAAUUUGCAUUACUUAUUUUUAUUUACUUUUAAAUUAGUUAAAAAAUUAUUAUCAGUUAACUUAGAUAAAUUUUAAAAUAAUAUUUGGUGAUUAAUGUUUCGAUUAGUAAUAGUUAUCUGUGAAAUCGAUAUUUUAUAUCACUUGAAAUAAUAUGUAUACUUGCAUAUGCGAUUUUCGAUCACCACCAACCUAAUACUUGAAUGAAUAACGCAUCAUUUAGGCUGGCUUUAUGAAUUGAGCUUGAACUUCAACAUCUCUUGUUUGAUGUUCAAUAUUUUCCACCGCGGAAGGGCCUUUAGAAAAUAAAUCCAUUAUUAUGGAUUAUAAAAAAGGGAAAUAUAUAUUAUCAACUUUUACGCUCGCAUCCGGAGCGUGAAUAGCACGAACCAAUUUAAAACAACAUAUCCUUUUUUAGCAUGUGGGCUUGAAACAUACACAGUGAAGGGCGGCGGGAAGCUGUAAUAAAAUAAAUAAAGCCAAAUAAAAACAAAGGAGUGAGAAGUGUGGUCCACACAAAGAGAUAAGACACGUACAAUUUAUGAACAAAAAGUAAAAAUGUAACUUUAUAUUUUGAUGAUUUAAUUUUAAAAGAUUAAGAUUUGGUCACUGCUUGUUAACUUGGUAAUGGGCUUAAGAUGUGAGGCCAAGUAAAUUUACAAUUGAUGACUCGAUUUCAAAGAUUAUAAAUUGGUCACCGAAUUAUUAAUAAGUUUACGCUUUGGUUAUUUAAUCUUUGCACUGUCAUUUCGUAACUCAAUAAUUCAAAUAGUAUCAAUAACAACUCAAACCCUAAAUCCUAGCAAAGUUAUAGUCAACCUCAUGCCUCACCUCUAACUCGACCAACUCAACCACUCAACAAUCUUUUAUUUUUAGCUCAUCCAUUGUUCCCAAUUGGCCGAAAUCAUAACUCAAGAAAACCCACAAUCAAACUAUUUAAUAUAUUUGUUCGAAAUCAACCACUAAAUAUCACCACAACCACAAUCAAAUCAAACAAAAGUACAUAAAGAGAGAGAGAGAAAACAAAAGUGUCCUUUUCAACAAGCCUCAAGCAGGACAUGCAAAAGUAAAGAAGCAAAAUAGAAUAAGAGGAAAGAGAAUAAAAAUAUAAAAAGGAAACUCAAAUGUACCAAAUUCAGUUAAGAUUACAUGUGAUGGAGGCUGAAUUCUAAAGGUCAAAGAGAAAGUCUUGCUACGAAGAGGAACAUAUCGGAGUUAGGCAGCCAUACGAUGACGCGAAGAGCUUAUUUGUUAUGACUUCGAGUUUAAAUUAGCUGGAUUUUAAGGAAAGUUAAACCAUAUAGUUGAAAGAGAAAAGGAAAAACUUUGUUCAAUGUGUCUCUUUGAGUAGGAGGCUGGAUGAUGGCAAUAUUAUUGGAAUUGAAUUGCGAAUGAGAUCCUUAAAACUCUAAAACUAUCGAAUAGUUCAAUAAUCAACUUUUAACAUUAAAAAAGCUGAUUGGUUAAAGCGUAAAUUUACAAAUAGUAGAGUGACAUUAUAUGUAGUUUAUUCUAUAAUGAAUAGUGAGUUAACGGCCACAUCCGACACUUAUUACCAAGUUAACAGGUUAGUAACCAACUUGUAACAUUUUAUAUAGUUCAAUGAUUAACUUGUAACUUUUUGAUAUCGAAUAAUCAAAAUGUAGAUUUACUAAUAAUUGAAUCACCUUCGAUGAGGAAAAAAUGAGUUCAGAGAAAACAAAUAUUUUUUUUAAUAAGUUAAAAUUUGUUGUUUAUUUAAUGUUUAUCAUAUAAAAUAUCUUAUAAUAAUUUAAAAUUUUAUAUAAAAAUAUUUUUAAAAAAAUACGUUAUUGGUUGUUUUUAUUAUUUAAAUUAUUUUAAAAAUAUUUCUAAAAGUUUUUAUUAAUUAAAAUAAGUCCAAAACUAAAUUAUAAUAAAUAUUGAAAAGAAAAUUUUAAAAAAUUGACCGAUGUAUGUAAUUCUCACUCGUAAUUAAAGAGGGAGGAAAACAUUUGGAUUGGAGAGUUGCAAGAGAGGGGACAUGCCUAAGUUUUUCCCAGCAAAAGAACAAGUCUUUGCUUCUUCUUCAUGCUUUCAUCAGAUCCCAUAGGUUUAAAAUUCUCUUCUUUCUUCCACUAUCUAUUUUUUUUUCGUUGUUUAGUUUGAUUCAAACUUAUCCAAUUACUACUUUUUUAUUCAUUUGUUUGCUUUACCUCAAUCCAUCUUCUUUUUCUUUUGAUUCUUUUCCUUUUUUACUUUCUUUCUUUUUCUAAAUCCCCUUUAAUUAUUUGUCUAUUAAUUGGGUUUCGUUUUGUUUUCCUUGAAAUGCAUGUCGGUGAUGCUGAUGUUGAUGAUUGAUUAUCAAGUACUUGUUGUUCUUGGUACAGUGAUUCGCCACUGUUGUUUAUGUUGUUCCUGUUUUGGCUUAUUUUUGGGGUGGAUUAUGUUUUUACUAUUUAUUAUAUACUGUGGUGGGCGGAUUUCAUGUCCUUUAACCAUCCCGUACAGUUGUUGACUUGUCCGUACAGAUUUAGUUUUUAUAUAUCUCCCAGCCAUUUUAUCUUCCUCUUUUAGACUGUGAUAAUUAUUGGUCAGCUCCCCCCGCGCCGCCUCUUCUUAUUUUCAUCUGUAAUUCAUGGAAAACUAUCAUCAACACUUUAUGGGUUCUUUGGUGGAUUUGCAGUAUAAGCAUUAAGUUUUUAGACUGUAAAACUUUUGAUCUGCAUUUGCUGUUUAGACAUGUUUGAAUUGCCAUUAGAUCUACAAUAUGUAUAAGUCCAUUCAUUUUCACCUCCAAAUUUUGUAAGGAACAUCAACCAUCUGUUGCAUUGUUAUUGUUGUUCGUGUACGUGUUUCGAUUGAAUGUUAAUUCAAGUGAUCGAAUAUUGAAAAUCUCGCUUGUGAUUUUGGUUUAUGUUGUAUGGUAUAUGGUAAGGUUAUAGAGUUUGUUUAAUUGAAGUCUUGGUUAUGCAUUGUAUGUUUGAUUUUGGGGACCUUUCAUCUUUCCGAUGGCUCGUGCUAUUCGGAGUCUCGGUUUGCUUUUACUAGCAAGAUUUAAUUUUAGUAGUUCUUUUGGCUUUCUCGUUAGCUCAGCUUGGAUGUCCUGAUCUUGAGUUCGAAGUGUUGCAUUCUGUUGUUGCUUGUGCAAUGUCUUUGUUCUGUUUGAUGAUUACAAAUAUUGUUUCUUAUAAGGAUUCUCUGUGUUUUUGCAUCAGGACAGUUGAUGAAUUAGAUGGCUGUUCGGGUCCAAAAUUUUCCAAAGAAAACAUUUGACGAAAGCUCUGUUCGUUCCCUAUCCCAUUUAUCUGUCAGUUGCACACCGUGGUGGAGUUUGAACGAGCAGCAAAUUGAAGAGCCUUUACCACACAACGUAAGCUUGAAAGUGGAAACUCCGUCUCAACUCUAUCAUCAAACGAAGCAUUUAGAUCUUCAACUACCUGACCAGGAAUUGACAACGGUUCAAGCAAUUGGUCGAACUCAUUGUGAAGUUGGUGCCAUUGGAGCGACCAGUUCUCAAUGUGAUCCAUCAGAAUCCGGUAUUGAUUCUUCUGGAAGUGUGAUUUAUUAGGAGUCUCAUAACAUGUUCUGUUUAUUAAUUUGAGAAAUUUAUUUCUCCCAUUAUUCUUGAUGUGUUAAUUGGUUUUGCUUUAGUUUUUGAACGAACUGAAACGGAUUGCUAACACGGUUUAUUGAAGACCGAAGGUUGUUGUCAAGCUUAACAGGUUAACGAUUUUCAUCUGAUAUCGUGAUCGUGUUUGCGUGCAUCAGGUCCAGAUGAAAGUUGUGAGAAGGAUACCGAGGGUCAGGUGAAACCGGUUUUCUUGGUUAACAAUCCAAACACUUUAUUCAGCCCCUCUCAUGAGAAUUAUAACCAUUCAAUGGUAUGUGUUUAACAAUUAGGAGUAAGCUUGUUUUGCUGUCUUCGUUUUAAAUUUAAUAUUUCUCAUCCCGUUUCAGGCUUGGACUCAAUAUCCAUAUGCCAAUGCUUACUUCAAUGGGAUGUUUACUCCAUAUGGGCCACAGGCUAUUGUAAGUAGGCACUUUUUAUUCAACACAGAUAGGGCUGAGCAUGGUCUGGGUUACUAGGUUAGGGGUCCUGAAACUAUAACCAUGAACCACCCAGAGUCGAUUCUAAAGGUUUUGGACCAUGGAUUGACUCAAUGAUCAACUAAUGCGGUUUUGAAACGACCCUAGACUACAAUCACAUAACUAAAUUUCAUAAAUAUUGAAAGAACUUUUGAAAUUUAAGAGUUCUAAUCUUGCAAGGUAUAUAUUAUGUUUAUAUAUAAAUAUACAUUGUUCAUCUUAAAAUCGGUCAAAAGUCAAUCCCACGGUUCAAUUCUAUGAUCAGAGCCUUCAAUUUGGGUGGUGGAUAGGUAUGUACUUAGACCGAGCCACUCUAGCAUCAGUCUAGGUUUGGUAUAGGUUUCAUCUUGUUUAACCUUAUUUUAUCUUUGUUGUGAUCGCUUCUCUUCUUAUUAUGUAACCAUGGUUGAAAUUUGACCAGAUUCAGGCCCAGUUGGGAGGAAAUGCUCCAACUCGAAUUCCACUGCCUCUCGAUCUUGCAGAAGAUGAGCCCAUUUAUGUCAAUCCGAAACAAUAUCAUGGUAUUCUCCGGAGGAGGCAAUACCGUGCAAAGCUUGAGGCACAAAACAAACUCGUCAAAUCUCGAAAGGUACAUUGAUUUCUGUUCGACAUUUGUUUGAACAAUGACCUAGAUGUUGCAAUGUCUAAAAGGUUAGGUGUGGCAUCGGCAGUUGAAUUAUGUAUCGAAUAUAGUAAGUUAUUUGCUAUCCGACUGUGUCGGUAAUGUUACCAUGUUUCUCAUAUUUGAUCAAUGAUGAUAAAAAUCAUUGGCCACUGAUCUGCUUUAGUUUGAAUUAAACGCAGCCAUACCUUCAUGAAUCUCGACAUCGUCAUGCACUGAAUAGGGUUAGGGGAUCGGGCGGACGUUUCCUUAGCAAAAAGACACUCCAACAGCCCAAUGACAACUGCACUAAUCGAACGAAUAGUAGAUCAGAACUUGAGAGUCAUUGUUCUCGCAUGGCCGGAUAUGGCGGUCCGAAUACAAGCUGCAUGAACAUCUCGAGCGUUUCCGACAAUGACGGCAAUUUGCAGUGGCUGGAACAUGGAUUCGCCGAUAUAUCUCGUGCAGGCAGUACAGGCGAUGGAAUACGGCACGGUGCUUCGGUUAUCCCGUGAGAAGGGGCGGCGCAGACCGGCAACUCAUCCUUGGCUUUACCAAUACCACUUCAAUUAUGUUUCAUGCAUGUUGUGUAAAAAUGUAAUCUUUUUCCAUGUUUACUGUAUUUUCUUAUUUUACACAGCUGAUCCAGGAAUAAGGGUGUUACUGAAAAGAGUUUGGCUUGGAAUUUUAUUACAAUGAUACUUCAUUUGUGGUUCUUUGUUAUUAUGAGGUGUUAUUUCAUCAAUUAUGUAAGAUAUUUUUGUAAUUUUAAUAAAUUUAAAGCAAAUAUAUAAUUUGAUUAGACAUGUCCAAUUAUAGGAUUACGGUUUUCUUACCGUAUUUGAUUUCGACUAAAUGUUUAUGCUACUUGAUUUUUACUUCAACCUUAAUUUUAUUACAACUUCAACACUCAAACCUAGAGUAGUUCAUGGUCAAGCCACAGUCGCGACUCGGUUUCUAAAAAUGAAAUCCAGGCCGAAGCCUGCUUUGGGGUUUCGGCCUCCUUUGGGGGCUCGGCUCGGCUCGAUUCAUACUCGUUCUACUGUUUAAAAUACAAAAUAUUAUUUUGAAAUAAUUCAUAAUCUCUUUUCAACCCCUAAAUAGAAAGAUAAACGCAUUUUAGUGCGCUCGACCUAUGUGUGUUCAAAAGGUUAACCGAACCGAACUAGUAUUAAUUGAAUUAACUAAACUUUUUAAUCCUUUAACCGUUAACCAAACUAAUUUUUAAAAAAAAAAAAUUAACCGAACUGAAAUAUUUCGGUCAAUUUGGUCAGUUAACCGAAAUUUAUUUAUUUAUUUUGUUAAAGAAAGUAUAAAACAUUUCAAAAAAAAUGAUAAUGUUUAUUUGACCGAAUUAUUCUAAUUAACCGAAUUAAAACUACAUAUAAAUUGUAUUAUUAAUUAUUAAGUUCGUUUAAUUACCUGAUUUCAAUUUGAAUUAACCGAUAAUUGAACUUCCAAAAAACCAUUAACUGACCUCCGACCGAAUUAGAUCGAUUAACCGAAUUAGACUGGUUCAGUCAGUUAAUUCAGUUUUAACCGAAAUUUAAACACCCCUAGCUCGACCAAUGUUUUAUUGCGUUAACAACAAUAUUGAUGCCAAUCAAGCUAAAACUCAAUCAAUUUUACUCUUCAAAUUAUUAAUAAAAUUAUUUUAUAUUAAUAUUUAAAUAUUUUAUAAUUAAAUUUAAAAAUAUUUUUUAUUAUUUAAAUCAAAUUUAGAAUCAACCGGGCCAAGAUAGAAAUUAUCUGAUUCCAGUCCAAUUCGAUUAAGUAAAAAAAUUUUAACAUCCUUAAACAGUUAAACCUGGGCCAGUGGCGGAGCCAAGGGUGGGUUGACAAGGACCCGACCUCCCCUAAAAUGGAAAAUUUUCUAUUUAGAUCCUUUAUAGUUCAUAAAAUUUUAAAUUGGAAAUAGUAAAAUUACACUUUAGCUCCUUUAAAAAGUAAUAAAAAUUUGAUCUAAUUCUUUAAAAAUUAUAAAGAUAUAGACUAUUAAAAUGAUGAAAUUACAUUUUUACUAUCGUAAAAAUAUAUAAUUUAAUUCUGACCUCUAAAUUUUUUUUUAGCUCCUGUUAGAUUUAAUUUAUUGAUAUAAAUAUAAGAUUAAACUUGAAUAAUGAAAUAGAUUUUUCGAAUUCAGCAGUUUUGGCCACUAAUUAAAUAAUAUUUGUUUUAUACAUUAAUAUGAUCAAAAAAUGAAUACAUGUUUAAUUUUGGUUACAAAUAAAUAUUAUAUAUUCGUUGCAUUUUGGACCCCCGUGGAUGCACGCACUUGUUUUGAGAGUUUCAAGUUAAUUUUUUUCCAUAAAAAAAUUUAAAAAAUAUAUGGUAUUAUAUUUAAUUUAGUAUCUAAAUUUUGUUUAAUUGUUCAAUUAGAUACCCAAACCAAAUGGUAUUAUAUGGUCCAAUAAAUAUUUGACAUGUGUGCUUUAGUAAAAAAAUAUAGGUACUUAAUUGGAACAAAAGAAAAUUUAAGUACCAACUUGAACAUUAAUUAAAGUCAAACUUAAAUACUAAAGUGAGACAAAAAAGCACACACUCAAAUAUCAAAUUCAGAAAACUCAAGUACCAAAUCUGGACAACAAAAAAACUUAGGUACUAAAUAUUAUAUUAACCAAAAAAACUUUUUUGCCAUAAAAUAAAUAAACAAUUUAUUGAUUAAUGUAGCUUUUCAGCUAAAACUUCGUGUUGUCUCCUUUGGUCUUGUUUGAUUAUUUAUAUUUUGUUUAUGAAUAAAGAUUAAUAAAAACUUUUUUUUCAUCCUGUUGAUGAAAGGGUAAUAUUCCCUAAGCACUUUAUAUUAUUACAGGGGCGAAGUCGAAAUUUUUUUGAGAGUGUCGAAAUUAAAUUGUAUAUUUUUAGGAUAGUAAAAAUAUAAUUUUAUCAUUUUAAUAGCUUAUAUCUUUAUAAUUUUUAAAGAAUUAAAUCAAAAUUUUACGAUUUUUGCGAGACCAAUGUGUAAUUUUACUAUUAUUAUUUAAAAUUUUAUAAAUUAUAAAGAGAACUAAAUAAAAAAAAUUCAUUUUAGUGCAGGUAAUGUUAUUAAUAAUCUUAUUUCAUAUUAUUAUUAUUAUUAUAAUUGGGGUUAUAAUUUAAUUUUUGAAUCAUUCAAUUGGGGUUUUGUUAAUAUACGCUUUCUGUUGGUUAAUGGAUAUUUAUGAGCAUUGAUAAAAAUUUAAUUAAAAUAUUUAAUAUAUUCUUUAUUAAAAUUUUAAAGAGUAAUAUAUAUAUAAGGUAAUCUACAAAAAUAGUCACUUUUGUUUGUAUUAGAUUACAUUUUAGUCACUUAUAUUUGAAAUGUUACGUUUUAAUCGCUUACGUUAUCGUUUUGUUACAAAGUAGUCACUCUACCAUUAAGCUCCGUUUCCAAAUGAAUUUUAAAUGCCAACUUGGAUGUCCUAUGCGGCAAUCCAAAUUAAAUUUAUUUAAUUAAAAAUAUAUUUUAUCCCAACUGGAUAUCCAAGUUGGCAUUUAAAACCUAUUUAGACCGCCGCGUAGGGCUGUCGUUAGGGAGGUAACGGAGUUUAACAGUAGAGUGACCACUUUCGUAACAAAAUGAUAACGUAAAUGACUAAAACGUAACAUUUUAAACAUAAAUGACUAAAAUAUAAUCUGAGGCAAACAAAGUGAUUGUUUUUUUAGUUUACCAAUAUAUAUAUUGAUCGUGUUUUUUUUUAAUUAAAUACUACCAAUCAUUAAUCAUAAAUGAACAACUAAUUGGACAGGUCAAAAGGCAAACUUAACAAAACUCUUCUCUAAAGCGACAGGCAAUUAAAUAUCUAUCGGUAUUUAUUAUAUAUUUUCCCAACUAACUUUAUACAAAAUUAAAUUAAAUUAAAAUUUUCUCUCUACUAAAAAUAGUAAAAUAGUUUCAUAUAUGUCAAAUUAAAUAGCAAUUUGAAUCUUUUUGUUAAAAUUUUUAUAUAUUUGUAUUGUUAAAAACUGAUUUGGAUGACGGAAUAAUCAAACAGUAACAUAUGGAGCAAAAUACAAUCUAAUUUUUAGUACAAAGAUCCUCAUAGUACUUUUCAUGAUAACUAUAAUUAAUUCAGUCAAAAGCAUAAUACACAAAAGAACCAAGAAAUAGUCAGAACGAAAAUCAUUCAUGGUAGACAUAUAUAUUAGGAUUAAGGAUUUACAUAUUGCAAUGGGAUUACUGAAAUUUGAAUUUAAAAAACAUUUUUCAUAAAAUUGGUGAAUAAAUUGGAAGUUGAAUGACCAAAUAGAAUGUUAAUAAUGAAAUAAAAAUAUUAUUAUUAAAUAUUACAAUCCGUGUACCUAUUCGUAUCUGUAUAUUUUAUUAAAAUAUUAUUAUGUUUAAAACAUUUUAGAUUUAAAUAUUCAAUCGAGUUUGUGAUAAUAAUAAAAGACUUUCGUUGAAAUGAAGUUUUAGGUCCGUUUGUUGGACACACACCUAUUACCCUUUUCAUUAUCAAAUUCGAACGAGUUAAAAGGUAAAACAGUCUCAAUAAAUAUAUUUUUCAAUAUUUGAACGUUCCAAUAUUUAUAUCAUAUCGUACUACAUUUUAUUUUACAAAAAAUAUAGGAUAAAAUAUGCCAUAAAUCCAUCUAUUCUUCGAAAAAUUGAAAUUUAGUCCUUACAUUUUUAUUUUUAGGAAUUUAAUAUUUUUACUUUUCUUAUUUAAAAAUUCAAGUCCAACUGUUAACACUAUUAAAUUUCAUUUUGUUGAAUUCAGAUUAAUUGCAAUGUCAUUUUUUAAUUAAAAGGCUACCAAGAGAGUAUUUUUUUUUAAUUUCAAAAUGUUACACCUAAAUUUUAAAAUCUGAAAAGUAUAUAGACUAAAUUCUAAAUUUUUAUAAGGUACAGGGACUUAUGGCAUUUUAACCAUAAUUUUUAUUAGAAGGUCUUUAGGGUAACUGACCUAAACCCAAAUGCCGAAUGUCCUUGUGAAGGGAGGGUCAUGCCGAAAUGGGACCCACCACCCUUUGAAUCAAAACAAAAUUAUCUGGAAAUUCAAAUCGAUUUUUUUCUUAAGAAAAAAAACUAAAUUUAAAAUAAUAAAAAAAGAAAAACGACCAAUCAGAAAAUAUCACAUAAAGAACACUCCUCUGAAGAAACAGAAAUCCAAAAAACCAAAUCCUAGGCGACGACGAAGAGAAAGAAGGAAAAAAGAAGAAAGGGGAAAAAAUGGUGUCUUACGUAAGCGUGUUGUUGUACGGAGUGGGAGGGAUAGUGGUGGCCGGGAUGGCGUUGCUGGUAGCGUUUCAAGAGAAGCUCGUUUACGUUCCGGUUUUGCCGGGUCUAACUAAGUCUUACCCGAUAACGCCGGCCCGACUCCGGCUCGUCUACGAGGACGUUUGGCUCAGAUCCUCGGACGGAAUCCGACUCCAUUCUUGGUUCAUCAAGCUCUUCCCUGAGUGUCGAGGUCACUCUCACUGUCUUACUCCCGAUCCGCCUUCUUUUUAGCGUUUUUAUUUUUUUUGUUACGUUUUUUUUAAUUGAAUUAUAGUAAUUCUGCUGGUUUUAGUUGUCUUUAAGGAGAUUAGGGAUUAGGAUUUGGUUUUCGGUUUGAAUUUUUGGAGCUAGUGUUUUUUUGCUGGUUUAAGACUGUUUAGUUGAAUGCUGAUUUUUGGUUAAGAUUUUUCAUUUUUUGGAUAAGAAUUUUAUUGUUUGAUUUGUUUUUUGUUUGAAAGGUUAUGUUCUCUUGACUAUUAGACUGUCUAUUUUGCGCUUUUAUCCUUGUUUCUGCUCUAUUUUGAACUUUGAAUAAUGAAAAUAGGAUGAUUGAAACAAAUAGGGUUUAGUUGAAUUAAGUGAGAGCUGAAGUAAUUCUUGAGAUUAAGAGUAUGAACUUUUUUUUAAAAGUAGGUGAAAAUUUGUGGGAGACAUGCGAAUUGUUUGAUUGAUGUAGUGUGAUGAUUGUGAUUAUGAAUAGUGUAUCUGUUUUUAGUCCAAUUGGUAAGAGUCAGAUAUGAAUGUCAUAACUGAUGUGUUUCUAUUUGUUUUGGGCUAGACACUUGAUUUGGCUAUUACAUGUAUCUGAAAGUUUUGGUAAAAGUUUGUCAGAUCUUGUGAGAAAAUGAAAAUGAAAACGUAACCGAGCAUUCACAAUCAUAUGCUAAGAUGUUGUCUUGUAACAUAUUGUGGUAUGUUGGUGUUCUGUGAUUCAGAUCGCAAUACCAUCUCAUUUCUUAGAAAGUAGUUCUUUUGGUUUUGCAGGCCCAACCAUCCUGUUUUUUCAAGAGAAUGCUGGAAGUAUCCUUUUCAUCAGCUUUAAUGUCUGCAUUAUAAUUUUCAUUUCUCAUUUUAGUGUAUUCAAAUUGGAAAAAUAUUUUUCUCUUCUGAAAUACAAGGUCCUUGGGCAACCUUGACCACUGAUCUGCAGACAUUGCUCACCGUCUGGAAAUGGUACGCAUAAUGCUGCAGAGGUUACAGUGCAAUGUCUUCAUGCUAUCAUAUCGAGGGUGCGUGUUCUAAACAUCUAAAUUGACGCUUCUCUGUUUAUGCUUUCUUGUGUUUUUGGCACCACGACCUUGAUUACUCCUAGUAUAUGACUUAUCUACUUAAUGAAGUUUAACACCCAAUUGAUCAAACAGUUAUGGAGCAAGUGAUGGUUAUCCUUCUCAGCAUGGAAUUAUUAACGAUGCUCAGGUUGUGACUCUGUCAGUUCUUCUAUACUAGAUUCAUAAAGCCACUACCUUACCAAACUAGCAAUCUUAACUGUUUCUUUAUUUUUUUUCAUUUAGGCUGCUCUGGAUCAUCUCUCCCAGCGGACUGAUAUUGACACAGAUAGAAUAGUGGUCUUUGGAAGAUCACUUGGGGGUGCUGUUGGAUCAGUACUCACCAAAAACAAUCCUGAUAAGGUAUUUCUCUUGUAAUUAUUUCAUUUAGUUUUCUUCCUUCCUGAGAGUAAAGAGAUUAGAAUCAGAAACUACACUAUUGUGAUACAGUAGUUCAAACUCAUGCUGGAAAGAUGAUCAACAUACUGUUUUCAUCUGUUUUGCUUGUUGGAAAAUUGCCUGGUUAAACUUCAGAUUUGUCUGCUUUCACAUGACAUGACUGUAUCAAUAGAAUGGCAAAAUUUUAUUACAUUUGGCACAUAUACUUGUAAAACUUGUGGUCUGACUGGAGAUGUUGAAUCACUUGCGGCUUACACAUAGAUUUGUAUCAAUGUUCACGAGCCGGAGAAAGAUGAUGUAGUGUAGAGUUAGUUUCAAAGGAUGAUGAGAGAACUGGAAAAAUGCAGUUGUGUAACGCAUUGAAUGAGACUACUGUUUUUCUGGGCUGUGCAGAUGCGUUACAGAUAUUUUAGUUCACUAAAUUAGCAUUUAAUUUUCAUCUAUUUGGACUGUUAUAUUCCCAAGUUGAUUACUAUUGUUUAUUUGUUUCAUGCUGCGUGGUGUGGAUUUCUUCCACUCAUGUGAUCAUGUUGCUCUAAUUUCUACGGUUCAUCUUUCAUGGUAGAAGGCAUUUCUACAAUCAAUUUGUGCAUUUGUUUGCUAGACUCAGCUACAAAUAUUUUAUUAUUUCUGCUCCUAAUAUAUAUUAUCUGUUUUAGGUUAUAUUAAGUAUGUCAUUUCUUGGUUUGCCUUUACAUUCCAGGUUGCUGCAUUGAUAUUAGAAAACACUUUCACAUCUAUUCUUGACAUGGCUGGAGUUUUAUUGCCUUUCCUGAAGUGGGUUAUUGGAGGCCCGGGUACCAAAGGUCCCAAAAUUCUUAAUUUUCUUGUCCGUUCGCCAUGGAGUACCAUUGACAUCAUUGGGCAGGUACACGUUGAUUGGAAAUUUGACUUCACUUCCUGAAUCUUUAAGACUAUUAGUGGCAUAUAUAUGAUGAAAAAUCUCCUAUUACAUAUAUGUAGCCUAUCUGAGUCAACUGUGAAGGAGAUAGUUCCUUAGUUUGAAAGAAACUGUUUAGACAUUUAUCCUUAUGCUUAUCUGUCUAUUAGAUGCUAGGGAGUAAAAUAAGUUUAGGUUCAAGAUAAUUUUGUACCUACAGUUGGCAUUUUUGACAUAUUUGAAUUUUCCAAAUGUAUCUGUAACUAGGGAAACAGGGAGAUGAUGCUUGUUCUACCUUGUUUGUGUAUGGCACUCGAUCACCUCAUUAGUUGAUACAUCUUUUGUCAUUUUGAACAUUACAUCUGUAGGUCAAGCAGCCUAUCCUUUUUCUUUCUGGAUUGCAAGACGAAAUGGUUCCACCAUCCCAUAUGCAAAUGCUGUAUGCUAAAGCAGCUGCUCGUAACAGGCAAUGCAUUUUUGUAGAAUUCCCUACUGGCAUGCACAUGGACACUUGGUUAUCUGGCGGUGAUCACUACUGGAGAACAAUUCAGCAGUUUUUCGAAAAACAUGUGCCGAAAACUGGAUAUGAUAUUGGUAAUUAACCUUUUUCCCAAUGUAACUAUCGCUGGAUGAUAUUUGACAGGAUUAACCUUUUUGCCUCUAGAUGAUAUUUAUUUUUCCUCCUCUAUCUCUUGCAUUAUAAAUUUGUCUGCUUAAGCUCGAAUUUGCCUCCGAGCCUAGCAGCACCUUGUGAACAACCUAGUUUCUGCAUCUUGUUGAUUGUCUUGUAAAAAUAUACUACCGUUGGAAGCAUUUCUUAAUGUCAUGACACUAAGGCUACAUUGUUUAAUAUUAUAUUCAACGGUGAACAUUUCCACAUCAGAUCUUUAAAUGCCUUCUUUCUGGUACAUUUGGAGGGCAAAUCUGAAUAUAGAAAUUAGAAACAAAACAACACACCUAUAUAACUGUGCUUCAUUUUCACUGUUCUCUUCCUCUUUUGCUUAUCUUUUUUUUUUUUUUUUUGCUUAUAUAUGGAGUAGCCGGAACUGCCAAUAGAAUGUUAACUACUCGUUACUUUCCUUUCUAUGCGACCCCUUCCCCCUCGCCCGUCUUUUUUUUAUCUUUUUGAUUGGUGCCUGAUGUUGCUUUCAGAUUCCCAGAGGAGAGGUGACUAGCAGGCGUGCAAUCUUUUGGGAUUUUAUUAUUUGGCUCACACACCCUGGAUCUCAAACUUUUGUCCCUUUUCUUUUGAAGCUGCAGCUGGUAGAAGCACUCUAUAAACAUACACCCCGCUGUUGUCGUCUUUCAUUGUCUCCACGAUUUUUUUUCUUCUUUUACUGGCAUACGAAACAUAAGCUGAUUAAAAGCGAUAAAGAGAAAGAACGCGAAUUCCCGUUUAGUAUACCGUAUGACUGACUUUGAGGAACAAUCGUGUAAUACCAUCCCGAUUCUGCUGGUUCCUUUUGUAUGAAAUAAGAAAACUAUUAUAAGGAAAAAAAAAAAAGGGUUGCAGAUGUAUGGUUGGUGCUGAUAUGUUUGAUCUAUUUGCAUCUCUGUUUUUUUUUUGUAUGGGGCAAUUUGGUCUUUUAGGUGUUUCAGCAUUUGUUUUGACAAUUUAGGUUGUUUAUGUGAACUUUUUUCUCUUUUUCUGUUUGUCUUCAAUGGUAAUUUUGAACUGUUAGUUUAUAUGAAACUGUUGUGGCAACUCCAAAUCUCUUUCACUUUUUGCGAGACAAUCAAAAAAGAUGCUUCCAACUAUGAAAAUGAAGCACAGUUAAAAUCUUAUGCCAAUCAGUACAAGUCGGUAUGCAUUGGUAUAGAUCUAUAGAUCAAAGCGAAUUAAAACGCACCGAGAUGAUUAAGGGCCAGUUUUUCAUUGUUUAAAAAAAAUAUUUUUGACUUUAAAAGUACUUUUGAAAGAAAAGCUGUGAAGAGUAAGUUGCUUUUGGUUGAAAUUUUUAGCUUUUCAGAAAUACUUUUUAAAAGUAAUUUUGAAAAUGAGAGCUAAAAAUUUUAACUUUUUUUCUCCCAAAAGCACUUUUAGUGCUUAAUUACUUUUUCACCCUUUCAAUAACAUAAUAUUUUUCUUUUUUUUUCUUGGUGUUUAAUUACAAUUGUGUUAAAAUCAUUAAUAAAAAAUAAAAAAUAUUUUUAAAAUACUAAUUACAAAUAUUUAAAUAUUUAAAAUAUAGUUUAUAUAUUCUAAUUAAAUUUUAUAAAUAAUUAAUAUUUAUUGCUUAAAAAUAUUUACAAUUUAUAUUUUAUAUAUUAAAAUAUUAACAAGAAGUUAUAAUAAUUUUUUUAUAUUAUUACUAAAAUAUAAUAAUAUUAACUAAUUUAAAUAUUAUUUAAAUGCAUAUUUGGUACUUGAUAAUAACAUGUCUAAAAUGGACACUUUAUUUCUCAAAAGCACUUUUUGAUAGCAAUGCUAAACACUCAAAUUUUAAGCCAAACUUUUCAAAAGCACCUCUCAAAAUCACUUUUUCACAGCACUUUUCAAAAGCAACGAAAAAUUAGCCUUAAAACUUAUAGAAAUUUACAUUGAAAUAAAAAUAAAAAUUUAAUGUUUCGAUUAUUAUCGGAAUAAGACAUUUUGGUCAUAUGAGCGGUAUUGGUGCAGAAUUGACUUUUUUUACCAUGAGACCUUAGAUUGAAACAACAAAAAGAAAAGUAUUAAUGGAUUAGGGUCUCAUCUUGUAAGCAAAUUAUUAUUAAACUAUUCUAUUAAAAAAAUCAAAUUUAAUUCAAUUAUUGUUGAUAAAGUUUAAAUUUAACUUGUUGAGAAUUAAAUUCGAGUAUUUUAAUUCUUAAUUAUUUGAAAUUUAGUAAAGUAUAAAUAAUUAAAUGAAAACGAAAUACAUUAAACGAAACAAAACUUAAAUGAAUUAAAUUCAAUUUAACCUAAGUUAUCUCCAAAUUUUAAUUUAUUUUAAAAUUUAAAAUUUAAACGAAUCUCUCAAUUGAAUAUUAAUUCGACAUGUAAAACCUAUAAUUACAUCAUUCAAAAAAAAACAUUCAAACGACUCCGCAAAUAUUAUUGUAUAAACAUGCAUACCCACUAGAUCCUUAAACGUGGCAAGGGUUCAACCAAACAACUUACGCCACGUGUACUACAAAAGGUCCUUUUCAUCCAUGUCAGAGUUCUAGGCAUUCCCCCCUUAUCUCAAAAGAGCAAAACAAAAUUGAAACCCACAAAAUCUAUCUGACCUUUAAUUAUAAUAAACAAUUAUUAAUUAAAAAGAAAAAUUAUACUAAAUAAACUAAUUUUUUUGUUUUUUUUUAUCCAACUGCUCUCUGCUAAAAUACUAUUUAUUUUCAGUGUUACCUUCCUGUCUUCUGAUAUGGUUUUUUGUUGUUUUCAAAAUUUGAAUCACAACAACACUGUGUAGAGAUUUUCGUUUUUUUUUUAUUAUUUCGUCUCUCUCCUUUUGUUUUUUUUCUCGUUAAAACUCACUCCUUUGUUUCCUUCUCUUUUUUUUACUCAAAAAAGUGUACGGAGAAUGGACGGAGGAACACUGCAUAGCCUCAGAACAGUAGAGGAAGUCUUUAAGGAUUUCAAAGGCCGCCGUGCAGGAAUCAUCAAAGCCUUAACCGCCGGUCUCUUCGUCUUCUCCUCCUCUGAGUUCUUUUUAGGGUUACUUUUUUUUCUAUGUUUAUUUUAUUUAUAGCUUGUUUUAUGUUAACGCAGUCUAAUCUUCUGUGUUUUUUUUUUCUAUUUUGUUUUCGGUCGCAGAUGUUGGAGAAUUUUUUGAACAGUGCGAUCCUGGUUAGUUUUUUUUUUUUUUUUACUUGCUUGAAAGUUGCACAUUCAAAAUUUAUGUUUGUUACGUUAUGAUUGUUGGACGUAAUGAUUAAAUUAGCAUGUACCUCAAAUCAAUUUAUUUAUUUUCCUAAUGAGGUGUUGUAGUAUCCCUGAAUUUUGCUAAAUCUAGAUGUAAUUUGUCUAGUUAAUGAAGCAAAUAGAUCACUUAUUUGUGGUUGUUUAAGUUUAAAUCCUGUGAUCGGAACUUAGAUUUGAUUGAAACAACUUAAUUCAUUUCCUUGUCCAGCAUUUUAUACAACUUCCUUUAUGCUCUAUCGUUUGUUUUGAAACAUGGAUUUGAAAUGUAUAACCUCUCAAUCUCCAAACCAAUAGUUUUAUUUGUUUCUCUUGGUAAUAUGACUUUCAGUAAUUUGAUUAUAUAUGAGUACGUUAAUGGUUGAUUUCGUCCGUUCUUGAUGGUUGUUUUCUGUUUAGUAUUACGUUGUUAGUGAUUUGCCAAACUUACUUAAGAAUGGAUGUGAUUACCCUGUUUCUCUAUUAUGUCUACUUGGGAUUUCGUUCGACCGACAUUGUGUUUUUCAGAGAAGGAGAAUCUUUGCUUGUAUGGACUUCCUACUGAACAGUGGGAAGUUACUUUACCUGCUGAGGAAGUGCCUCCCGAGCUUCCGGAGCCCGCAUUGGGUAUUAACUUUGCUAGAGACGGGAUGCAAGAAAAGGACUGGUUGGCACUUGUUGCUGUUCAUAGUGAUGCGUGGUUACUAGCAGUGGCUCACUAUUUUGGUGCUAGGUUUGGUUUUGAUAAAGCUGACAGGUAUAAUUUCCCCCCUUCUCUGCUGCAUAACUCCAGGGAGAAAUUAAUAAUGCUUGGUGGACUGUAUGCUUAAUCAACUUUAUUUUAACUGUAAGCUUUUCAUGUAGCCAUUAUGUCUCAUCCUUCUUGUUGAGUCAUCAUGUCAUGUGGGGGAUCAAGUAUUUAAAUGUUUCACUGGAUAUAAGUGCAUUUAAGCAUGUUGUGCACAUCAUUUUUCACCUCGGGUUCUGAUAGGUCAUAUCCUUUAGAUGAAUGGUUAAGGACAUGUGAGUUAAUGCUGGACAUGCACAUGAAGCUUGGAAACAGAUAUCCAUAAAUUAAGUGAAAUUUAUUGCAUACAAUUUUUUUUUAUAGAGAAGUUUGAAAAGAUUGACUGGAAUUUUUAAUUAAGGAAGAAUGCUGCCAUUUUUGUUGUAGAUAUUAAUUUGUGAGUUAAUUUGAUGCAGGAAACGUCUCUUCACUAUGAUAAAUGAUCUCCCUACAAUAUUUGAAAUCGUCUCUGGAAGUGCCAAGAAACAGACAAAGGAGAAGUCAUCAGUUUCAAAUCAUAGCAGCAAUAAAUCCAAGUCCAGUGGAAAAGCUGUAAGUGGAACAUUUUUUAUUAAAGUUUUCCGAUGGCUUAAGUAAAAUAUGAUUAUCAGUUAAUAGUAAUGGAAAAGAAUAAUGGCAAUGUGUGGGAUAUCUUAAACUUCAUAGUUCUGUUAUAUUGGUAGCCAAACCUUUUGUUCCUUAUUUGGGCCAAACUUAGUUGAACAUUCUUGAAAACCAAAACAUUUAAUUUCAAAGCUAAUUAUGUCAUCUUAUUCUGCAAAUUAUCCAUAAUGCGGACUUAUCCAGUCUGUCAAGGCUGUUUUAUCACAUUAUGAUUCCUGAAGCUGGAUUCCAACCCCCAGCUAUGACAAGUUACUGACAUUUUCAGUUAAAUACAUGUAAUGAACUCAGCCAAGCGUACUUCUAUCUAUUUAGUAUCAAUUUUAUGUGGAACUCUUUCAAUUGAUUCAGUGUUUAUUACGUUCAUUUUCAUUUCUGCCCCACGUUAUACACGGCUAUUUCCUUUUUCACAGAGAGGGUCUGAAUCUGCUAAAUACUCAAAGAGCGUGCAACUCAAGGAUGAGGAAGAGGGUUUGGACGAGGAAGAGGAAGAGGAGCACGGGGACACCUUGUGCGGCGCAUGCGGAGAGAACUAUGCUUCGGAUGAGUUCUGGAUUUGCUGCGACAUAUGUGAAAAGUGGUUCCAUGGCAAAUGCGUAAAGAUCACCCCCGCCAGGGCCGAGCAUAUUAAGCAGUACAAGUGUCCCUCUUGCAGCAACAAGAGAGCACGACCUUGACCCCAAGGAAAAUGCCAGUUCAAUCAGGUUGUAAUCUUUAUCAGGGACUUUCAGUUGGAUGUAAAGUAUUAGUAGUUUCCCGGUGCUGAACAUGUACUCUUGAUUCCAGAUUUCGGAUAUAUAACUUUCACUCGCAGGAAAACUCGUUGCCAGAUAAAGUAAAGACCGUGCUAGUUCAUUUGCAUCUCGAUGGGUUAAUCGUUUUCUUUUUGUUAGGCUAUGUGUAGCAUAGAAUUUUCUCAUUUUGGGAGGAUCUGGUUUAGAUGUUUUUGAUAAACCCUUAUCAGACAUACAUUCAUAUUUGACAAUGUCACCCGUGUCUAGUAACAAAGAACUGAAUGAAGGCAAAAUUCGUGUCUUGAGUCCUGAGUUUGCUUUUAGAUGGUUGUUCCAAAAGGACAAUAAAAUGUUAUACAAUGCUCAAUAUACCUAUUCAUAGGUUAGAUUACCUGUUUUGGCUCAAAAGUUCGACUGAAAUAUGGCAAAAGUAUUCCAGAAAAUGAACUUGGAAAAAAUUUGACUAAUUUAAAAUAUGAGUAUGAGUCAAGUUUAAGCUUGAAUCUUUAAGGCCCGAGCAUGGCCUGAUUUAGCCUAUUUUUAAGUUUAUAAUAUUUUAUAUUAUGUUAUUUUUAUAUAUUAUAUAAUUUAAAAUACAUUAAAAAAUAAAUCUAUACCAAAUACAUUAAAAAAUACUAUUAUAAUGUAAACAUUAAAAUAAUGUUAAGAUGACUAUAUAAAAAAUUUUAAUAAAUAAAAAAUAUAUAAAAUUAUUAAAUAUUAAAACAAAAUAAAAUAAAUAUUCUUUUAAAAAAAUUAAAAAGUAAUAUGGAUAGGCCUAAAAUGAACUUGGGUUAAUCUUUUACAAAAAUAGGUAGGUUUAGGCAAAAUUUUAGGUCUAUAUUUUGGGUUGGACCAAAUUUGGAUAAGCAUAAAGUAUGUUAAUAUUAUGCUUAGGACCGACCCGACUUGACCCAUGAACACCUCUAGAUAUUAGUACUUAAGUACAUUUAAGCAUGUUUAAUUACUCUCAAAUAAAAAAUAAUAAUAUUUUAUAAUUAAAUUAAAUAAGAAUAUUAUUGUUAUUAAAUAUAAAUUCCAAGGCACUACCCUAACGGUGGCUCAAUGUAGUCCAUGCUCAUGUAGGAUUUUCAAAAGAGACUAUAUUUAGAAAAGAGAGAGGAAAAUGUAAAGCUUACCUUUGCUUUGUUUUUGACUUUUUGAGUUGCAUGAAUGGAUGCAUUCAAACAAAAUGCACGAAAAAUCUCUGCAAGCAGAACUCAUCAACACUGUCUAAUAAUCUCAAAGCAGAUUCCAAUGCAUAUACUACUUAUCGAUAUCUGAUAGUUUCAUUGGGUAAUAUAACGUUAGGGUUUCGAAUAUGAGGAUUAAGGGCUGCCAAUUCUUUCCAUUUAGCCCCGGUACCGUGAAUACCAGACGAGAUGCUCCACAAAGUGUCACCUGGUUGAACCUUUGUUGUUGAGGGGGUUGAAGAUUUAAAACCAGGCUUGGAUUUCAAUAAUGGAUGCUUAUUGCUCUUUCCCAUUCCAUUGGCAAGCAACCAUCGAGAACCGGAUUGUUGUUGGGUCGUGCUACCCCAAAGUUUUUUCUUGCCGGGCUCGGUCUUCAAACCUGCAACAUGAACAUCGGUGAUUCUGUAUUGAGGAAUACCUUCCUCUUGGGAAGCUUUUUCUUCUUUCAUCUCCGCAGGUUUCACCUUUUCUUUUGUGGCGGCCUCGGAGUCAUCACCAUCUUGAUUGUCGUUGCUCAAAGCCGAAACAGUAGCAUAUAUCUUUGGUUUUGAUGGGACAAACACUCUCUCCACUUGAAUAAGAGCAAGCAUGGGUGCACCGACUGGCUCGUAGUUUCUCAUGGGAUCGCGAAGUUGCACCAUCAAUGCCACUGUGAAGUUAUUCCCUAACAACCCACACUUUUUACCCCGUUUUUUCUCUCCCUUUGACCCUCUGAGAAUCGAGUCCAAUGAUGUAGCAUGAUGAGCAGCAAGGAUUUUAGAAGUUCGCUCGCUUAUUUGAUCUUCAUCGUCAAUAUCCCCGGAAUCAAGUCUCAUCCAUUCAUCAAGAGUUAGUGACAGACCCAUUAAUCCAUCGACAUUAUCACCGCUGUCUUUUAUAUCCAACAAUUGCAACCCGGCAGUUCCAUCCAGACCAAGGGACCCACUAAUACCGAACCCCUUGCCUUGAAGGGCUGAAAUUUCCCCAAUAGACUGCGCACUGAUGUUUGAAGGUGCAUCCUCAUCUGACAUGCCUGACUGAAUUCUCAACCCUUCCAUUGAGAGAGCUUCAAUCUUAUCCAUUGCCAAUGGAGCAAGAUCUUCAAGGGCUACAUAAUCUGACCCCAUCUCAUUGACAGAGGUUGAAUUAAUAUCGCUACAGCUGGGUCGAGGUGAUCUUCUUUUAACUUUCUUUUGCCUGCUAGACAUAUCUUCCCCAACUUCAAAGUCAUGCUGCAACGAACAUUGCCUGCUUAGAAGAAGCAAUGACAUAUAAUAUCAGUACAAUUUCGCAAACAGUGUUUAUGAAAGAAGUAUAUGUUGAGAAACCAAAGAAAAAUGAAUCACGAACCUCUGCAGUCCCUCCAGAGCAGGAGCAGCUUCCCAUGCAACUUGUUCCAUAGUUUUACCGGUAAUAUCCUCCAAAGGCAUCAACUUAUUUGCCUGCAUAGAGAGCUUCUCAAUCCCAACAGAGGCCAGUUGCUGAAGUAUAUCCAUUAUACCAGAACCCAUUUCUGCAGGUACUACAACUGGAUUAGACACCUGCAUGAUCAGGUUCCCACCACUUUUAGCAUCCUGGAAAAGUGAGGGAUUCAUAGAUCGCAAAAAUCCUCCGUUCUUUGUCUGAAGAAAUGGACCUAAACCAUCUCCAAGAGGAGGCAGUUCAAGUGGAUCUUCAGGAGGCAAAUCUACUGGACUCCCAAACCCACCAGAAGACCCAGAUGGAGAUUGCUGAAAAGCCUUCUCAUUCAAUCCCCACUCACGCAUUAACGCUUCAGUCUCCAAGCCUUCCAAUACUUUAGCUCUCGUUUUAUUCCUCCCACCAGUUUCCUUCUGAUAUUCUUGCUCAGCAUCUUGGAUAAAAGAUGAUAAAUCAAAACUCUCAGUCAAGCUCCCCCAACCAGAUGCAGUUGAGGUGUCAAAACCAGAUUCUAGUUCCUCCUCAUCAGCCAUGUCAAAAUCAAAUAAUGAGCAACCGCUGGCUAGGGUAUCCUUCUCAAAUUGCCUUAAUAAACGCUCUCUUGGAGACUCGGGUUCACUCUCAGAACUCAAGCCGAGUAGACUAUGAUCAAUACCGAGCAUGUUCAAGAAAUCAGUGGCGAUAGAUUCAGUAGCUUCAUCCAAGCCAAGUGAUUCCGCCUUAUAAUCACCUUUAUUAUCCAUGUAGUCCUCCGGAUCUUCAAGGCCAGGAGAAGAAGCUAAUGCUUCCCCCAAAUUUGUAAUACCAUCUAAAGCUAAAUCCAAUUCUCUCAUCAGCGAUUCAUUUGAGCACUGUUCAUCCUCUUCGGAACUGCGAUCUUGCACCACGAGCAUAUCUCCUUGAUUAGAGGGAUGAAGCUGAGAACAUUCUUCAAAAUUUUCUCCCAUGCCAGGAUUAAUUUCAUCAACUUGUGGGGUUUCUACGGUUGAUAAAGUAGCCGCAAGGGAAACUUCCUCCGACCUAGCCUCUCCUUGAUUGGAGGGAUGAAGCUGAGAACGUUCUUCAAAAUUUUCUCCCACGCCAGGAUUAAUUUCAACAACUUGAGGGUUUUCUACUGUUGAUAAAGUAGCCACGAGGGUACCUUCCUCCGACCUAGCCUCUCCUUGAUUAGAGGGAUGAAGCUGAGAACAUUCUUCAAAAUUUACUCCCAUGCCAGGAUUAAUUUCAACAACUUCAGGGUUUUCUAUGGUUGAUAAAGUAGCCACGAAGGUAACUGCCUCCGACCUAGCUUGUUCUUCUGAAGACAACCCUAUCCCUUUUUCGUCAACAGAGAAGUCAUUAUCUUCAGUUUCUUUUUCAAUAUAUUCGUUAAUUGAUUCAGAUGCAAGAGAAGUCAGAGGUCUGAUGGGCUCAAAAUGUUCAUUUAACACAUCAGGUUCAGGCUUGGAAGCAGCAGAAGCAUUGGGCUUUUCUUCAUCAAGUUUCUGGUCUACUGUAUUUUUAACAUCGAGCUGUGGCUUUGGCACAGACAAAACUUCAUGAAGAUCUUUUAUCUCUUCCACAACGGGAGAUGAGCCAAAAGGCCUGGUGUUAACUAAACUGGGAAGACUCUCAACACACCUUGUUGUGUCCAGGUCAAGGUGAUCAAAUCCAGCAACUGCUUUUCCUGUACUCUGAUUAUUCUGCUUUAUAUGUGACAACUCAGCACGAUGCUGAUUACUUUUGAGCAGCACAGAAUUAUCCCCGACAACCAUAUAACCAAAACUAACAUUCAUGGUAGCACCUUUGGCCUUCCCUGAUAACUUAAAACUUGUUGUCCACUUCCCCGUACUCUUCUCUUCCUCUAAUUCUUCCAAUGUAAGUGGAAGUAACCGCGUAAGGUCAACUCGAUGCUUCCCCAAAUCAAAGUCGGGUGUUCCCAACACAGAUGCAAAAAGCAUGCAAUGCUUAGCCUCAUACUUGGCCGAAAGGCCACUUCGAACACCAUAUAUGGAACACGUAUACGUCAACUUCUCUCCGAAUUCCGCAGUUCCAUUAAAAACUUUAGAAGGACGAGUUGUUAGAUCCCCAUCCCGCCUCUUCCAAUGCACAAAUAGACUAAGAUCAUUAAAACUUACUGGUAAACACUCAAUGGAGUGUACUUCAAGUGAGAAACAACAAUUAAACCUCCGGUUCCGAACAUUGGAAAACACUUUCAAAGGCUUCCAAUUCCAAACAGAUUUCUUCUCUUUAAGCAAAGGGUCCUCAUUACUAUUUUUCACUGUCGAUUUCGGUUCCGGCAAAUUGGUUUUCCGGGUUGGUUUAGACCGAGAAUUAAAAGCAGAAAAUGAAUUGCUUGAACGGUUCUUGUCUAAAUACAAAGCUUUGCUCAUAGUUUCGAUUUCAUUCAAUAACUUCCCAUUACUCGAAUUCCCACCAUUCUUCUUCCUAGCUUCAGCUUUCGACAACAUCAUCUUUUUCAUACGUAAAAUAAAUAAUAAUAAUCAGAUUAAUCUAUAGAAGUUAAAAUAAAAACCCUUACUGAAAAUUCAUUGAACAAAUCGAAAUCGAAAUCUAACAAAAGAUUCAAAAUUACGUAAAUUAAAUUACCAAAUUGAGCUCCCCAGAGACUGGAAUUUCCCAACUAGUUCAAUAUAUAGUCUCCCUUCGCCGUUUGGCUAUCAAAAAAUUCAGGAAAAAAAAGUUCCGAUUCAAAAAAAAAUCAUAUAUAAAAAUCUAGCAAAAAAAACCCCCAAAAAAACCGCAAUAAGCAUAGGAGCUGAAGAGAAUCAGACGGAGAUAUCGAAAACUUACAGUAAGCAAAUUAAUGGCGGCUGAGACUAAUGAACCGGGAUUGUCUCCGCGGUUCGCUGCCCCACUUUGGGCCUUGAAUUGCCGCUGCCUUUUACUCGAACCAACAUUUUGAAACCAAGCUAUGAAAAGGCGUUAUAUUAUGCGGUUUAUAUUAUGUUCUACUUUUUUGGUCCAAUUUUAAAUAUUUUUUAAAACAAUUCUCUUAAAAAUAUAUGAAUUAAUUGUAUUCCGCAAAUUUUAAUUAAAAAAAUACUUGGUUUCUUUAAAAUUACAUAUUUUUUCGUUUAUUAAAUCGAAUAGAAUAAUUGAAAGAGUUUUAUUUUUUUACGAUUUAAUCCAUUUAAUUUUGGAUUUUAUCACAUUUUAUCAUGUAAAAAUUAGAUUGCAUUUUAUUUUUUUAUUAAAAAUAGACAAAUUAAUCUUUAUACAUUAUAUAAGGGGCGUAGCUAGGGGAGAUUGUUAGGGUCUCAGUCUCCCUAAAAUAGAACAUUUUCAUUUAGAUCCUUAAAAUUUUUAAAUUAGUGAAGGUAAAAUUGCACUUUGGUCUCUUAAGAAUAAUAAAAAUUCGAUUUAAUCCUUUAAAAAUUAUAAAAAUAUAGGUUAUUAAAAUGGCGAAAUUACAAUUUUAAUAUCGUAAAAAUUACAGUUUAAUUUCGGCCCCUUUAAAAAAAAUUUCUAGCUUCGCCCUUGCGUUAUAUCAAAAAGCAAAUUGAUCAUUUCUGUUAAAAAUUUCAUCCAUUUAUAUUGUAAAAAUUGGUAUGAUUGACGAAAUAAAUAGACACUGACAUAUGACAUGCAGCGUGUGCAUCAAUGUUGACACAUAAAAACUAAAAAAAGAUAAAUUUUAAAAAAUUAAACCAAAUUUUUUUUUUGGUCUAAUUUACUUAUUGAAUUAUCAAAAUACUUUACUUUACUUGCGUUGCAUGGAAAUAACGUGACGUUAUUAUUGAGAAGCUAACUUUACAGAAGGAGUUAAAUAUGGAGAGAGCAUAUCCUUUUUUUUUUAAAUGUUGAGAGAGCAUAUUCAAUUGGUAGUUUUUUUUUUAAUUAAAAAUAAUGAAUAUUUAUAUAUCUUAAUUUUUAUAUUAUUUUAAAAAAAACAGAUACCUUAAAGAAAAGAAAAGCAUUACUUUAAAACUUAUAUUUUACAUAAUUAAUUUAUUUUAAAUAUACAAUAUAUUUAAUUUAUGAUAAUUUUGGUAGCUUUUAUUCCCGCGUUACCUAAUUUUGGAAUAUUUACUUUCCUUUCCAAUGCACAUGAGAAUUGAGAAAGUUUUAGAAAACCCUCCAAGAGAAGCAAAAGCAAAAGCAAAAUUUGAAUUUAUUUUAAGAUUUUACUUCUAUAUCACUUUUUUAGAAAUAUUAUUUAUAGGUGGAUUGAAUUUUAAUUCGAUUAGCGUGGGUAUUGUUGUCAAUGUAGGAGGAUGUGGGUUCGAACGCGUUAAAAAGUAUUAUCCUCUUAUUUAUGGAUUGAGAAGGGCCUAUGAAUAGUUCUAGGCAUUGAAUAAAAAAAUAGAUACGAUCAAAAUCUAUAAUAAAAUUAUUCAAAAAAAUAUUAUUUAUAAUUAUAUAUUCAUUUAAUACGUUAAAUUAAUUAAUAAAAUUGUCAAAUUAUUUAUUAAAUAUCUUAUUAUUACUACAAAUAACAUACUAAUUAAUUUUCUAAAUGUUUUAAAAAAUGUUAUUUAUUUAUAUCAAAUUCAGUAAUGAUUUUAGUAAUUGAAGUUUAUGCACCAAAAAGAAAAUUUGUAAUAAUAUUACAAGCUACAAUGUUUUAAAAAUAAACUAUUUCACUUCAGUGGAAUUUUGGUAAAUAUAUUUAAGUAAAUUGUAUUUUAAUUUGUUUGGAAAAUAAUGGAAGGUUCUAAAGAAGUUUGACAAAGUUUUUGUUAGUGAAGUGGAAUCCAAUGCUUUUGUAAGUAGAAAUUUGCAGAUAAGUUUUAUAAAAUUUAACUUAUCUUCGGCAUCAAGGUUGACAUUAAGCAUGUGGGCUGGAGCUGCAUUUAUUGUGAAAUCCGGAUGGGUUCCUCUAGCAUUGUCUGGACUUUCAUCGUCAAAAUCACUUUCUUCUGAUUCAGAAAAUAAUACAAUUUUUGAAUCAUCUAGCCUGAACUCUCAGAUUGGAUCAUUAUCGAUUUCAAAUCCCUCUUCGUUAUCAACCCUAAUUAUACAUCUAGGGUUGGAUGUCCCUUUGUCGGUGUAAGUUGUAAGGAGUACAUCACUUGUUCUUGUAAACCUUACGUUAUAACCAAAAUCACUUUUGAAUUGCCCACUGGUGUAACUUGAUGGCAUACUCAUAUAAGUGUUUCCAGCAUAGAACAUCGGUGUUCGAAAGUUGAAAUCAAAAGCACUUACAGAAUGUUGUGCUAAGGUGUCAAAGUUUAGGUUACCAACUAACCCCAACUAUUGGACAAACUAUACGUCAAAGUUGAAAUCAAAAGCUGAAACAUAUGAAUGCAUUCCCAUUGACGAUUUCGGCUGUAACACCCCUUAACCGUAUCCAACACCGGAAUAGGGUACGAGGCAUUACCAAAACACAUACACUUGUAAACGUAUUUAACCGAGUUAUAAAAUUUCAUCAAAAUUAAAACUUUCAAAAUAAUUAACAUGUUUCUAUAACUUUUCACAAUAUAUCCUCAAAAUAUUAUAAUCAUAAUAAUUAGGGCCUGCGAGACCCGAUACAUACUCAUGCAAUUUAAUGCUUCAUUUCCAUUUCAUUCAAUUCGCAAUUUCUCAUGCUCAUAAUUUAAAUCAUAUCACUAGCAAUUUCCAUUUAAUUCACGUACAAUUCAAUGACAUCAAAUUCAAAACUAANNNNNNNNNNNNNNNNNNNNNNNNNNNNNNNNNNNNNNNNNNNNNNNNNNNNNNNNNNNNNNNNNNNNNNNNNNNNNNNNNNNNNNNNNNNNNNNNNNNNNNNNNNNNNNNNNNNNNNNNNNNNNNNNNNNNNNNNNNNNNNNNNNNNNNNNNNNNNNNNNNNNNNNNNNNNNNNNNNNNNNNNNNNNNNNNNNNNNNNNNNNNNNNNNNNNNNNNNNNNNNNNNNNNNNNNNNNNNNNNNNNNNNNNNNNNNNNNNNNNNNNNNNNNNNNNNNNNNNNNNNNNNNNNNNNNNNNNNNNNNNNNNNNNNNNNNNNNNNNNNNNNNNNNNNNNNNNNNNNNNNNNNNNNNNNNNNNNNNNNNNNNNNNNNNNNNNNNNNNNNNNNNNNNNNNNNNNNNNNNNNNNNNNNNNNNNNNNNNNNNNNNNNNNNNNNNNNNNNNNNNNNNNNNNNNNNNNNNNNNNNNNNNNNNNNNNNNNNNNNNNNNNNNNNNNNNNNNNNNNNNNNNNNNNNNNNNNNNNNNNNNNNNNNNNNNNNNNNNNNNNNNNNNNNNNNNNNNNNNNNNNNNNNNNNNNNNNNNNNNNNNNNNNNNNNNNNNNNNNNNNNNNNNNNNNNNNNNNNNNNNNNNNNNNNNNNNNNNNNNNNNNNNNNNNNNNNNNNNNNNNNNNNNNNNNNNNNNNNNNNNNNNNNNNNNNNNNNNNNNNNNNNNNNNNNNNNNNNNNNNNNNNNNNNNNNNNNNNNNNNNNNNNNNNNNNNNNNNNNNNNNNNNNNNNNNNNNNNNNNNNNNNNNNNNNNNNNNNNNNNNNNNNNNNNNNNNNNNNNNNNNNNNNNNNNNNNNNNNNNNNNNNNNNNNNNNNNNNNNNNNNNNNNNNNNNNNNNNNNNNNNNNNNNNNNNNNNNNNNNNNNNNNNNNNNNNNNNNNNNNNNNNNNNNNNNNNNNNNNNNNNNNNNNNNNNNNNNNNNNNNNNNNNNNNNNNNNNNNNNNNNNNNNNNNNNNNNNNNNNNNNNNNNNNNNNNNNNNNNNNNNNNNNNNNNNNNNNNNNNNNNNNNNNNNNNNNNNNNNNNNNNNNNNNNNNNNNNNNNNNNNNNNNNNNNNNNNNNNNNNNNNNNNNNNNNNNNNNNNNNNNNNNNNNNNNNNNNNNNNNNNNNNNNNNNNNNNNNNNNNNNNNNNNNNNNNNNNNNNNNNNNNNNNNNNNNNNNNNNNNNNNNNNNNNNNNNNNNNNNNNNNNNNNNNNNNNNNNNNNNNNNNNNNNNNNNNNNNNNNNNNNNNNNNNNNNNNNNNNNNNNNNNNNNNNNNNNNNNNNNNNNNNNNNNNNNNNNNNNNNNNNNNNNNNNNNNNNNNNNNNNNNNNNNNNNNNNNNNNNNNNNNNNNNNNNNNNNNNNNNNNNNNNNNNNNNNNNNNNNNNNNNNNNNNNNNNNNNNNNNNNNNNNNNNNNNNNNNNNNNNNNNNNNNNNNNNNNNNNNNNNNNNNNNNNNNNNNNNNNNNNNNNNNNNNNNNNNNNNNNNNNNNNNNNNNNNNNNNNNNNNNNNNNNNNNNNNNNNNNNNNNNNNNNNNNNNNNNNNNNNNNNNNNNNNNNNNNNNNNNNNNNNNNNNNNNNNNNNNNNNNNNNNNNNNNNNNNNNNNNNNNNNNNNNNNNNNNNNNNNNNNNNNNNNNNNNNNNNNNNNNNNNNNNNNNNNNNNNNNNNNNNNNNNNNNNNNNNNNNNNNNNNNNNNNNNNNNNNNNNNNNNNNNNNNNNNNNNNNNNNNNNNNNNNNNNNNNNNNNNNNNNNNNNNNNNNNNNNNNNNNNNNNNNNNNNNNNNNNNNNNNNNNNNGAAUGAACUUACUUGUAUAAAAAUAUGAAGAACCCAGCUUGAAGAAGCCCUUCCAUGGUGUUUUAGCUGAUGAGAAUUCAGAAAAAUGAAGAGAAAUCUAGAUAAUUCCACUUGGGUCCUAACUUUAUUAAGCAAAUUUUGCAAUUUUCCAAUUUUGCCCUUAAUUCUCCUUACUUUCUUGCUGAUUUCAUGCCUCUGCCGUCCAGCCCAAAUAGACCUUGGGUCUAUUUGUCUUUUAAGCCCUCUUCCUUUUAUCAUUUAAGCUAUUUAAUCAUUUCCCAAAAUUUUGCAUUUGUUACAAUUUAGUCCUUUUUGUUCAAUUAAUUAUCGGAACUUUAAAAUUUCUUAACGAAACUUUAAUACUAACUUUUUAACACUCCAUAAAUAUUUAUAAAAAUAUUUAUGGCUCAGUUUAAAAUCCCCGAGGUCUUGAUACCUCAUUUCGAUUCUAAUUAUUUUAAUAUUUAUUUCUAGUGCACUAUUCACUAUUUCAAAAAUUUUCCUAACUUCAUAUUUAACUUAUACUUACUAAAUUAAUAAUAUUUUCUACCCAUUUGUCGAAUUUAGUGAUCUCGAAUCACCGUUCCGACACCUCUGAAAAUUCAAGCCAUUACAUUUUUUUUCGUCGGAUUUGUGGUCCCGAAACCACUGUUCCGACUAAGCCUAAAAUCGGGCUAUUACAUCGGCAUUUCCUGAUAGGAGCUUUGUAACAAUGUUGUCAACUUAUCGCAUACUCGUGUGGUUGGACUUUCUGCUUCUUGCUCCCAAUAGGCAUCAACUAUAACUAUUGUCGAACUCGGAACACCUUCAUCAACAUCGACAAAUUGGACAUAUAACUCUAGUAUAACAUUUUCACUAGAACAAUGCGAAUCAAGCAUUACCUCGAGUCCUCGACCUCCAUGUCGCCUAUUAGCUCAAAUAUAUUAUAUCUAACGGGUUCAGUGAUAUUAGAUAUUUAUAUUUCAAUCUCGAAAUUCUUCUCCGGCUUGAAGUUGCCACUUUGCUUCUAAUUUUUUACUAAAGCUCGAGCAAUUUUAUGCUCCGAUUGAAAAUCAAUUCUAUAGAUUAGACUAAUACAAAAACGACACCAAUUUCAGUGUCACAAAUUUAACGACUCUAAUUCAUGUACUCAUCUUCAAAAAAAGAACUUGUUUCACAUGUUUAAAACCAAAACAUUAUAUAGAAAAAUGAGUGCACUUUAUCCAAAUUCAAACAAUGACACUUACUUGAACUAAUUUACUUUGUUAGGUCGACUUUGAAAUUCAAAUUUUUAACAUAAACAAUCUUCCUCUUAUGCAAAUUCAUUAUAAAAAUAAUCUGCUCGAAAUUUUAAUAUGGAACCGCUAACAAAAUGUAUUCAUAUUAUAGGAAAUACUACCAUUGGAUAUCAAACAUAACUUCAAAAUGUUGGAAAAUAUUGGACAUUACAUGUCCAAAAAACAUUUCUAACAAGAAGCAUUUUUUUGAAAAGUCUGAAUAGUUUUUAAAAUACGCUUCUUAUUAGAAACGUUUUUCAAAAAAUUUGGGAUGUGAUGUUUAAAUUUUAUUCAGAAUUCUCGAGCCCGAGAAUCUCAGGUUUAGGGUUAGGGUUUAGGGGGUGAAAAUGUGAAGGAAGAAAACGCCUCCUACACAUUUUCUUCCCACACAUUUUCAACCUUAUCCCUAACAGAGAAUCCCAUGAAAAAAAUUUAGAACUCGAGAAUCUCGAGAUGAUGAUUUUCAAACAUCCCAUCCCUAAAAUCCCGGACAGUCAUGGGCUCCCACAUAAUUUUUUUUUAAAUUUCCCCAUCAGUUGCUUAUAUAAAGGGGGUUUUGCUCCCCCUACUCCAUCAGCUCUCUCACCCAAUGUCCUUUAGAAAAAAAUUCAAGCUUGAAAUUGUUUUUUUUGUUGAAUAUUUUUUGGGGAAAGAUCUAUUUUGUGUUUCUGUUUGAGAGAGACAUUGUGAUAGUUUUAAGGUAUGUUUGAGUUCACGGUGAUGUGAUGACGCUCGGAGACACACACAUUUCAUCUCUCAUGUGAGGAUGAAACCAUCACGUUAGUAGAUGUCAUGUUACAACUCGGGCUCCCAGUUCACGGUGAUUAUACAAUCACAAGUUGAAGAAUAACUAAGACUCCAGUUGAUGGUGGUUAUGAGGUUAUGGGUUUAAGCAUAACUCAGGCCUCCAGUUGAUAGUGGUCAUGCGGUUAUGAGUUCAAGUUUCAUGCCACCAAAAGAGGAUGCUUUAUAAACUCCAUACAUAAGUUUAAGAUCAUAAUCACAGAGAAAAUAAAGAGACUUUCCAGUAUAAUCAACUUAUUCUUUUUCUUCGUCUUCAACAAGGUAGUAUCCUUAACCUCAUUGUCAAUAACCUAUGACAAAGUUGGGGGUAACAAGACUUUCAAGUGGAGGAGUGAUUGUGACAAUGGAGAAAAUUGAAAUGCGACUCGAGGUGAUAACAAUUAUUGUGAUUAAUAAACUCAUUAAUAACUAUGACCACUAUUGUCCUUACUCGAGUUUCAGCUUUUUCUCUACCGUCACAGUUACUCAUUCCUAAAAGUCUUUUUGCUCUCAACUCCGUUACAAGUUUCAGGCAAUGAGAUUAAUGAUACUACUUUGAUGGAGAUGGAGAUAAAGAAUAAGUUAAUUAUACUAAAAAACCCUUUCCCCCUAUGAUUAAGUUCUCAAACUUAUGUAUGAGGUUUGUUAGGGAUCGUCCCGAUUAAGCAACAAGUAAAAAAAAAGCGGAAUAAAUUGAGAAAUUGAACACACAAAUUUAACGUGGAAAAACCCCUCCAAAGAGGAUAAAAAACCACGGGAAAAGAUAAUUUUACUAUAAUGGCAAAAGAACGAAGAGUACAAAAGAUGGAGAUAAAACUAAACCCCGAAAACCCGAAAAACAAAGAACCCUCAAAACGUAAACACAAAAUUCUCUAAAUGUGUUAUGAGUUCCAAUCUAAUGGGUGUUUUUACUAACGUUGUAAAAGAGCCUAUUUAUAGGCUAAAUUCAUAUGUCAAAUAAUAAUAAAAUAAUCUAAACUAAUUAGUGUUUGAUUGAAACAAAUAAACAGAGUUUAACUAAAAGAUUAUUUCUCAAAUUUGACUGAAAAUAGGAGUCAUACUUAAUAAAUCUCCACCUUGACUCAUAUUUCCACAACGCCAUCUUUACCAAAGCCCGCCAUGAGCCUAUCUUGAACUAUGCAGGGAAUUAACUGAGUCGAAUCUGUGCUUAGAAACUGGAAGACUUCUAGCCUUCGACUUGUACACUGCCAAAUCAAAACUAACCUGGGUCUGAUUUUCACGAACACAGUGCCCUAACUUUUCAAAAUCUGCAUCCAAAAGAGAACCUCUCUUCAACGAAACGGUCAUACAUUUUUCCCUCCUAUGACCAAGUUGCCUCCACUCCAAACGAGUUGACUUCGACUCUGUAACAGACGAGGGACGUCCAAUUUCACCGGUCACUGUAGAACCUUCCAGAAUAUAAAGACUGCCUGUACUUUUGCCUUUUAACAAAACGAUAGCUCCACGAGAUACUUUAAUGCCGCUUGACUCGAUAUUGAUUCUGCAUCUUUUCAAGUCUGAAAUACUCAAGGAGAUGAGAUUCUUUCGUAAAUCAGGUACAUACCUGACAUCUGAGAGUGUCCUAAUCGUCCCAUCGUGUAUCCUAAUUUUAACAGUACCAAUACCAAUUACCUUACUAGAUGAAUCGUUUCCCAUACGCACAACUCCACAUUCAACUGAACUAUAUGUGGAGAACCAUUCUCUAUUGGGACACAUAUGGAAAGAACAUCCCGAAUCUAGGAUCCACUCGGACGUGAGCUUGGAGUUAUCGCUCGUUGACACUAACAAGAAAUCAUCACCGCUUUCAUCGGCCAAAUUAGCACCAGCUACAUCUUCAUCGUUACUCUUAGUAGCUCUUUUAUUUCGCAGUUUAUAACAAUCUGCUUUGACGUGACCUAACUUUUUACAAUAGCGACACCUUUUGUCUCGUUUCUUUGAUACUACCAAAACGGAAGCUUGCCUAUCUGCCUUGCUAUCCAAAUGAAGCUCAUUGUCGAGUUUGUCUCUACUCAACAAAUGACCUUUCACAUCUUCGAACGAGAUUUUAUCUCUGCCAUAAAUCAGGGUCUCCCUGAAAGACUUGUAUGAAGGGGGUAAAGAGCACAAUAAUAGCAUAGCUUGAUCUUCAUCAUCAAUAUGAACCUCAACGUUCUUUAAAUCAUUUAAAAGAGUAAUGAAUUGACUGAUGUGAUCUCUAAGAAGCUCACAUUCGCUCAUGCGAAACGUAAAUAGACGUUGUUUCAACACUAAACGGUUAGCCAAAGACUUAGUCGCAUAAAAAGUUUCUAACCUUUUCCACAAGGUGGAUGAGGUCUUCUCCAUUAAUACCUCCUGCAAUACCGUAUUCGCGAGGCACAACUGGAUUACAGACAAGGCCUUUUCAUCAAGCUUUUCCCAUUCUGUUUUAUUUAGAUUCUCAGGCUUUUUCUCGGUAACAACCUUUUUCAAACCGGAUUGAACUAGAAUUGCCAUCAUCCGAACUUGCCACAGAUUGAAAUUUGUCUCACCAUCGAACUUCUCAAUUUCAAACCUUGUUGUUGCCAUAUCUGAAUAGGCUGAUCUUUGAACUAGCUCUGAUACCACUUGUUAGGGAUCGUCUCGAUUAAGCAACAAGUAACAAAAAUAGUGGAAUAAAUUGAGAAAUUGAACACACAAAUUUAACGUGGAAAAACCCCUCCAAAGAGGAUAAAAAACUACGGGCAAAGAUAAUUUUACUAUAAUGGCAAAAGAACGAAGAGUACAAAAGAUGGAGAUAAAACUAAACCCCGAAAACCCGAAAAACAAAGAACCCUCAAAACGUAAACACAAAAUUCUCUGAAUGUGUUAUGAGUUCUAAUCUAAUGGGUGUUUUUACUAAGGUUGUAAAAGAGCCUAUUUAUAGGCUAAAUUCAUAUGUCAAAUAAUAAUAAAAUAAUUUAAACUAAUCAGUGUUUGACUGAAACAAAUAAACAUAGUUUAACUAAAAGAUUAUUUCUCAAAUUUGACUGAAAAUAGGAGUCAUACUUAAUAAGGUUUAUAAAGCAUCAUCCUCUAGUGGUAUGAAACUUGAACUCGUGACUGCAUAAUAAUAAUCAACUGGAGCCCGAGUUAUACUUGAACUUGUGACUGCAUAGCCACUAUCAAUUGGGAGCCUUAGUUAUAUUUCAACUCGUGACUGUAUCCACCAUGAAUUGGGAUCCCAAGUUGCAAUGCAGUAUCUUCUAAGGUGAUGAUUCCAUCCCCACACGACAGAUGAAAUGCGUGGGUCAUCGAGAGCUAUCGCAUCACCGUAAACUUAAACAUGCUUUAAAACAAUCACAAUGUCUCCCUCAAAUACAAACACAAAUAAUUUUUUCUUUUCAAAUUUCCAACACCCAACAAAAAAAAAUUUGGAAGUGAAAAAAUGCUUCCUGUAGAACGCAUUUUGUAUUUCUCUCUAAAAUCGACUUAUUUCUUUAAAUUUAAAAAAAACCUAAAUCCCUAAUUAAUUUUAAAAAACGACAUAUUUAUCUAAUUAACCAAAAGUAUACCUUUUAUUCAUAUUCAUGAAAAGGCCUUUUCAAUAGCAAGAUUGGAAAGUGUGACCUUCAAAUUUAGAAAAAAAAAAGAAACGAAGAUAACAUCAAAUCUUAGUCUUAACCGUGAAGUUUUUUAAAUGCAGUCGGCCGGGCCCAUGCUCAUUGAAGCGCGGGAAGGAGAAUAUUCCUCUACAUCGGGGACUAUAUUACGUUUUGUCUCUCGAAUUAAAAAUCACCAUAAGCCACGCAGGAAAGAUCAAAUUGAGGAAAAAAAAAGGGGAAAAUUAUUUAGUCCACGUGGCAAUUUACUAUUUGCAAAGAUAAGGCUAAGCCAUAGUUCGACAGCUGGCAAGAUUUAUCUUCCCUAGAACUUUCUACAAUAGACAUGUGGGAGUUAUGUACCAUUUACCCAAUGGUUUCCUGACACUUGUCACCCAUUCGUUCAAUAACCAACAAAAACUCCACGUCACCAUUGAAACAAUUACAUUACACACGUAAUUAGGAGUCUUCUCCUAGGAAUUAGAAAAAGAAAAUGAAAAAUUAAUUAAUCAUUUACUAGAGUAGGUAAGGUAUCUAUGGGUUUUAAGUUAAAUUAAAUUAUUUAAUCCCGAAAUAAGGUGAUGAUAGUAAAAACCUAAGAAUAAAAAAAUAAAAAAAUUAAUUACUACUAAAUAAUAAACCGAAUCAACAAAAAAAAUUUAUAAAUUUCUCAUAACAAGUGGCGAGCUUAGUGUAAAUUUAAGGGAAUAUGGACUCAUUUAAAAUGGUAAACUUUUAAUUUAGUUUUUUAUAAUUUAUAAAAUUUUAAAUUAAUAAUAAUAAAGUUAUAUUUUAAACUUCUAAAAAUGAUAAAAAUUUAAUUUAAGCCUUUAAAAAUGAUAAAUAUAUAUUAUUAAAAUGAUAAUUAUAUUUUUAUUAUCGUAAAAAUAUAUAAUUUAAUUUCGACCUCCCCUCAAACAAAAGAUCCAAGCUUAGGAGAGAUUAUAUGCCUUGAACUUAUUCACAAGUCAAAUGUAAUUCACAUAUUAUUUUUACUGUAUAAAAUUCAAAAUAAAUUAUUAAACAUAUCUUUAAAAAAAUUACAAGUAAAAAUAUAAUUAUGAAUAAUAAUUUUCAAAUAAUUAUAAUUUAAUUAAAUCAUUAAUACAUAAAUAGACUAAAAUAAAAAUUCAAAUCAAAUCUAUAUCUCUAAAAAAUUUCAAAUAACUCAUUUGUGUUAGUUAAUUUGUUCAAGUUGGUGUCACUUAUUAAUCCAUCUUUACUCAAUUGAAAAAUUAAUACAAAUUUAUUUUUUUACGAAAUGAAAAAUAUUUAUUUUUCAUAUAAAAUCUAAAAAAAUACAUUAAUAUUACAUAGUCCACUUUAGCAAUUUAUUUAUUUAUUUAUAAUUAUAUGUAUAUAUAAUCAGGCGGUAAGCUACCACCUUUUGUCUCUGUCUUUCGCUCUUUCCUUCUUUUAAGUUCUUUUGUUCUUUAAUUUGACCUGGGUUUACAGUAAACAAAAGGGAAGAAAAAUGUCGAGCAGCGAUGAAUUCAUGGAUGACAUGAAUGGGAAUGGGGAUUCAUAUGGGACGGUGAACCGGAGGUUCAAAGAUCGAGCCGAGGUAUGAUUGUUCCAAACCCAAAAUCAUUCAUUUUUUAAUCAAUAUUUGUGUUUUAUCAUUUGCUUUUAUUUGUUUUACUUUUAAGUUGAUCGAUUUGGGUUUUUGUUUUUUGAUGCAGCAAGUGGCGAAAACGAAGGAGAUUUUGUCCAAACAAGCGGUUCAAACGAAGGAAAUGUUGUCGAAACAAGCUGUUAAGAUCGCUAAACAAGCUGAAGAACAUGAGCGCUUUAUCAAUAAGGUAAUCUUUUCUACUUUUUUUUUUUUACUUUACAUUCAUGUUUAUUGUAGGUAUUUAAACUGUGGGUUUCAUGUUUAUAAUUUAUUUACUUUACAUUCAUGUUUAUUGUAGGUAUUUAAACUGUGGGUUUCAUGUUUAUAAUUUAAGAAAAUGGAUCUGAAGUUAUAAAUUUUCGGGUUUUUUUCUUGUUUUGUUCAUGGGUUUUUGAUUCUUAGGUGACUCAUCUUUUGGGGGUUCUUGGAUUUGGAGGGUUUUGCUUUCUAUUGGGAGCAAGUGAGUUUACUCGGCCUUGAAUUCUUGAAAAUUGAUUACUGAAAGUAUUGGCUCUUGAAUCCAUUAAUUACUUUUUGUUCUUUUUUCUGUCUUUGAUUUUGAUUUUUUGAUUCAGGACCACAAGAUAUUCCUUAUGUAUAUUGUGUGUUCUAUGUUACCUUUGUUCCUCUUAGAUGGAUAUACUACCGUUUUAAGAAAUGGCAUUAUUAUCUUCUGGUAAGUUCUAUGCCGGUUCGGUUUCGACUUUUUUUUUCUAGUAAUUUAUAGGAAGGUAGCAUCGAAAAUUGAUCAAAAAAAGAUUCAUUUCUGUGUAUGUUAGGAUUUCUGCUAUUAUGCCAACACAAUCUUCUUGGUUGACCUUCUUCUGUAUCCGAAGAAUGAAAAACUUUUCAUGAUUUGUUUCUCAUUUGCCGAGGUAAAGAUUCGGGGUACUCGGUUUCUUACAUAUAUCUCGAUUGGUGAAUGAAUUGUUUUAACUUGUUUGUUCUUUCCGGAUGCUACUUUAGGGACCGCUAGCGUGGGCGCUCAUUGUUUGGCGUUGUAGCUUGGUUUUUAGUUCCGUGGACAAAAUUAUAAGCGUCCUUAUACAUCUUUUACCGGGUAUGUUCAAUCCUUAUUUGCACUUGCAAUCUUUAUAAAGCAAUUUUCGGUAUUUUCAAAAGGGAAGGGGGAGGGGUGAACUGAAUUUCAAGGCUGUUAAAUGUUCUGAUUUCUGAACUUGUGCCUUCGACAUUGUGUGUGGAAGAUACCAUUAGCUAUGGUUUAUUGCAGACAUGUUAUAUAAACUUACCAUGCUCAUAAAAAGCUGCUUAAACUUUCCAUCUGAUAGGGUUCAUGUAUGAUCUCAAUGGAAAGUUCCUAUUUUUAUGUAUAAGUUCGAUCUUCUGAUUCUAAAUAGAGGGAACUGCCUCUAUGGCAUCAAUAUGCCGGCCUUCAAAGAAGGUUUAAGAAAGACAAGAUGUCAAGUAGCCAAAUUUUCCCGUUCGUAAGAAAUGCCCUGUGGGUAAAUUUUUGGUAAUGUUUUGUUUAACAAGGAGUGAAGGAUGUAGCAGCUUUUUGUAAUUUGUAUUUUGCUUGUGCCUCGUUUGAUAAUUUGCUAAGACUACUGUCCUCUACAAAUGUAAACAUAAAACACUUUGAAACAAAAUCACAUACAAAAUGGAGCUGCUUGAAAGCCAUUCCAUGAGUUUAGUUUCAUGUUAGAUUGUGAAACUACAAACCCGAGUAACUGUCUUAUUAUUCCUUGCCUGUGAAAAUUGUUGAAACUUUGUACCUUAGAUGACUAUGCGAGUAGUAUAUUCUUUGAAUUUGGUAUAUGGCAGGUAGGUGUUGCAGAAGAACACCGAUAGAAGUUAGUGGUCAAGGCUCUUUUGAAGGAGAGGCCAAGCUUAAAUUUAUUUCUAAAAUGUCCAAACGUUUCUCAAUUGCUUUCAGGGAUCGUUUUUUUCACAAUUCGAUGGUGGAAUCCCGCAACCUUUGAAGCCAUGCAUCCCGAAGGUACUACUCACAGAUUUUCAUGGCCUUACGUAGAAGACAAAUCUUACCUAUGGACUUGGCUGUUCGGGGUUCCCUUAGCUGCUUAUACUCUUUGGCAAGUUCUUUAUUUCCUCAUUGUCAACGUGCUACGUCGCCAGAGGCUGCUAAGAGAUCCCGAAGUCAUGACUUCUUACAGGUUUGCUCUCUCUUUCUAUAUUAUCUCUAUGUCAGUUCACCAUGAAUAUUUUCAUUCAGAUGAUUUCUUUUUUUAAUAGGGAACUUUCUAAAAAAGCACAGAAAGCAAACAACAUAUGGUGGCGUUUAAGUGGGUUGCUCGGGGAUCAAAACCGUUUGUUGAUGUACAUUUUACUUCAAGCCGCUUUUACGGUCGCGACCAUGGCACUCACGGUCCCUAUCUUCCUAUCAUACGAAUUCCAUGCAAUUUUCCAAAUACUCAAGGUUUCUGCAUCUGUAUGGAAUGGAGGAAGCUUUCUGUUGGAAGUGAUGCCGAGACAAGUGAUUGUGAAGGAGAAAAAGAAAUCCGGGAAUCAGGUGCCGUGCCAACAACAAGAUCAGCACUCAGAUUUAACCGAAAAUGCAAUGCAGGCGAAUGGAUCCUCCGUGACCCACCAGUCUGAAUAGUUGUAAAAACCUUGGGCAAAACAUGGAUGGGGUGUGUUGUGUUGCAGGUUGGCUUUUUUAUGACAGUCCUAACAUGUAGUUUUAAUUGUGAAUCUGUAAUAAUUUUAUCAACUUUUUACCCUCAAAACUUAAAACCUUGUAGAAUUAAAUUAAAAACUAUUGUAAAUAUAGUAAGAAUCGUUUUGUCAAACUCGGGGCCUAUGAAAGGGUCUGAUAUAUCACAUAAAUAUAUACGAUUUGUCAUUAAAUAAUAAGGGUAGUUGUAUUUUUAAAGUGAGGUGCAAGUCUUCAUGACAAUAAAACGAAGCUAAAGAAAAAAAAAACCUUUUUCUAAUUCUAGUACUUUAUUGGUAAGGGCAGAACUACUAAUGUUGAUGGUUUUUAUGCUUCUUCUUUUUCUAUCUUAAUACAUGAUUUGGGGAUAAAUUAUUUUCAUUCAUAUAAUUUUAUUAACAUAAUACCUUGUUUUAAAGAAACUUUUUUGUUUUUUUAAAAUUUUACUAAUUAUGUAAUGACCAAUUAUUGAUUCACAAAACAUAAAAAGGACUUUCGUAUUGCACAUAAUAUAUAGAGAUUAACACUAAUAAUUUUCAAGUUUAAAUUGAAGACUUUCUGUCAAUGACAUUUGAUCAGGGAUGUUUACUCCGUAGAAUUUACUCGAGUUUAAAUUUUGACAAAAACCCAAUUUAAGUGCCUGUCCAAUUCAAUGCACAAUUUAACCUGAAUUGAAAAUAAAAUAAGGAAUACUAUAACACUGUUGUUCCUCAUUCAAUACUAAAGGAAAAAUUGGGAUUUACACAAUGAACUCAGACAACAACAAAUCAAGAUCCCUAUAAAAUGCAAUCUGUUUUUAGUUAAAUUUACACCCAAAAAUCAUCGAGGAAAGCCUGCAAAAGGAGCCCCUUUGCUCCCAAACGAAAUUUAGAAAAAUUACAAAAAAGAAAGAAUAAAACGCCCGUUGUAGGCUGUGAAGACCAAAACCUAUACCUCAAUUGCACAUUAUCACAUCAAUGCUUGUGAAUUUGUGAUAUGGCUUUUUGAGAAACAUUCCCAUGUUUCUUUUCCUUGGAACAUGGGGAAAAGAAUCAUAUAUAACCACCCCAGACAUUAAAAACCAACAGCCUGGGAGGAUGUGAAAAUUAUGAAGAAAAGAAAGAGAAAAGUUAUUAUGCACAUGAGAUGUUUGGAGAUUAUAAAACUAUAUGAACAUGCCUAGUGCAGUGCUUCAAGAGUACCGAUAUAUGUACUCGAGGCUGCAACCACUAUUAUCAGUCCGAGUGCAGAUGUAAAAACCUGAAACCAUGGAUAGAGGAUCAACAUCAGAUAUGUCUCUACUUGUUGCAGAGACUUGGAGAUGUGUACACCACAAAUGGAAUGCUGCAUUGGCAUAUGAGUCGUGAAAUAUCAAACUCUUUUACGUGAGUUGGAUGAUUGCAACCGUGAUUUAAUUAGUCCGAACGUGGAAGUAAGAACCCGAAACCAGAAUUUUCACGAAUUAUUGAUGGAGGAUCGACGUCAGAUAUGUCUACUUUUUGCAGGGACUUGGAGAUGUCCUCCACCGUGAACGGAAUACUGCAUCGACAUCAAUUGUAGAUGUUGAGAAUAUGGAGUGAAGUACUUUUCGAAAUGAAGCUAAAAGACGGAACAAACUAACCUUGAGUCGUCGUCUAACAGGAAAGAACUACUAACAGCAUUGUUGGAAUCCUCAGUCAUCAUAACUCUCAUGUUUGCAAUGACCUGUAAAAAUUUGCAAUCUUAGAAAAACAGGUAUUUCAAAAUUCCAGGUGCCGGAACGAACAGGUAUAGCUUUCUCACGGUAAGUAAUUUGGAUUUCGAACUUACAUCUGAUGACACACUAUGUGUGCCGUAUUUGUCAUCCCAGUACAUGGUGCUAAUUCUGUAUAACUGUUGUAUGCUGAGAACCUGAAGAAGCAAGCAAUAAAAAGAAAUAAGAUGAAGACUUAAAAAAAAAAGAUAAAACUUUAUGAGGCGAUGAAGCUUGAAAGUGAAAGGUAUUUACCGGGCAAAGUUCUUUAGUUAUCUCAUUCAAGGUCUUUUUUGGUUUCUGAUGAAUAACCUGAGUUACAGAGAAACGUACCGAUCAGUGAGUCAUAUGAGAUCAUUGAUUAGAAACCGUUAUUGAACAUGAAAUGCUAUAAGUUGAAUCUAACCAGGAAUCCUACAGCCUGUCUUAUGUGCUUCAGUUCUUCCCAUGCUGGGCCUGCGUACUGUUGACACGAAGCAUUUGGGUAAAGGAACCAGAAAAAAAGGAAGGCAGGAUAUAACAGUUGCAAAUGAUUGCUUAGAGAGCUUACUUCCUCAGUUGCGUUGUAGCACCACUGUUCUAAUUCAGCAAGACCAGCUUUCACGAACUCUCCAUUACUGAAUGAGCAACACUCUCGUCGCAAUAGAAGACUACAUAUAUGAGUUAGACAAAUGCCGCACAGUUAUCACGGAAUCUACCAUAACCUUCUACUUUUGUAAUAGAAUCAAGUAAUAAAUGCGCAUAAAAGUUCACAUACUGACACACAAAUUGAUACCUGUUGAAUAGCUGAACGUUGAUGAAUGAGAAUAUUUGAGUGAACACUUUACGGACUAAGAAUGGGGGUACCUGCAUAACCAGAAAAAUGAGAUCCAUAAAAUCCCUCAAAGAAAGGUUACAUGUUUUUGUUUUCAAGCGAAGUUUAAGAAUUUACAUGAUUUGCUUUCAUUAUAUCCAAAUAACGGUUCAAGCUUUUCACAAUGCUUUGCCAAUGAGCAAUUAAAGCUUGCUGAGCAGCAGCAUUCGCUUGAGAACGUCCCUUCACCAAACUUGCACGUGAUGUCCUUGGAGCCUGCAUUAUAUUGAAAAUAUUUCAGAACUGGAAAAGGAACAAAAUAGAUAGCUUGGAAAAAGAAAUAACUUAGCAAUAACCUGAAUGCACAAUCCAAGCAGUGGAGAGAUCUCUUUCUUUAGAUUGUCUCUGAUCGUUCCAUAUAUCUUCUCAAGGAAGGCAGUAAGCUGUUGCUUAAACAGUAAUGCAGGAUAUUUGGCCUCAACUUGCCGUAAGUCAUCUAGUCUACUAAGUCCACGACCAUUAAGAAACGAAAGUCCACCGCUUUGUGGAGAGGCCCGUAGUCCCUAAAAAUCAUAUCAGAACAAAAUAAGGUCAGGAAAAGAAAUUUAAAUAUAUAGAUAGGACAGGAAAAAAUUUUUCUUAAGAUAAAUAGUAGCUUCUUACUUGGGACAUCCUCCCAAAGAGUGAAGCUGAUGUUGCUCUUCGCCUUUGUGGUGUCAAACUUCCAGCUCCAGUUGCUUUAAGUGUGCGUUGGAGCAGCAGUAAUAAUGUUGAUGAAUUCGAUAACCAAUAGGCUAAGACAUCGUUAUUAUCCUGGAUCUUCAGUAAGGUAGACAUUGCUUACAUUAAUGAUAUUUUUUUAAUCCUGAAAAGUCUUGAUCUACUUCUAUUAGCCUCUAUGUGCAAAGGCUUUUGGGAGAUGAUGAUUUUUAUUGGCUAAUGAUGCAGAUAAUGGUUAAAAAGCCAAACUAUCGCUUACCUCAAUGGAAGAAGCUAUUGUUUGAAUGAUGCGGUCGAAGAUAGUUGUUCGUUCAACUUCAAAUGACCUCCAUUGAAGAAGACAUUUGUAUAUGACACAAGCAGCAAUUGGUUUGCUCCCAGAGAAUCCCAAAUUUUCUGAAAUACACUUGAUCAAUAUGUCCUGGUUCUCCUGAAACACAAAACAUGGAUUAGAAGCAAUUAAUCGGGACUGUACAUCCAUAUGAAUAAGAAUCUACUACUCAAAGUAUGAGAUAGAAUAUCAGAAUGAGUUCCAUAAAAGUAUAAUGCAUUCCAUUGGUCACUAACCUGCUGCUUUUCAUUGAGGGAUUUCUGAGGUUUUUCCUCUGAUUCGGGCUCACGUACAUUUGAUAUGGCAAGAGUAGUGUCCUGAGAAGAUAAUGAGCAGUGAGCAAUAUAAUACACUAAAAAAAAUCUCAUAUCUUAUGAACUUCUAGAUUCCAUUAUCACAAUCAAUGAUGUUCCUACCGGUGAAACCUUUGUUUCUCCGUUUGUAACAUUUCCAUUCUCUGGUGUCCUCUGCAAAUUAAUUAACAAAUGCUCAGUCUAUAUUUCUCUAAGCUUGUACUAUACAAUAUGAGGAUGUGUAAUGAACUAAUAAUAUCUAAUUUAUACCGGAAUAAUCAUAGUUCUUUGUCUUGUAGUCAAAGAUUUUCCAGUUGGUGAUAUUGCUAGUGCCUGCUGACGAAGUACUUGAAUCUCAGAUUCUGAAUUGGCAAGCUUCUCUUCCAACCUGAAGCGUAGAAUGAUAUUAAAUAAAAAAGUUUCAAUCAAACAUGGGGCACAAAGAGCCGCAUAAAGAAAAAGGAAAGCAAGGAAAGGGUGCAUGCAAACAGAAGCAUCAAGUGAAGCAUUCAUGUGUUGGAUAUGCUUGAGUUUAGUGACAACUGACAACCAAAAUGGAUAGGAAAAGGGAGAACUAAUCUUGUCACUUAUCAACUUUGAGAUGAAUGAAUCCCUUUUUUCUUCUCUCUCUUUCAAUAUUUUGUUAUGAAGUACUGCUAGUUUGUAUUCAAACAACUAUCUUUUCCAAACAGACCUCUGCAUAGAUUCCUGAAGUUGAUCCACUUUUCUCUCUGAAUCUUCGAGUUUCUUUUGCAGCUCUGCACUUCUGGCCUCCGCACCUGUACAAGCAUUACGGGCCUCCUCAGCUGCUUUUCUUUCUGAUAGCAAUGAUGCCUGCGGUUACAAAUGAACAUUUAGUCCCUGUUGUUAUCAUCGAAGUUUCCGACUCCAAGAUAAUUAAUAAAAAGCCAACAACGUCAAGCUAAUUGCAAUAUCUUGCAAUUGGAAGUCGAUCCACAUCAUUCAUCCGAUGAUGAUACACACGGAAAAUGUAUCCAAAUCAAAUUACUUGAUAGAAAAUCAUAGGAGGGAAAUAGACAUGAUUACCUUCAAACUCUCUACCUCAGCAGCUAAGGAGUUAACCUUUUCUGUGUCCUGAACUAUAACAGGAGUCUCCUUAAUAACUGGAGGAGCUUCCUCAAUAGCUUUUCGAGCAGCCUCUUGCUCUUUUAUGACUCUAGUAUUUGCUUCCUCGACUUGUACUUGCAUAGCAUGCAAAGCAUCCUGUAACUUGGCAAGUUCUUGCGCCUUUUCCCCUUCUAAAUCAGUCUGUUGUAUUGAUUUAAAGGGUAAAGGUUUUACAGGUCAAAACAGAUAAUGAUGACGUUUUACAGAAGAUUGCAGCAAUAGUAAACAUUUAUAUAUGUUAGAAUAAAAAAUGGCAUAAGCUACCCUCAAACGUUUCUCAAGCUGCAAACGCCAUGUGAGUUCCUCUACGCGCUUUUCCAGUUUGUCUUUUGCUUCUUUCAGAGCCCCUGUUUCUCGGGCGGCCUAAAAAGAUUUAGAGUAAUGGUUAUAACGUGAGUUUAAAAUGUAAAGUGCAUUAAAGCUCUUGUAAGCAAAGUUGCACUAAAGAAUAAGAUCAAACCAUCUUCAGCUUUCUGAGCUCUCUCCUAGCAACCCUUCCCCUCCAACCACAUUGAGUAGUUAGUGCUGCUUUCUGGAGACUCUUAUAAUAAGAGUAAGCAAGAUGGCAACGCAAAGCAGCCUGAAUGUUCAGAAAAGUAUUCACUCAAUAUUCAGUUCUCUGUACUGAAUUUCAUUAACUUCAUUGCUUCAGUAAUGAUGUGCGUCUUUCAUCCAAAAUCACAUUAAUUUUGUAAAGAUUAAGAGAAGAUAAUCAAGUAGUUGUAGUAGGACCUGAACGAUAAUUGCAGCCUUGGUUUGCUUUUUGAAUCUGAAUUCAUUCCGAGCAGUCAUUGCCCUUAGGCCAGUCUGCAAUGUAAUUGCGGCUAACCUCACUGUUAAAUAAGAUUCCCUGGCAAUGUGCCGCCUAAAGUUCUUUUGAAUCUUCAAUGCAGCUGCUUCCCUUCUCAACUGCUCAUACAGUUUGCAGGCUAAUAAACCUAAUCCAAGUGAAAAAGGAAGAGACAGUCAUAAACCGGAUAAAUUUUAGUGUGCUCAAAGGCAAAACGAAAAGCAUCAGAGAAUUACAACUGCAGUUCAAGAAAAUACUUCUGAAAAUCAUCAGCUUCAAACAAUUGCUUUUGAACUUUUAAUGAAAAUAAAAAGAUACCUCGCCAAUGAGAUUGCAACAUGAUUGCAGAUUUACGUAGUGCCAUGAACUCCUUCCUUGCAAUAUAUGUCCGGAUUAGUCUUUGAAUGGUCCUGGCUGCAUUUCCAAGCACUUCUGCCCUUCUGGCAUCUAACUCAGCCAUCUGACCAGCUCUAAGGAAAACUUUGGUCUUACCUAUCUGCAAUGCCAGUCAUGUUAAAUAGAGUGGAAUACACAAGUUGAUUACUGCGUAUAGAUGAUCACACAAUAUUUGUAAUCAUGGUGGAUAUUAGAAACAGAUGGCUAUUUCCAGUAUCGCCUUUGACAUAGAUAUAACUUCUAAAUAGCAGUUAACAUCAACUCAUCAAGGGUACAUUGAUUCAUCAAGGACAUUUAAAGUAAAUCAGGGAAAUGAAAAGAAACAGUUAUCUGUCCAACCAAAUUGGGUACUUCUGUGACAGAUAUGACAGGCUAACAACUGGUAAAGGUGGUCUUUAACCCCAAAAGAAUCAGGUCUACCAUGAAGUUUGUUCUUGUGGUCAUCCUACUUGGAUAACAAUGCUAUUAGUCAUGGUUUUCACAUUUCCUAACCAUGCUCUACAUUGAACAUGUUAAGGAAUAAACCAGUCAUUACCGAACCCUUGUCAUGUUUUUCUUUUUUUAAAGAUUUAAAGCUAUUAGCAGAAAUUUUCAUUAUAAAUCACUUCCUUACCCGUACUGCCAUAAAUCCAAUAGUGCUAAUAGCCCAUGCUUACUGGCAUAAAGUGUCUAGCUUAUCAAUUGGUGAUACACUCAAGGAGUUAUAAAAUAUUCAAAAAUCAAGCAAUCCUUCAGCUAUUCACCAGUUUUGCUAAGAUCUCAGUACACCAUGCCAUUGUGAAUGGAGCUAGGAGAGGAAAGUGAAAUUAUAUUUCCAUGAUACAGAGGACCUCCCCUGAAUCCUCUAAUCCUAUCGUACUUCCUAAAUACCAUUACCAAAAUUAAAAACUUUAAGGUCGUGUUUCAAUUACCUGGUAACCUUUCAAUCCCAUCUUAUCCAGGAUCAUUUGACAUGCAACCUUGUCAUCAUGACUGCACGUACAAAAACACAAAACGGAAAAUGAUAAAAUCCUUAAGCAAAGUCAUAUGCAAUAGUAACGAAAAUAAAAAACUAGGGAAGUGACAAAAGAUGAUUAUAUAAAUUGCAGCAUCAACCAAUAUACUGUGAGAAGCAGUUACAUAGUGCAAUAGUUCAAGUCUUUGGCUAAAAAAAUCUCAGAAACAUUAAUGUUCUGUACCAGGCAAUGUAUGAUAAAAUAUUGAAAAUAAUGAUCUUAUUUGGAUCACCUAUCUCAUAAUGUUAAAUAUCCAACCAAAAAAUCAAUUGGUAGUAAGCGGAGAGGCCCAACUUGUCUGCAAUAAACUCAAGAUUUAACAAAUAUAGGAUACAUCACUUAAUACUCCCCUCACAUGUAGCUCCACAAGGGGUGGCAAGUAGGAAGAACAUAACACACUUUGACUCUGAUACCAUGUUAAGCAUACAACCUAAAACAAAUUACUAGUAACUAGUAGGCGGAGUGAAACUCAAGACUAGGCAGAUAGGAUAACACUACUUAACUAUAACCUUAGAUUAGCAAAAGACCGUGAUGCUUUUUUUUUUCUUUUUGAACUUAUACAUUAUCAAGGUAAGCAUCCAUUGAAUGAAUAUGUCCAUUUCUACACCUAAACUUAUUACAACUACAAAAUGAUAGGAUUCACAACUUACUUCCCCUCCAAAAUUUCUGGAGCAAGGACACCAAAACGGUGAAUAAACUCAUAAAAAGUUCUUCUCGUCGGAUAUCCAGCACAGCUGAUCCUGAUUGCCUCAAGAACACCCUAUAAGAGAGAAAAGUACAUAAUUUCAUCAUACCCAUCAAAAGGACCAGUUUCAAUAGAUUGGAGCAAAACAAAUAGAGAUUAUCAUUUUUUUCAAAAUCAUACUCACACCACAUCUUAAUUGCUGAAUUAUAUUGGCAUUCUCAAAAAUUGCAGGUUUGAGGACAUUGUUUGGCUUCACACAUCUGAUAUAGUGAGGUUCUGUUGAAUUCAAUGUCUCCAUUAAAGAUUGAAGUUGCAGCUGCAAUUUUUAAAACAUUUUUUGCUUAUCAGAGAGAAAUUAUAUAAAAAUUCCAAUGUUAAGAAGUCAGUAGUUUCAAUUGCAAAUGAAAGAAAAGGAUCUAUCAACCAUGUUACCCGUCUCUAAAAUCAUUCAUGCACAGUACCGAAAUUAGUGCACAAUUAUUUAUGGUUUCAGAAUUGCAGGAUUUAUGGUUUGUAUAAGCACAGUAAUAUUUAUGAGCUUCCUUAAUUUUAUUUUGGGUAUGCUAAACUACAGCAGGCUACUUAAUUCUGGAUCCAUUGCAGUUUCCUUCUUCCACGUGCUAUAAUUAAGUUCAUAGAAAACAAAGCCUUCAUGGUUUUGAUGACAUGGAAUAUAUCAUGAACUUUUUCGUGAUAAUAUAAGAGACAAACUACCAUCUUGUUAGAAAUUGCAACCAUUAAUUACUGUUUUGACAUAAGCGGGAAAAGAAAAGAAGCACUAGGUCAAAAAACUUCGAUAUAAACUGUACUUGUGAACUUAGCAUUUUAUUUCACAAGGUUCUAUUUUCCUUUUCCCUGUAAUUUCUGAAUUGUUUUGUGAACAGGAACAGAUACACUAUGAUGAUGCCCAAUACCUGAGUUAUAGGGUCAUGUUUGGAAUUAGAGGUCAAAUAGCUUUUAACCCCUUUAUUUAAGUAGGUUGGAAACAUUUUGAAUGCUUCACUUUCCCAAUGACCGUUAGUGUGCACUUUGUAACACUUGGCAAUGGGAUCAAUGCUCAAUCAAUGGGUUUCAUAUCUAACACGGAUGAGAAGUACAGUUCAUCUGAUAAACAGGUUGAUUAAUGAAUCACUAAUACCUUAAAGCGUGAUCCGAUGGAUGAAAAUUUGGAUGAUUUUGAAGAUUCCUCAGCAGGAGGAGGAAACAAAGAAGCUACAAAGGGGCACUUUGAGGCUGUCAACAGAUCCUGAUGUUCAGCCACUACAUAAUCUUUGUUCUUGUCAAGGAACAAAUCAGCCAGAUAAGUCACCUGGGGAGAAGACAACAAAAGAUACCGUUGUGUAAUCAUCGUAGUUAGAGAAACUUUGUUUGUAUGUAUGCAAGGCAAAACAAGCUACCUCUCCAGCAUAGUGAGAAAUAGUAAAACUAGUACGAGAUAGCUUCGGCUUUAUAAAGCGCUUGUUGUUUUUGAAUGUCUGAAACAACUUCUGAGCAAAUGUCUCGUGUGUGGACCUAGGAAACAUACUGCAUGAAGCAGUAAAGAUGAAAUCAACAAAAAGCAACAAUGUAGAAUAGGAAAUGACAGACACAGCAUAUAGUUUCUUCAUUAAAUAUGUUGAGCACCAUAUGCACGUGCAUGGUAGCACUAGUAGAGGCAAUUAUAGUAACUUAGGUUCCCUAAAACUUCAAAAAAUAAUCUAUCCAAUGCAGCAAGAUACAAUCUACAUACCAAGCUUCAUCGAGAAGUGCAAUAAUUCCUCCUGGUUUCUGCAGAAAGAAUGAGCAAGUAAUUGUAAUUAUGAAACAGGAUGCAUGAGAAGGACACUGAAGAAUAUUUAAACUAAUAAAUAAAUAAAUAAAAAUAUUAUAUUCUUGGAAAGAUUAGCUCAUAUGAAAUAACAAGAAACAAGUUAAGCAACAAUGUUCAACCUUCUCUAUCAAAUCCAACACAUCCUGGUUAUCAACAAAUUCUAUGUAGCUCCAAUUAAUUUCUUCUUUUGUGUAUUCCUCCUGUUCCAUUUUAAAAACAUGCUGCAAAGACAAAAUUGCCAUAUAUUCAGAAUAAGCGUGGCCAAGAUAGCAUCUAAAGUAGAAGAAAAGAGCUAUGUAAAAGUUACAAACCUGAUUGAAAUGUUGCUGCAGUUUUUCAUUUGUAAAAUUGAUGCAAAACUGCUCAAAACUAUAGAAACAAGAGAAUGGACAAAAUCUUAUUAGCUAAAAUAGUAAAAAUUCCAUUUAUUGUAUUUAAAGGGAAAUGUAUUACCUAUUAAACUUAAAGCUCUCAAAACCAUAAAUAUCAAGGACUCCAAUCAAUUGCUUUGAGUUUGGAUCUUGUCCAAUUGAAAUGUUGAUCUUAUCCACAAGCCUUAUAGGAACAAAGAAAUAUGUUUUAGAAAUUCAUCCACUGUGGUUGAAUACAAAAUAGAGAUAAAGUUUUUUUACCAAUCGAACAAGCGAGAAUAGAUGGUUUUAGCUAAUGCAUCCCUGCUACCAACUGCAGCAACAGGAUCUAGAGCUCUUGUAAUAAUUUCUUCUGGAGUAACCAUUACACGCUUUAUUAAUGCGUUUUCCAAGCUCUUAACAUCACACCUAUUGUAUAUACGGUUUAUCAGUUUAUCACACAUUGAUUAAAGAAAGAAUACAUGCAAGACAAGAACUCAAAAAUAUAUUCAAGAAAGGAUGAAUAAAUCAUACUGGAGCAGUUCAGCGGUCGUAUUAAGAUGGAACCUAGAUUUCUCAUCCUUGAUAAUGGAGGAGUCAACCUCAGCUCCCUUUGAAAAGUCAAUAUUUCCAAGAUGUAAAAUGGCAGCCACAACACUAAAAAUUGCCUCCUGAAUCAAUCAUAACGAAAGUUAGCGAUGAAAUCAUAAGUACACUAUUUUCUGAAAUUAAUGGAAGAGAAGACUGACCUGCUCUUCCUCACUGAUUCCAACUACAUCCAUGGCCCUUAUAGUUGCAAGGUACUCCUGAGCAUCAUCUACCCCAUCCAAUGCAUAGCAGCUUGACUGAUUGAGGUAAUGGAAAGAUUUAGGAUCUCCCAACUUAAACUUUUCCCUAACCUGAAAAUUUCCAGAGAACAUUAUCAAUCAUUGCCUAUUACUAGCAGCAUAGGCAAGUCUACAUGCACGUGCAAAUUGAUUCAAAAAAGAAAUAUCCCAUUAUAAAAUCAAAGCAUUAAUACCUCGGGCGGUGCUGCACAAAGAAGGUAAAAACAGUGAUAAUUUCUUUCAGGAUUUGAAAUUUGGCAAACACGAGACCGUUCCAGCAAAUAUGUACGAACAGCCGCUCCAGAUAUCCUCCCAUUCUUGUCAAAUUGGAGCUCAACAAAUUUACCAAAACGACUAUAUAGUACCAAGAAGCAAGAAAACUCAGAGAAACACAUAAACGAAUUCAAGGAAAUAACAAAUUCAAACAAUUGAUUAGAGAAACCAUUGUUUCUACAUUAAAUUAGACCGACCAGCAGCAAUGACUGAAACAUGAACUGACCCUUGAUCCAUCUUUUCAAAACGUCUUUAAAUCCAACAUUUGAUAGUACAUAUCAGGAGUGGAAUAAGCUAUCAAAUAUGAAGAAAGUUGUAAUUUUUCAAAUCCUAAUAGCAAAAAUAUGCUCACCUUGAAUUAUUGUUCCUAACAGUUUUUGCAUUACCAAAGGCUUCAAGAACUGGAUUUGACUGGAAGAAGUCAAACAUUAAGAAGUACAAAAUCAGGAAAAUGCUCUGAUUCUUUUCAAUUUAUCGGAUCAAAGAUAACCAUGUAGAAACUAUAUAUGAUUAUAUAUGAUUCAUCUUACUUCUAGAACUUGUUGUUCAACUGUACGCCCUUCAACUCCAGAUCGACCACCAAGGUAUGCAAGGUAUCGCAUUAGCAUCUUUGUAGUCUCCGUUUUACCAGCACCACUUUCUCCACUAACUAGAAUGGAGUUGCUUUUUCCCUCAUUUAUCAUUGCCCUGUUUACAUGAUAAAUCAGCAACGGCAUCUCUAGAAAACAUCUGAUGUCCAAUAGAACAGAGGUUAUUUACCUAUAGGCAACAUCUGCAACUGCAAAAACAUGAGGACUCAGCUCUCCAAAUCCUGCCCCCUUAUAUUGCUCCAUCAUGUGAGUAUCAUACAAGUGUGGUAACCUUUGGAAUGGAUUUAUAGCAAUCAGUAUGUUUCCAGUGUAUGUCUGAGGAAAGUAGCAAAGAACAGCACCUCAGCUUGCAAGAUUAAGAUGUCUUUGUAAUGAAAUCUACAAGUCCUUUGCUCAACACCUACUUCAGCAUGGGAACAGUGAAAGAGAGAAGAGAAAAUAUCUUACAUAGAUUUCGUUAAGUUCAUAUCUCAUAGCCAAGUUAUGUAGAACUCCAGGUUCAUGCAAAUACGAGAGUUUUGUCAUGUCAUCAACACCUCCAGGAGGUGCUUCAGUAUCUUUUGGAAAGACCUUUGAGAUAUUUGCCACAGCCUGCAAUUAGUUCUUUGGUCAGUAAGAAUAUUAGAAUAAAAUCUAUUCCACGAAAACUUAGAAAAUAAGUAGCAGAGAAUCUAGUCAAAGUAAACAUCCAAGUUUCCAUUUGAAAUAGGUAAAUGAACUUUGGAUGCACACUUCACGCUAUAUACUGAUAGAUUGUACUAAUUGCUAAGCUAGAAAUUGUUUGAUAAGGUCUUGUCUGCCUUAGUACUUGUAAAUUAUGAAGUAGAAUUGCAAUAGUUGUACUAGUCAAUCACAAACAUGUUGGCAUCUAAUACAAAAUUUUAUUCACAUUAAUAAGUAGCGCUUGUUACAGACAGACAAACCAACAAAAGGCUAAAACAUACUCACAGUUUUUCCAUUUGUUGUUUGGACAUGAACGUCUUCACCACUGAUUUUAAAAACUUCACCAUCAAUCCAUGCAAGUGUGGGGUCUUCAACCCAUACAUGAGAACCUACAAUAAUAUUAACAGGAGCAGCCUACAAAUAUAUGAAAUUAUUAGCCAUCCAAAGAAAGAAACAAAGUUUGUAAACAGAAAAAAGUCGAGACUGUCUGAAGAGGAACGCAAAAAAGAAUAUUUCAUGGAAAGAAGAUUGUUAGGAUGAAUUCUUCAAUUCCAAUCAUUUAAGUAACGGGUAAUAUGCCAAAUUAGUGGACAGUCCACAUCAUUAACGUUGCAUACUGUUUUAAGAUGAACAAGAAUGGAACUGAAGUGUUUACCGAGGAGUAAAAUACUGCUAUUUUUGUAAAUAAAGUACAGAAAGUGUACAAAUAUAUGGUUGAAUAAUACACAGCCAGAAAAGAUCAUUGCCAAGCCACUAACAAAGUAGCCUCAUAAACAAAGAAAUAGUUCUUAGGUUCUGCCUAAAUUUCAUGAUAAUGACAUAAAACUGCAUCAAAGAUCAGAGCCGAACUUUGUUCAUAAGAACAUAAAAUAAAUCAUUGGCAAGAAACAAUUUUGCAGCAUGUCAUAUGUGUUGAGCAUCCAAAGGAAAUAAGAAAUUGUCAGCCAGUGGCUCUCAUCUUACUCACCACCAUAGUAGUGUCGCCUCACUAUGGCAUCCUUAACCCUCAUUUCAACUUUCAUGCAAGUCUAAUUAUAGUAUUAAUAACUACCAAGAAUUCUUUACCAUCCAAAACCCAGGACUAGAGAGUUACUCAUUUUCAGAUGAUAUAUAUAUGGCAUGAAAGAACAAAAUAACUAAUCCAUUUUUAAGUUGAACUAAUUUCUCUACUAUUUUAUUAAUAGUUAGACAUUCAGCAAGAGCUAACAAUUUUACAGGAAGAAAACAAUCUUAUUAUCCUAAACAAAUAAAAACUAUAAAUAGCAUUAAAAAACAGUCAUUCCAAGUCAUGAUUGUCAUCGGUUGGUAUCUUUCACCUAAAACUUAUCCGUACAUCAAUCCUAACUCUGUCUUCAUUUACAUGAAAUCCGCUUGUAAAGAUACAAACAAAGUGUUUAUAACACCGAUCAAAUGUUGCUCUACAUCUGGAUUUGCAUUCCGAUUUCUUAGUCAAGUAAUAUAAGCAUUCAAAUUUUCUAAUCUUAAAAGCUGAUAUACUUGAAUGCUUUUCAUAUAAAAUUUUUCAAAAAAAAAAAAAAAACCGUUCAUCAUCUUUCAAUACAAACUGAAACAAAAAACAGAUCACAUCGAAUCCAUCAAAGAAUUUCCUGUAUAAUUUAAGCUUGCUAAAGCUAUAAAAUAUCUAACAAAGAAAAUUAAAGUAAAGAAUCAAAAAACAAGAUGCCAUGUUCAACCGAUUCAACUCAACCGCAAUUAAAAACCGUUAAAGCAAUGGAUUACCAUGACGAGUAUAUGCAAACGAUCUUCUCUGUACUAACUCAUCCGAGCCACAACCGAGUCGAUGAAAGUCUGACUCGACGAGUCAGAUCGGAACCAAAAACAACUGAACUGGAAACUCAAUAGCUGUAACGAGAAAACUUUUGAAUUGAAGAAACUAAAAACACAAAAUUAUGACGGUUGAAUUCCGAAUUCACGAUAAACAAUAAGAAAACAAAGCUUUCUUCUGACGAUUUUUCCCUUUUUUAUUUAACUCAUCAAAUGAAAAAGAAAAACGGAAGCAAAAUGGAAAUGGCAAUGCGAUUUAUAUACAAAAGCGAAGAGUUUAAAAGUUUUUUUUUUUGUGUGUGUGUGUGCUUGUGUGCGUUAAAAUUUUUUUUUUAUUAUUGUUUCUGGUCAGCUGGGGUCCAAAAGCAGGGGAGGGUGACGAAGAAGGUCUAGUUGGACAUUUGGUGGUGGCAACAAACAGUGGAAUUUUCGUGCUCUAAAACUAAAACCGACGACGUUUUGUGGAAGUUUUUAGACUAAAACCGUGCGUUUUUCUCGAUUUUGGUCGGUGUUUUAAGGCAUCAAUUUGUUUUUAUUUACGGGAUUUGCCAUAAAGUUAAGUCCAACUAAGCAAUCAAAGGUGGCUAGUCAUUUUCAGAAUAAUAAUAAUAGCAAUAUUAAUCAAUAAAAAUAAUAAUUAACGAAAAAUUAAAAUUGUCAAUGCUAUUAAUUAAAACUUAUUCAAAGCUUCGGUCUAAUGAUCCACCCUGUUUAAAUUGGCUUGUUCAUAUUUAAUUUUGGCUGAGUUAUUAUUUUAAUAUUAGAAAUAAUAGUGUUUAAAUUUAAUUACACAAAUAUAAAAUAUUAAUAUAAAAAUAAUUUUAGAAUAUUUUAUUACUUUAAAAUAUGGAACAUAUUUAGUACAUUGUCAACGGAAUUUUUAGAUUUUACAAACAGAGUCAAGAAUGACAAAUUUUUAAAAUUACUUGUGGAAUAAAAAAUAUUAUCAGUUUACCGAAUACUCACCCUUUAAAAUAUUAAACUAAAUUAUUUAGAUUAACCCAACCUUAGCACAAGUGAAUUUGAGAAAUUCAAUAAUUUCGAUUUUGAAUGCAUGAAUAUCUCUUCUAUAGAUUUUAUAUUUGAAAGCAUGAAUACAAUAGGAUAUUAUCAUUUUUCUAUUGGUAUUGUAUGCAUGAAUACAAUUAUGUUUUAGUAUAUUAUUUUUAGAUUUAUUGAUAUUUAAAAAUUAUAUAUAAGAUUAAAAAUUUUAAAUAUAAAAUAUUUAUCAAUAUAAAUACAAUUUAAAAUAAACACUAAAAAAAUCUCUCAUGCAUUAAAUAAUAAAUUCAUCUUAUAAAUUAUUUAGGUAAUUUGUUUUGCUAAUUAAAAUAUAACAUGAUAUUUUUUCCAUUUAUCAUUAAAUGUAUUUAUAAAAUAAAACAUUUUAAUAUGUUUUUAAUGGGGUUUUUUACAAAAAUAAUAUAAAAAAUAAAAAAUUACCAAAAUGUUAUACAUUUUUUUAUUUACCAAAAUAUAUAUUUUUUUUAUUUACCAAAAUAUAUCAAAAAAACCAAAAAAACAAAAAAAAAACCUGGACCGAUUUGACAGUUCCCUGGGUCAAGGGAACACUGUUGGUGGCACUAAACAAGGGAACCUUGUUGGCGGCACCAAACAAGGAUUCCUUGUUGGCGGCACCACCUUAAAUAUUAAGGGUGGUCGGUUGGUGGGGGGAAAAAGGAGAGGGGAAGAAGAAGAAAGAAAGGAAGAAAGAAAAAGAAGGAAAAGGAAAGGAGAGGAAAGAAAGAAAAAGAAGGAAAGAAAAGGAAAGGGGAGGAAAGAAAGAAAAAUAAGGAAAGAAAAGGAAAGGAGAAGAGAAAAAAAAAAAAGAAAGAAGAAGAAGAGGGAAGGAAGGAAGGAAGGAAAAAAAAGAAAAUAAGGUAAUUUUUAUUAUUAAUUUAAGAUUUUUGUAAUAUUUGUGUGUUAAAAAAUAAUUUUAAGUACAUUUUACGUAUUUUAUUAAUUUAUUUAGGAUAUAUAAUUUUUGAGAUAUAUUUAGCAUGAAAAAAUUAAUGAUAUGUACAUUAUAUGUUGAUUAGGAAUUUUUUUUUAUGAAAUUGACUUAGGAUGUUGAAAUUAGUUUUGUUAGUAAAAUAACAUUAAAAGUAAAAUGAUAAAGAAAUAUAUUUAAGAAAACAUAAAAUACGAAAAGAAAAAACGAUAAUUAUAUAUUCACCGAAAGUAAGAAAAUGCGAAAAAAAUUAUAUCUUUAAUAAAUUGUAAACAUAAUGCACUGACAAAGUAUAAAAUUAUAAAAUUUAAAAUGACGAUUUUUUUAAAAUAAUAAAAUGCGGAGAGAAAAAUACGAACAAAUGGCCAAAAUAAUAGUGUAUUACUAACUUUUUAAAAAUUUGAGAAAUAGUUAAUACAAAUAUUUUUAAAAAAAUGUAAUGAAAUAAUAUAAAGUAAUAAAAUAAAAAAUAAAAAUAUUUUUAUUGAAAAUAAAAAUCGGGAAAAAAAUACGAGCAAAUGGCAGGGAUAAGAAUUUUUUUCUUACACCAAAUAAAAAACCCGGUUUUAGUAACUUUUUUAUUUUGGUAAAUAAAAAAUAUAUAUAAUAUUUUGGUAUUUUUUAAAUAUUUUAUUAUUUUUGUAAUGUUUUAUUAUGGGUUUUAUAAAAAAAAUAAUAUAAAAAAAAUAAAAAAUUACCAAAAUAUUAUAACUUUUUUUAUUGACCAAAAUAUAUAUAAUUUUUAUUAUUUACCAAAAUAUAAUAAAAAAAGUAAAAAACAAAAAAGAAUAAAAAAAGGAAAAAAACACUAAAUUUAUAAAUUAAUUUUACACUAAAUACACUAAAAAAAAGUUGUAAUAUUUUGGUAAAUAAAAAAAAAAAGUUGUAAUAUUUUGGUAAAUUUUUUAUUUUUUAUAAUAUUUUUGUAAAAAACCCCGAGUAAAUGGCAGGGAUAUGGUUUUUUUACAGUAAAUUAAUUUUAAAAACACACUAAAUUAAUAAAUUUAAAACAUUAUGUAAAAUUAUAAAAUUAGAAAUGAAGAUAUUUUUUAAAGUAAUAAAAUGCGGAGAAAAAAAUACGAACAAAUGGCCGAAGUAAGAGUUUUUUACUAACUUUUUUUUUCAACUUGCAGGCAUCGCAAUGGCUUCAUUGAUUAGCAAAAAAAGCCACAUAUCUGAUGCGGUUAAUAACGCGGUAUGAGUUAUUAUUUAUUAAUCACGGGUUCUAUUUAUUUAAAAAGGAUAGACGUACAAAGAAAUAAUGUUAUCGUAAAAAUUUUUCUGUAAUUUAACACUAUCAGGACUCGUACCGAGUUUUAAGGGGCCGUGUGAGUGUUUUGAAGAAUACUCCGGAUGCACGGUUGAUGCCAUACUUAGAGCUAGCCGGAUUUGGGUCCGUAGCACAGAUCCAGUACACCGUAUUGCGCUUUCAUUUAAUAUUUGCGCUAGUGGAGCGGUGGCGCCCGGAGACCCACACUUUUCAUUUUCCGUGCGGGGAGUGCACGGUGACCUUGGAAGAUGUAGCGUUGCAGCUUGGGCUCCCAAUUGACGGGAGUCCCGUAACGGGAAUAUCUACAUUUACCGAUCCGGAUGCACUUUGCUAUCAGCUUCUAGGAGACUCACCAGGGGACGGUGAGUCAUAUUUUUCGGGCCUAUCAUUUACAUGGCUGAAAGCCAAGUAUGGACAAUUAUCAGCGACAGCCACUGAAGGCGAGUUGAUGUGCGCUGCUCGAGCGUACAUCAUGCAUAUCAUAGGGGGAGAACUGAUACCUGAUGCAAGCAACGACAAGGUGCAUUUGAUGUACUUGCCCCUGUUAGCUGACUUGUCCAGUGUUAGCUCCUAUAGCUGGGGCUCAGCUGUGCUAGCAGUCUUGUAUCGAGAGCUUUGUCGGGCGACAGAUCCGAAAGUUCGCUACAUUGGNNNNNNNNNNNNNNNNNNNNNNNNNNNNNNNNNNNNNNNNNNNNNNNNNNNNNNNNNNNNNNNNNNNNNNNNNNNNNNNNNNNNNNNNNNNNNNNNNNNNNNNNNNNNNNNNNNNNNNNNNNNNNNNNNNNNNNNNNNNNNNNNNNNNNNNNNNNNNNNNNNNNNNNNNNNNNNNNNNNNNNNNNNNNNNNNNNNNNNNNNNNNNNNNNNNNNNNNNNNNNNNNNNNNNNNNNNNNNNNNNNNNNNNNNNNNNNNNNNNNNNNNNNNNNNNNNNNNNNNNNNNNNNNNNNNNNNNNNNNNNNNNNNNNNNNNNNNNNNNNNNNNNNNNNNNNNNNNNNNNNNNNNNNNNNNNNNNNNNNNNNNNNNNNNNNNNNNNNNNNNNNNNNNNNNNNNNNNNNNNNNNNNNNNNNNNNNNNNNNNNNNNNNNNNNNNNNNNNNNNNNNNNNNNNNNNNNNNNNNNNNNNNNNNNNNNNNNNNNNNNNNNNNNNNNNNNNNNNNNNNNNNNNNNNNNNNNNNNNNNNNNNNNNNNNNNNNNNNNNNNNNNNNNNNNNNNNNNNNNNNNNNNNNNNNNNNNNNNNNNNNNNNNNNNNNNNNNNNNNNNNNNNNNNNNNNNNNNNNNNNNNNNNNNNNNNNNNNNNNNNNNNNNNNNNNNNNNNNNNNNNNNNNNNNNNNNNNNNNNNNNNNNNNNNNNNNNNNNNNNNNNNNNNNNNNNUAAUAAUAAUAAUAAUAAUAUAUAUCUAUAAAAUUUUUAUUUUUUGUAAUAUUUUGAUAAUAAAACCCUAACUAAAACUAUUAAUUUGAGUUUUAUUGAUUUUAAUCUUAGUAACUAAACUAAAACAAAAAAUAAAUAAAUUAUACAAAACAAUAACAAUAACAUAAUCAAUUAUUUUUAAAAAAAUACCUGAUUUUUCUCUUCUCUUUCUCUCUUUUUCUCUUUUUUUCCGCAGCACCUCUUCUUUCUUUUCUUUUUCUUCUGAUUUUUCUUGUUUCAGCUGGACAGAGUUCGUGUUUAUAACACGAGUGGUGCCGCCAACAGAGAACCCUUGUUUGGUGCCGCCAACAAGGAAUCCUUGUUUGGUGCCGCCAACAAGGUUCCCUUGUUUGGUGCCGCCAACAAGGUUCCCUUGUUUGGUGCCGCCAACAAGGUUCCCUUGUUUGGUGCCGCCAACAGUGUUCCCUUGACCCAGGGAACUGUCAAAUCAGUCCAGGUUUUUUUUUUUGUUUUUUUUGAUAUAUUUUGGUAAAUAAAAAAAUUAUAUAUAUUUUGGUAAAUAAAAAAAAUGUAUAACAUUUUGGUAAUUUUUUAUUUUUUUAUAUUAUUUUUGUAAAAAACUCGUUUUUAAUGCCUUCACAUAUAUAUAAUAUGUUCUAAAAUGGAAAGGGUAUUUUGUAAAAACAUAGAGGCAAAAGUUAAAAAACACUUUCCCACCAAUGAAAAUAAAAACUGCUUCGGGAUUGGGAAACAUUACACUAAGAUAUCCGCUCACCAUUCGCUGGCGCCUACAUAUUUUAGCUAUUAUUUUGAUUUUUGGGGAUGAGAUUUGUUGCGUGAAUUACUGAGAUUAUUUUACGGUACGAAUGGCUUACUAUCAGCCGCCCGAUCUAAUUACAUAACGUUGAAUGGUUGAUGAUUUCGGUGGGUCCCAACUUCAGGGUGGGAGAAAGCCAACGAAAGUAUGACACGUGGUAACAGCUGCGUGGAUUGAGUUGCAUCUGAUUGAAUAAGUCUUAUGGGAUUUUGUUAAAGAAGAGCCCCAGGCAACAGAGAAUAUUAGAGAGGUUCCGCACAUGUUGGGAAAAGGUAAUGUUAUGAACCAAAACUUGUAAGAACCCGACAAAGUACAUUAGAAAAUGACCAAAUCAUCCUUCUACAUUCACACACGACAGAAAUUAUUUUGAUCACAAAAGUUAUGACUGCGGAUACUUAAAAAAUGUGAGAAUUUUAAAAUUUUGUUUUUCUAAAAUUUUGUUGAAUUUUUUAAAUUUUUUUAAAAUUUCUAUGAAGUACAUUUGGACUACUAUAUUAGUGACGUUGAAAUUUAACAGUCCAAACAACAUCCUCAUCUAAAAAGAAUUAAUUUGAUUAAAUUUUAAAUAUUAAAAAAUAACAUAAUCCAAAAAAGAAAAAAAAAUUGAAGACCAAAGUGACAAAAAAAUGAUAAAAAUUAUUAGCUACAUUGCUAAUUAUCAAAUUAUGUCUCAAAGGUUUUCAUUAAAAAAGUAUGAAAUAAUUUUCUUUUUGAAUUUAUGCAAACUAUUUUUAGUGGUUAGUUAUUUAAUAAAAUUAAAAAUAUUAAACAGUUUUUAAAAUUUAUUUUAUUAUUUUGAAAUCAAUUUAGGUUUAAAAUAAUUUCAGUAAUUAAAUUAAUAUUUUGAUUAUAUUAAAAUAGAAAUAUAUAUUUUUUCCUUUGAUUCCACGUUAUUUAUUUUUAAACAAAGCUAAAUAACACAAGGCAAAAAAAAAAAAACCAGCGCUAUUGUUUAAGUAUUGGUAGGCAAAAGUAACCGCCCAAACGGUAUGGACUAUGGAUUUCUAGACUGGGCGGCUGCCUACCAAAAUGGAGGCGCUGUCUUUUAAAAAAUGAGAACCCUAAUGUUUAACGUAGAAGUUGAAUUCAAGGUCAACAUUAUUAUCAAAAUAUGAAAAUCUACUAAAAAUAAACUCUACUUAUUAUACCUAUAUUUUAUCAAUUUAAACCACAUUCUAGAGUCCACCAUAUUUAUUCAUCUUAAUUAAAUUAUUUUUUAAUUUAAUACUUGUGAUGAUUCAUUUUAUUGAAACUAUGGAGAAAAAAUUUAAAUUAUAUAUUUUAAGUUAAAACAGUUUCGAAAAUAAUAAUAAUAAUAAUAAUAAUGAAAAAUUGAGUGAAAAUUUAAUUGAAUCAAUUAUAUGAGAAAUUAUUUUAUGAUUCUUCACACCACAUCAUCCAUGAUCCAUUUUUAAUUAUUUAAUGACAUUUCAAUAAUUUUUUCAUGUUAUUAACAAAUAAUGUUGAUACUUUUUUAUCCUCGAAUCUCAGUUGAACCCCAAACCCUAGGUUCAAGGUUUAAGUUCAGAAUUUGGGAUUCGAGUUUGGGUUCAGAGUUUAGAAUUUAGGGUCAAUAAGGUUUUGGUUUCAGAGUUUAGGGUAAAUUAUCAAAAUUAUGUGUCAGUAACCUUAAGAGAAAUUAUUUUAUGGAUCCUUCCUAUCACAUCAUUUAUGGUCCAUUUCUAAUUAUUUAAUGAAAUUUCAACAAUUUUUUCAUAUCACUAACAAAUAAUUUUAGUAUUUUUUAAACCCGAACCCUGAACCCUAGUUUCAAGAUUCAAGAUUCAAAGUUGUAAAAAUUGAAUGUCAAUAAUGACAAGGAAUCGCAAAGAAAGAGAGAAAAUAGAAACACAAUUUUAUGUGAUAACCCUUUCGGGAAAAAACUACAGGUAAAGGAGAAGAAAAUUCACCAUGUCGAAUUUGAAUGAUACAAGAGGAGUAUAGACUACAUCUAUUUAUAGGUUUGUAAAACUAUAUUCUAAUCAAAGUUAAAUAGAAGUAAUGCAAUAAGGUUAAAACACCUUAUUCUAACCGGCCUUCGCUCUCGUAGAUCCCUCUAUCUUGUCACUUGUAUUUUAUUUUUAACAGGAAUUUGGGUAACACGACUUCAAACAAAAGUUCAAGUUUAGGAUUUGAGAUUUAAGAUUUAAUAUUAUGGUCAGGAUUCAAGGUCCUGGUUUCGGGAUUCAGUGUAAAUUAUCAAAAUAUAUGUGCCAGUGACAUAGAAAAAAUUACUGAAAUAUCAUUAAAUAAUUGAAAAUAGAGCAUGGACGAUGUGGUGGGAAAGAUCCAUAAAAUAAUUUCUCCAACUAUAUUUAUAUUUAAUAUUUAAAUAUAUUUUAUGUUGGUUCUGAUAUUAUUUGUUAUCUAAAUUCAUUUUAUUUAUACACUUUUGUUGAUAUACUUUGUUUAUUUUAAAUUGUAUCCGAAAUAUUGAAUAUUGAUUUAGUUAAUAUAUAUUUAACUAAUGUUUUUCAAAAACAAAAUAAAAUAAUUAGUCUUGAUUUAAAUCGGAUCGUGGGCGAAAACUUUGAAGGAAACCUGACAGACCAUUUCUUAUCCCUAUAUUUAAAGGGAAAAAAAGAAGAUAAGCCAUUGCUAUGAUUUAUUUAAAACGCGAGCAGUUUUGAUUAGAAAAACAACUUUCCGUCUUUGAAAAAUAAAAGGAUUUGCUUUGAAUAAGAGCAUUUUAAUCCACGGUUCAAACAGUUCCUCAAUUUAAAUAUGCUUAUACUGAUUUUAUAUAUACGAGUGUGAUACUCGUGCUCCACGCUGGGAUUUAUAUUUAUAUAUUUAAUACAAUUAAGAAUAUAUAUAUAUAUUGUUUUUUUUAUUUGAUUUUUGAAGUGAAAAUUAAAUCUAUUAAUGGGUCAAGUUAUCUGUUCAGGUCCGAAGGCUCGCUCGAAAGAUGAGAGAAUUUAGAUAAAAAUACGAUAUUAGAAAAAUGGGCUUGAGUAAAAUUUAAGACAUGUUUUCUAUAUGGAUUGGGCAUUGGGUAAGUUUUUACCCAAGCCUGGCCCGACCCAAAUCUAUUAUGUUAUAAAAAAUAUUAUAUUAAAUAUAUAUGUUAAAUAAUAAUUAUAUAUUUAUAUUUAUAUUAAAUCACUAAUCCAAAAAUAAUUAAACUCAUUACCGAAAAUCUAAAAAAAAAAACUUAACUAACUAAAUAACCCAAUUCAAAAUAAAAAAAUUUAAAAUUUAUAUUAAAUACAAUAAAAUAUUUAUUAUAUUUAUGGUAGUUUUUUUUAAUAUAAAUACUUUUUAAUGUGUUAAAAAUUAUUAUUUUAGCGUUUUUAGUGGAUUUAGUGUAUUAUAUAUAACAAAAUUAUUUUUAAAUUAAAACUAAUUUAAAAAACAAAUAUAGGCAUGCCGGGCCCAUGCUUACUUUCUUAAAUUGGGUUGGGCUUGGGCAAACAACAAAUCUAUUUUUAGGCUAAACCGAGCCAGAACUUAAAAAAUUGAUCUAGAUAUCUUAUAUGAGCCUAGCCCAAACUCGGCUCAGCCCAUGAACCCUUCUAGUGAGAACUUAUCUGAUGCAAAUACAUUGAAGAAAAAUUCAAAUAAAAUAUAUUUAUUGACACGGGAAAUACGAUAAAUAUAUUUUAAAAAAACAUGUUAUUAAGAAAUGUAUUAAAAGCAUUGAUUAAGAAUUAAUUCAUUUGGUAUUAUUAUUAUUGCAACAACUGUUUUUAAUACAUUUUAAGAUUCUUUUAUAAUAAAAAAAAAGAAGAAGGAGAAGAGAAUUUUACAUGUAUAAUGCCUCUAAACAUUUGUUAUAAAAGAAUUUUAAGUUCCAUUUGUUUGCUUGUAAAAUCUUUUACGAAAAAGCUUAUUAAAAUAUUCUUUUAUAAAAUCAAUAAAAUCUCUUAAACCACAAUACAAUAAAUUAUAAAUAUUUAAAUUUACUAUUUUAAUUAAUUUUUAUAUAAACAUUCAUUUAACAAAUUUUUAAUAAAUAUAUUUAUUACAUAAUUUUUCUAUCCAUGUUGUAAUCCGUAAGUGUUGUACAAUAAUACCGUAUCAUGUAUGUAUGUUAUGAAAUAAAAUUUUAAUAAGGGACCAUCAAACCAUUUUGUAAUGAUGAAUAAGGUCUAUUUUGUAGCAAAUUAUAUAAAGCCAACAAUUGAAAUAGGAAAGGAUUGUCAAUUAAGUCUUUUAGUUCGGUUGGUAUUGAUAUUAUUAUUAAUUCAAUAAGAUAUAAAUUCGGAUUUGUUAAAACGUAUUUAUCCUUCUGCUUAACGGUUGGGAGGGAUUACGAGUAUAUAAACCUUAAAAAAAAAAGUCAAUCAUCAUAUAAAUGGAAUAUCGAAACACAGCAGCCAAAAUCAAAAUUGGAAAGCAAAAAAGAAGAAGAUUCCAUCAAUUUAAACUUUAUAUAGCAUAUCUUACACGCAACUAUUGUUAGAACAUCAUGGUUAAAUUUCACGAACAAAAUGCUAACUUCUUUUUUUUUUUUUUGAAAUAAAAAUAUUCACCUAUGUUUCGAAAAAUUAAACGAUUAAUUAUAAAAUGUGUUUCAGUUUUAUAUGCAGGAAUUAAACUCUGAUUACAUGAUUAAAUAAUAAUGUGAGUAAUUAUCACAAUACUUUUUAUGAUUUGUAAACAUCAUCUCUUAUACACAAAUGUUGUCAUUGAUUAGACACAAGAAUGGCAAAGCCUAAGUCCAAGGAAGUUUGAACCGUUCCGCUCUGAAUAGAGUAGACUUUUUUCUUUUUUGAAAAAUGAAUGCGGAGCGGAAUGGUGCUGGGCAAUGUGGAUUUUUUUAACAGAUCUGCUCGUGGGUCGAACUAUUCGUCCAGAUCCGAAGGUUUGCCUGAAAUUUGGAAGGGUUUGGAUAAAAAUAUUAAGCCCAAAAAAUGGGCAUGGACAAGAAAAUUAGGUCCGUAUAAAAUAUGGGUCAGGCUCGAACAUUUAAGGCCCGAGCCCUACCCGUUUUUAAGUUUGUAAUACUUUAAUUAUGUUAUUUUUUUUAUAUAUUAUGUAAUUUACAACACAUUUAAAAAAAACCUAUAUUAAAUAUAUAAUAAUACUUUAAUGUAAACAUUAAAAUAAUGUUAAGAGGACUAUAUAAGAAAUUUUAAUAAAUAAAAAAUGUAUAAAAUUAUUAAAUAUUAAAAUAAUAUAAUAUAAAUAUUUUUUUAAAAUAAAAAAUAAUAUGGAUGGGCCUAAAAUGGACUAUAUAAGCAAAGGGCUAGAUUAGAAAAAUAAGGCCUCGAGUAAGAGUUUUUUGGACUGGGCCUGGCUCGACCUAAAUUUGCAACAACAAAAAAAGCCGUUUUCACUAUUAAAUUGCUACUAUUUUUGUUGUUAUUGUUUGGAUAUUGUAUAACUCUUAUUUUAUUGUUAAUUUUGCUACUAUUUUAGAGGUAUUUGAUUAUUAAGUUACACCUAGUUAAUUAAAUAUAAAAAACUUUUUUAAAUUUAUUUUUAAUUUGUUCGAAAAUAUUUAUUUUAAUAUUUUUAGUAUUUUUGAUGUAUUAUUAUUUUAAUUUUUAUAUAAAAAUAAAAUAAAAUAUUUUUAUACGGGCUGAGCUCAGGUUUAGCAUCUAUAAUCCGGGUUGGGCUUGGUAAAAAAUUUAGACUCAUUUUUCAGAUCAAGCUUGAGCCUAUGAAACAAGCCUAGAAUUUUGUUAGGGCCCGGCCCAUGAACAAAUCUAAACCAAAAUGCAAUUUUGUCACAUAAAUUUAUAAUUGGCAAAAUUACAAAUCUUCAUUUUUGGGGGCCCUACCCACCUUUUUUAUAUUCACCCUUGCUGAAAUUUGAAGACUGUUAUUUUAAAAAAUAAUUGCACAAAGCAAGUAGAUUAAAAUUAGGGACCGAAAAAGAAUAUUGUGGAGGAGAUGAACAAGUGGGCAAGAGAUAGAGGAAGUUACUAUCAUUAAAGCAUAAUUUUUAUUCGGUUCUAUGUGGUUUAUAUCCGAAAGUAAACGAAAGAAAAAUCAGAAAUAAACAUUGAUUUUCUUAUUCUUAGUAAUCCUCUUGGAAUAAUCAUAGCUAAGCAAGCCAGGAAGCGUUUUCAUCAAUUUGAGUGAUAACGCCUUACACGCUUUGCCUUUCUCAUCUAACUAAGCUUGGGAUAAUAUGUUUAAGUGAUACUGUGGAUUUAUUCACCUUGUUAGUUGAUGAAUAUAGCUUCAUGGGUAUUGUGGUAUAAUAUUGGGUUAUCCUCGAUAUGUAUAGAUUUCAUAUUUUAAAAGAACUAAUACGAUUAAAAACUACACGAGCUUUCUAAGCAUUCAUUGCUUACGUAUUUGUUUUUUUAUUUACCUUACAGAUUAUCUGAAGCUCGAUUGGGUUGGAAACUUGUCGGAGAUAUAUCACACUAUCCAUUGGUUUUAUCGGUAAUUUUGGAUGAUUUGAUUCUAGUUAUAAUGGCAUGUAUAAGUUAAUUUAGCCAAUGUUGGCUCAUUAAUGUUUUGAUUUUUGUUGGUUUCAAAUAUGAAUGCUAGAUGAAAUGAAAUGUCUGAAAAUUAAUUUGUAAAUUUUGGUAAUGCUCUGUAACCCUAUUUUGGUGACGGAUUUAGGUUUGGGGUGUUACAUAAAUCAUAUCAAAUUAGCCCCUAGAGUUCAACAUUUUUCUAAAAUCGUGCUUAUCAUUACUUACCGUAACCCAUUAAUUGAUAAUAGUUGAUUUACGACACUAUAGCCCAAUGUAGACUAGCUGUACAUUUAGGAUAUACGGAAAUAAAUCGAUAAUGCAUUGUUAAUGCAUAUCAUAUAUCACUAAACACAAAGUGCAAAUAACAAUAACCACCGAAGUGCAAAAUAAUAACGAUAAGCACCAAAGUGCAAAUUUUUACAACGAUAAGCACCAAAGUGCAAAAUAAUACGAUAAGCGCACUAAUUUUCCUUAAUGACAUGCCAUCAAUAUCCCAAUAGUUUGGGACUCGUCUACAAAAGCUUUUCUUAUUAUUAAAUAUUUUCAUUCAUUCACUUGAUAGAAAAUAAUACAACUUUGUAUUUUUCACGAUUUAGUCCUUAUCACAAUAAUUACACUAAAACUUGUAAAUUCUCUUCACUUUUACCACAUACAACACUAUAAUUUUUACAUCACUUCAUUUAAACUCACUUUCCACAUUUCAUAAUAUCAUAACAUAUUUUAAUUUCUUUCAAUUUAAUCCUUUUUCAUUAUCACCGUAAUACGCCAUAUAAUGGUACACCAAAGUCAAAAUUCAUAACAUUUACAUUAUUUACCCAUACUAAAUACUUAUUAUGAUAUCAUUAAUUUAGUAAUUAAACUACUUAAUUAACAUAACUUAAACAAAAUUACUACUUGAGGUACUUACAACCAAAAUUUGGAUGAUGAGUUUUUCUUCUCUUCUACUCCUUGGCCACUUCUUUUCCUUUCCUUUCACUUUUGUCCUCAAACUUCUUCUGUUUUUUCUUCAAUUUCAUAACAACAUAAAACAUUUAUAAGUUCAAACUAAAAUCAAAUAACUUUUCCAUGUUAGAUUAUAAAAAUAAACAUGUAUGUUAUAAGAGUUUCCAUCAUUCUUACCUUAACUCUUUGAAAACCCAAAACCCUAACUCUUGUCUUUCUCUCUUUUAACCCAUCUAUGGAAGUUUCCUCAUGAAAUAAAGUUACUCACUAUUCUUCUUUUUAGCUUUUACGAAAGAAAUGUUUGAAGCUUGGAUGGUUCAACAAUGGAGGAAGGACAUGAAAGGAAAUAAAAGAAAAGUUUGAUGGGUUUGCGGGGUGGUGAUUGAUGAUUUGGUGUUUGGAAAAUGAUGAGAUCUUUCAUAUUUUCUCCACUUUUCUACACAUUUCCUCUAAAAAUAACUCACUUUUUUAUUAAAUGGUCAAUUUGUUAAUAAGUCCUCAAGCCAUCCAUAUUUACACUUUACCCAUAUCAUUACACCUUAAAAUAUCUACUUGGUUGUUUACUAUUUUAUCCCAACUCAUCUUUUAUAAUUCCUAGGAUGCCUCAUACUUCACCUUGGUUAAAUUUCUUCUUAAUCUUUCCUUUCUUUCUACUACCACUAUGUAUCUCCUAACUUUCUAAAUUCCUACUUCUACCACAACAAUUUUUAUACUCUUUCAAUUUAGUCUAAGCUUCUAUUUAAAUCUUUUCUAUCUCGGAAAUAUUUUUUAAUCUCCUAUCGAGUCUAAAUACUUCCUACUUUAAUACUAAAAAUCCCUAUUUAGUCUGUUUCAAAAAUUCUCCAUUAUUUACUGGCCCAAUCCAUCACUGUACCUAACUCCAAGUCAAAAUAUGGUCGUUACAUUUAGGACCGACCAGAAUCCGAUUCGGCCUGGCCCAUGAGAAUUUCUACCAUAUAUAUAUAUAUGUUCCUAUGCUAAUAUAUUUACUUAUACGAUCAAGAGCGAAGCUAAAAAAAAUUGGGGCAGAAUUAAAUUGUAUAUUUUUACAAUAGUAAAAAUGCAAUUUCACCAUUUUAAUAGCUUAUAUCUUUAUAUUUUUUUUAUUGUUUUUAGGGGGUCAAAGUGCAAUUUUAUUAUUCCUAAUUAAAAUUUUAUAAAUUAUAAAUGAGCCUAAAUAAAAAAAAAAUCCAUUUUAAGGGUUGAGGCCCCUGUCAGCUCCCUUGUCUUUGCCAUUGCAUAUGAUGUUAAAGGUCAAUUAUAUAAUUUGCUUAAAUUAAAAUAUUGUGAGUUGUAUGCAUGUUUAUGUUCAUUAUCAUUGCGUUUCGCGAGUUUACUUUAUGUCUUAUUAAUCUUGUAAGAUAGUACUACAAACCACGAAUCACCUUGCAAACUAAAGAUGUCAAGACUUAACCAGCCAUCAAUAUUGAGAACAUACAUAAUGAGGACCACAUGAAUAAAAUAUCUAUCACUUGUACGCCACAUUUAUUUGCUAACCUGAUAUGAUAAUCUAUACUUACGAGACCAAGAGAUUUAUAGGUCGGUUGAGUUCAUGACCAACUUAUCUAUAAUAUUAUAUUAUUUGUAUAUUUGAAAUUUAGUCUCUUUUCUUUUCAAAUUUAAAAAUUCAAAUUCAAUUUUUAACAUCGUUAAAAUUAUUCUGUUGAAGUCACUAGUGUGAUAUUUUGAAAUAAAAAAAAAUAAAGUUCACUUGGUAGUCAUGUAACACACAAAAAAAAAUUGUAAUAAACUUAAAUUUAAUAGGAUAAUUUUAACGAUGUUAACAAUUAAACUUAUAUUUUUAAAUCCCAAAAGUAGACAGACUAAUCUACUAAAAAUAAAUUAGAGAACUAAAUUUCAAAUAUAUGAAGGGUAUAGGGACUUGGAACAUAUUUUAACAUUUAAUUUGUUUUCUACCUUUAGCCCCUUCUUUCUCUAAAUAUUCAAGUUCAAUGAAUUAAUUUUGUUAUAUCAAACUUUGCUAUUAGUAUUGCAAUAUGCAUAAGUUGUAAUUUGAUUAUUUUUAAUCCCUAUACUUUUUCAAAUUUGAAGUUUCAGUCCUAACUCAAAACGGUAGUCAUUAAAUCCAUUAACUAAAAUAACAUGAUUUUUUGUGAGUAUUACGUAAAAAUAACAAGUUAAUAUAACAUAUAUAAUCAUGUUUACCAUUAAAAUUUUAAAAAUAGCAUAACUUAAUUUAACGAAUACCAUUUCGUUAAGACUAAACUUUCAAAACUUGAAAAAUACAAAUUAAAAUACAUAACUCAAAUAUGUACCUUACACUUAGUACAAUGACUAACAAAAAAAAUUUAACCUUAAUCCACUCGAAGCCCAUUUGUUCUACCAGUCCCUCCCACUUAGAUACCACAUGUAUUAUUGGGUUCAAAUUGGAUUAAUCAAUUAAACCGAUUUAACUAAAAAUUGAUCGAUAUAUCUUAUUAAGAUUGAAUCAAUUUUUUAUUAAAUCAUUCGGAAUAGCGGAGAUAAAAAAAAUGAUUAAACAGUUUGAAUAUGUUUAUAAAUUUUUAAUAAUAUAUUUUUUAUUUAAUAUUCAUGAACUGAUGUGAAACUAAUUAUAAUAAAUAGAUAAAUAAAUAAAUAAAUCUAAAAAUGAUCUUUUAUUGCAAUAGCGAAAAAUAAUUGAUCAACAAAAUAUCUAAAUGAAUAAUACACUAUUUUCUUACCCAAAAAAAAAUCAGUAAUAAUACUAUAAUAAAAAACCAGGAGCACCACCAACACCAUGGUGCAACAAAUUAUGAGCAAUACUAUCCCUAGCUUGUGCAGUAGCCAUGGAUCUCAAAUACCUCAAAUUUCAACUCCCCCUCCAUUUCUUCCUGCCUCAUCUCACAAAUAUUAUGCAAAACGCAAGAAGCUCCGAGCACCGCCGGUAAUUCUUGAAGUUUAAUAUCCAUUCUCUUCUGCAAAAUCGCCCAUCUCCCUUUCAAUCUUCCAAACGCUUCUUUUCCCAGUUUUUCAAUCUCAUAAAUCUUUUCAUUGAAAGCAUGUUGAGCCCAGUUUUUCAAUCUUCUCAUAAUAAGGAUUGUCAAUUAAGUAUUUUAGUUCGGUUGGUAUUGAUAUUAUUAUUAAUUCAAUAAGAUAUAAGUUCGAAUUCGUUAAAACGUAUUUAUCCUCCUGUUUAACAAUUGGGAGGGAUUACGUGUGUAUAAACCUUAAAAUAAAAAAGUCAAUCAUCAUAUAAAUGGAAUAUCGAAACAAAGCAGCCAAAAAUGAAGGGCAAAAUAAAAAUUGGAAAGCAAAAAAGAAGAAGAUUCCAUCAAUUGAAACUUUAUAUAGCAUAUCUUACGCGCAACUAUUAUUAUUGAUUCUACGUGAGUCAGAACAUAGUGGUUAAAUUUCACGAACAAAAUGUUAACUUUCUUUUUUUUCGAAACAAAAGUAUUCACCUAUGUUUCGAAAAAUUAAACAAUUAAUUAUAAAAUGUAUUUCAGUUUUAUAUGCAAGAAUUAAACUCCGAUUACAUGAUUAAAUAAUAAUGUGAGUAAUUACCACAAUACUAUAUAGGAAAUUUCAAUAAAUAAAAAUGUAUCAAAUUAUUAAAUAUUAAAAUAAUAUAAUAUAAAUGUUUUUUUAAAAUAAAAAAUAAUAUGGACGGGCCUAAAAUGAACUAUAUAAGUAAAGGACUAGAUUAGAAAAAUAAGGCCUGUUUAGAAAAUGGGUUAGGCCUCAGGUAAGAGUUUUUUGGACUGGGCCUGGCCCGACCUAAAUUUGCAAAAAAAUAAAUUCGUUUUCCCACUAUUUUGCUGCCGUUUCACUAUUAAAUUGCUACUAUUUUUGUUGUUAUUGUUUGGAUAUUGUAUAACUUUUAUUUUAUUGUUAAUUUUGCUACUAUUUUAGAGGCAUUUAAUUGUUAAGUUACACCUAGUUAAUUAAAUAUAAAAAAAUUUAAAUUUAUUUUCAAUUUGUUCGGAAAUAUUUAUUUUAAUGUUUUUAGUAUUUUUGAUGUAUUAAUUUUUUAAUUUUUUAUAUAAAAAAUAAAAUAUUUUUUAUACGGGCUGAGCUCAGGUUUAGCAUCUAUAAUCCGGGUUGGGCUUGGUAAAAAAUUUAGACUCAUUUUUCAGAUCAAGCUUGAGCCUAUGAAACAAGCCUAGAAUUUUGUUAGGGCCCGGCCCAUGAACAAAUCUAAACCAAAAUACAAUUUUGUCACAUAAAUUUAUAAUUGGCAAAAUUACAAAUCUUCAUUUUUGGGGGCCCUACCCACCUUUUUUAUAUUCACCCUUGCUGAAAUUUGAAGACUGUUAUUUUAAAAAAUAAUUGCACAAAGCAAGUAGAUUAAAAUUAGGGACCGAAAAAGAAUAUUGUGGAGGAGAUGAACAAGUGGGCAAGAGAUAGAGGAAGUUACUAUCAUUAAAGCAUAAUUUUUAUUCGGUUCUAUGUGGUUUAUAUCCGAAAGUAAACGAAAGAAAAAUCAGAAAUAAACAUUGAUUUUCUUAUUCUUAGUAAUCCUCUUGGAAUAAUCAUAGCUAAGCAAGCCAGGAAGCGUUUUCAUCAAUUUGAGUGAUAACGCCUUACACGCUUUGCCUUUCUCAUCGAACAGAUCCUACGACGUGCGAUGAUGAAAAAUGCCAAUCAAAAUGGUCAAAAUCUAGAUUUGGUCCCUUUACUUUACACCAAUUUGUGAUUUAAUCCUUUUAUUAUAAUUUGUGGCCCUUCUAUUUUGUUAAUGUGCUUAAUUGGUUUAAAUAGUGUCAAUUCUUUGGUUAAUCUUUUCAGUGUUAACGAUGGGUAAAUGUUGAAACGGUUUUUUCUUUUCUUUUUAUCUUCUAUGUUUGUUUUACGAUUUAUGUUCGAAGUUUAUGAUUAUCUCUCUUAACAAUAUUAUUUCCAAGAUUUAAACCUACGAUCAAGUUAUUCAAAAAUAUCCAUGUAAAAAUGAGAUCAUUCAACCAAGUACUCCCGUUAUAAAAGUAGAGGGAAUAACUAAAGGAUUAAAUCCCAAAUUUUAAAACCUAGAGGGAUCAAACUCAAAUUUAAGUAUUAUUCCCAAUCCGACCAUCAUCAAUACUUCCCCCCCAAGAAAAAAGUUUUCCCCCUCAGAACACACUUUUUUAAAAUAGAUUCUUAUUCGAGCUUUUUUUAGUCUUAUAUAAACAGACUAAAUUGCAAAAACAAAAAACCACAACAAAGAGUUUAAAAAAAACAUCUCCAAGCCAAACCAUUUCUCCGCUGGCAUUUGCUUACAACAAAAAAAUUUCAAAUUGAAGAAUGGCUUCAAGAGUUGGGUUCAUGGGACAUAAAUCAAAGGAACGAAAGGAUGACCGUAAAGACAAAUUGUCCGAAGUGUUCAAGAGCUAUGCUGCUAAUGGGCUGCUAGACAAGGAAAGGCUGAAAGAAGCUUUUCUACAUCUAGGUUCUGCCAUGUCGUACCAUCAAGCCGAAGAAGCCCUCCGUGUCGUCGGCAAAACCUAUAACAUUAACGUCAAGGAUGAAACCGAGCUUAACGCCCUUAUCAACUAUGCUUACAAUAAGGGUUACGGGCAAUUAAUUUGAUUAGCUAAUUUAUAAGCUUAAUUUCUUUUUCUUUUUCACUUUUAAUCAUCUAAUAUGUUUUUUUUUAUAUAUGUUUAAGUUUCGUCCCAAAAGACAUUAUUAUAGAAUAAAGGUUUCGGGGCUUAUGAUGGUGAUGUAGUUUUUGCAUGUGCUUUGCAAAGACUAUAUUAUAUAUAUGUUUGUGUAGCAAUGAACAUGAUGAUGUUCUUUAUCAAUUAUAAUGAUAUGUGUUGAAUGUUAUUAUUAUGUUAUUAAAGAGAAAUUUGGCUACUUAUUAUUGAUGCAUAUUUUAAGUUUAAAGCCCUUCGUAUGCUUUUAUUAUAUGAAUACGGAUUAUAUAAUAGAUUUAUUUAUGGGUCGAGUUAUCCGUUCAAGUUUAAAAAUCUGCUCGAAAUUUGAGAGGAUUUGGGUAGAAGUAUUAAUCCCGAAAAAUAAGCUUGAGCAAAAAAAAUUAAGCUCGUUUAAAAAUAUGGAUC
Molecule: long non-coding RNA, 92550 nt
Filed under: Gossypium raimondii (Peruvian cotton)
Lineage: Eukaryota; Viridiplantae; Streptophyta; Magnoliopsida; Malvales; Malvaceae
Description: long non-coding RNA (GRAI_LNC010987)
Rfam family: MIR7486 microRNA precursor family (bases 18183-18269)
Source: RNAcentral